This 121788-nucleotide long non-coding RNA is filed under the name Populus tremula. RNAcentral's name for it is "long non-coding RNA (PTRE_LNC002623)". The record is from RNAcentral. Lineage: Eukaryota; Viridiplantae; Streptophyta; Magnoliopsida; Malpighiales; Salicaceae.
AAUCAUCUUCUGGAUUGUAACCAUAACGUCCUUCUAGCACUUUUGCUAUGUAUUCUUUCUUUCUACCAAUCAAGAAGCAUGCAAUAUCAAGAAAUGUAUUCUUUUGUGUAGGUUCAUCCAGUGUUCAAAACUUAUUCUAAGUUUUUUCUGAAUUUCACAGUUUGGAAAUUUUCUCAAUCUGGCAAUUACAGAUUCCCAUCUAGCUUGGUUUUUCCCAACAAAGAAGAACCUAAAACCUCAAGAGCUAAAGGAAGUCCUCCACAGUAUUCAACUAACAUCAUUCGAAAUCUUAACAUAAUCUUUUGCUGGCUUGGCGUCCCUAAACGCAUGCUGACAGAAUAGCUGAAGGGACUCAUAUGGGUCCAAUUCUUGAACCUGGUAUCUUUGAUUAGCUUCAAGAAGUAAGUGUUCAUCUCUAGUUGUAAUUAUCACCCUGCUUCCAGGACCAAACCAGCUUCGCUCUCCCAUCAAAGCAUUUAAUUGGUCCAGAUGAUCCACAUCAUCAACAACAAGAAGAACUCUUUUGCGGCAGAGUCGUUCUUUAAUCAGAACCUUUCCUCUAUCAACAUUACUGAUCUUCUCAGUAUUUUGUCUUAAAAUAUCAUGAAGAAGUUGUUGUUGUAGAAGAACCAUAUCCUUAGAUUCUGAUUCUUUGACAUUCAAAAGAAAUGAGCUUCCCUCGAAUCCAUAUCCACAGUCAUAGCAGAGUUGAUUAAAUACAACUUUUGCUAAAGUCGUCUUUCCUAUUCCUGGCAUCCCAUGUAUGCCCACAAUGCGUACAUCAUUUGUUGCAGUACUUAGGAAGUGAAAAAUAUUGUGAGCAAGCGGAUCAAUACCUACUAGGUGCUUAGGAACAUGUAAGUACUUGGGGUCCAAUUUAGUCAGCACAUCGUUUAUAAUCUCUUGGAUAAAUUUUGCUUCAUGCCUGUUCAUGGACAAAAGCAAGUCAUUAGUCAUUAAUAGCGAGACAAUUAAGUAUGUUCAAAAAGUAUUUUAUUGUUUCACAUUGUAAAAUAGAUAAUGUAUAAUGACUCCCUAUAUAAAUGUGUGGAAGUGAAUCGGAUAGAGAAAAGGCAUACCCAUUUGCCAUAUCUUUGAGAUUCCAUCCAGAUAGAUUUCCUGCCUCCUCAAGAGCUUCUCUCCACUCCUUCACCUUCUCGUUAGAACGUUCUUCAUGUUUAACAAAUGCUUCUGCAAAACUGCCGGUCUGUUUUCUCACAUCUGAUGGAUCAAUGUCAUAGAAUAUAGGAAGAGCAAUUUGACCAGUUUUCCUAUAUUUACACUUCAGAAUCUCCACAAGUUCAUCAAGACACCAUCUAGAAGAAGCAUAUCCUUUUGAGAAGACCACUAUAGAUAUCUUUGAUUCUUGAAUUGCCUCGAGGAGAUGUUGGGAGAUUUCUUUUCCUCUAGGAAGUUCAUCAUCAUCUCGAAAAGUGUGGAUUCCUGCUUGUACUAAGGCAGUAUAUAGAUGAUCUGUAAAUGUCUUGCGAGUAUCUUCUCCACUAAAACUCAAAAAGACAUCAUAGGCCCCUUGUGGUCUAGAUCGAGAAGAAUCUGGCUCUGUCAUGGCAGCUGCAGAAAUUAAGGCACGAUUAAUUAAUUAGCAAUGAAUAGAUUGCAGGAGGUAUCUGCUAUCUUGCAAUUAUAAAGGGAUACAUGUGAAGUGAUCAUCAAAGACAAUACAAAUAUAUGAAUGUGCUGAGUAGGAAUUUCAACGCAAUUACUAUUAGAGAGUAAGGUAAGAAAAUCAUUCAUUCAUUGAGUUUCACCUAAUACUUUAAGUUUAACAACCAGAGAACAUAAAACAAUAGCAUUUAAAAAGCUUACUGAGGUCAGCUUUCCUUCUCUUUCGCGAGGAUGAAUCAUUUUCUUCAUCUUUGGAUUGCUUGCGUUUUUCUGUCGGCAUUCUAAAAUGGAAUUAACUCAAUAAACUCAUCAAUGAUGUCUAUCUGAACAUAAAGCUUUCAAAUUAUUGUUAUGAGUAAAGACAUGAAAUUAAAACAAGAAAGAAGCAAAGAAGAGGUAUAAGCUAUACCUCUAUAUAACAAAGGGUUGGUUGGAUUCCACAAGCUAUGAAAUUGCAGCAAUCGGGAACGGUAAUUUAUUUCAACUACCCAAACAUAUUUUUCAAUUUGUUUUUAAUUUACAUGUAGUUUCAAAGAAGCAAAGAAGGGUUACAUACUAGCAAAAACAUGACAGCAUAAAAUCCCAUGUAGCAAUUAUCUUGUUUCGCAAUCAUAAUUAAAAAAAAAAAAAAAAUGUUUCGCAAUCUUCUUAGUGUUAAUAUUGCUGUAAAACUACAUGCAUUCAUGCAAUCAGAAGCAACAAUCGCAAAGGUUACCUCAAUAUGGUGUUUGAGUUGUUCGGAUUCCACCAACCUGGCGACUUUAAAGGUCAAAUUGCAGCUCUCAGAAAGGUUAGCUGAAGAGUAAAGUAAUGAGGACUGAAGGAUAGUAGAGGCAAUAUUGUUUCGGAGAAAGAAUAUAAAUCCUUUUUGCUAAUUAUUAGCAAUAAUUAUCAAAGAUGAAGGGUAUCAUAUAUAGGAAUAGGAGCUUGGAAAUUUCUUUAGCAGCGUGUGAUCAAGGUAAUUUCCUGGUUGUUGCUGAUUGAUUAGGGUUGUUGCAAUGAUUUUUUAAAAAUAAAAAAAAUAUAUUUUUUUUAUAUAUUUUUUUAAUAAAAAUCAUUUAAAAUACAAUUCUCUUUAGCCAGAGAUGUACAGUGCAUCCACUGAGGAUGAAUAAUGAGUGGUAGAAGCCUAUUUUGUGAGUUAUUAAAGACUUCUUCCUGUCAGUCAAUGCGCGUAUGAACACUAACUCUUUUUUUUUUUUUCCACACACAAUUGUUUUGUUUGGAAUUUAUGGGUUUUUGUUCUUGUAAAAUAACAGUGUUUCUCAAGAAGUUUAGUUGGGAACAGACGAAGGGCUAUAGACUUCGAGACGAUGGCUGUAUUAUCAUUGAACCUUCGCUCAAGAAGCUCAACCACUUUUCUUCCCAUAUCUACUAUUCAUGAACCUCCUUGACUCUUCAGUAUAAAUCUUUUUCCACUCAGAAGGCCCUCGCCCUCACACUCCCGUCUCCAUGUAUUUGGCUGCUUCCAUCUCUCAGCCCUGCUUUUUGGUUCGUAGGUGUAAUCUGAUAUUUAUUAUUAAUUUUAUUCAUAUAAAAUAUUUUUUUUAUCUUUAACAUUAUUUAAAACUCUUGUUAUUAAUUUUAUUAGAAUAAAAUAUAUUUAUUAUUGAAAAAAUUAAGAUUAUUCGCUCUACCGUGUUUUUAAGAAACCCAACAAUAACAUCAUAAUCAAAAAGUAUAAAUUUCCACGGACAACUUGCAUGUAUGGGACAGCUCUAACCAUUUAUUGGUGACCUUCGUGGAAAUUCUACAGUGUGUCAGUGAUCUUACAGCCGGGUUCUUUUUAUCCAAAGAAGACUUUGACCAGGCGUCAGUCUAACCAAAAUCUUCGCUUAAAGAAUGUUUUUUGUUUUUUGUUUUUUUUAAAAAAAAGAAAAUUAUGGAUAUAACUAAAAGAGGUGGCACAAUCACUUUAGCCCAGUUUAGUUCAUUAUUGUGUCAGACACAUUACACUAUGUAUUUAUACUGUUCACAUCCAUGAUUGUUUUUUUUCAAUUUAAUUAUUAAACAUUUAAUCUUUCUAAUUUCAUAUUUUUUGUUGUAUUAGCAUGGUUUUUUUCUCUUACAAUCCUUUCAAUUUGCAUUAUGAAUAUUCCAGCAUGACUUAAAAAUCUAUUUGGUGGAUUCGAUCUCAAAUUAUAGUUAAAAAUAGAAAUUAAAAUAAGAAAAACAAAAUAAACAUGGUUUAGAUUUUGACAUGAAAAACUUCAACUUGAUCCCUUAAGUUCUUGUUUUUCUAUCAUUUGAUACCUUUGUUUUCCAAUGAUGUAUAACUUAAUUUUUAGUUCCUAUUGAAAAUAAAAAUAUUUUAAUACAAGUAGAGUUCCCAGCCCAAUCAAAUACAACACCCAAUGGAUAUUUAGGCGAGUCUUGUUUGAAAAGUCCCUUAUUUGAUGUUGCGGGGCUAUUCUUAAAAUUAAUUUUUAUUUAAUUUUAUAGAGAUUAAAAAAUAUUUCAAAGAAUUUCAAUGAUUUAAAUACAACACCCAAUGGAUAUUUAGGCGAGUCUUGUUUGAAAAGUCCCUUAUUUGAUGUUGCGGGGCUAUUCUUAAAAUUAAUUUUUAUUUAAUUUUAUAGAGAUUAAAAAAUAUCUCAAAGAAUUUCAAUGAUUUAAAUACAACACCCAAUGGAUAUUUAGGCGAGUCUUGUUUGAAAAGUCCCUUAUUUGAUGUUGCGGGGCUAUUCUUAAAAUUAAUUUUUAUUUAAUUUUAUAGAGAUUAAAAAAUAUCUCAAAGAAUUUCAAUGAUUUAAAUUCUAGAAUAAAAAUUUUUAUUCAGUAAAAAAUUUCCCUUCUUGUUUAUGCAUUUAUUUUAUUAUUUGACAAAGCCAUGAAAAUUUUCUUUUUUAAUGAUCAACACCUCAGGUUUUUUGAAUAAAAAUUAAAAAAAAUAAAAAUAAAAAUUCAUAAGAAUUCAAAUAAUUUAAUUUUAAGAAGAAAAAUAUAUUUCCUUAGCCAAUAUUCCCUUUUCGUUAUUCCUUCAUUUAUUUUUAUUUUGAUGAAAACAUAUUUUCUAUUACAAGGUUGGUUUUUUGUAUAAGAACUCAUCUUGUGAACUAAUUUUCAACAAAAAAAUAAUAAUAACAUCCCCAUUAUUUUUAUGAGACUUUAUGAAAACAAUAAAGAAUAAUUAAUUUGAAAAAAAUAUAAGAAAUUGACAAUAAAAAAAUAACAAUUAUAUAUUCUAUUCUCAUUAAAUAUUAAUGUGCAUUUUAUAAAAUAUUUUGCAUAUGAGUUUUGUAUAUAAUUAUAAAACUAAUGCAAAUAUAACCAUACAAAUUUAUAAUUUUUUUUAAAUAAUGACAUAAUUGAAUGAUGUAUGAAACAUCAUUGCAAUUAUUUAUUUAAAGAGAUUUUUAUUUUUUAAAAAAACAUAAAGAAUAGAAAGGCCAAGAAAUGUCAAGCACAGAUAGACCUAAGCUAUGAGGCUUACAAGUUUAGCCUAUAAGAAAACGAGGCACAAAUAAGACUUUUGAUAAUUGAUAUUAUUAACCCAAUCAAUGUCAAUGAAGCCAAUGGUUCUAAGAUGGAGCGUGUGUCAUAAAUUUAUUUUUUAUUUUUUAUUUUUAUUUUUAUAUAAUGAAAAGAAAAUAAAAUGAAAAAAUUUGAAUGAACAAAGAAAAAUUAAGAUUUGAAUCAAGACAACAUAUAUAGAAAGUUUUUAGGAUUAACCAAGAAGAAAUUGUAAAUUUAGGGUUGAAUUUUACUAGAAAUUGAAAGAAUUGAUGAGUUUGAGGAUUUAAUUAAACUUUGUAUUUGUUUAAUUAAUGAUAUCAAGGGUUUUGAUGAAUUAAUAAGUUUAGGGACUUAAUUGAACUUAUAAUUAGUUUAAUUAAUGAAAUCAUAGGCUUAAUUAAAGAAACAUUAAAGUUUAGAAUCAAUUAAGGAUUAAAUUGAUUAAACUGGAAGCCAAGGAUUUGUUUGUAAAUGGCGCCGAAAUCCAGGAGCCUGAUUAGAAGAUGUCAAAACGUAAAAUGACUAAAUUGCAAAAGGGCUGCCUCAGUCAGAAACCGCGCCGUUUUGUUGCAUUCUUCGUCUUCUUCCUCUUGAAACAGAGGAGACCGCCUGCGAAGGAAAUACAGAAUGCCACCCAGACAGGCAACUCACACCACCAGACACAUUGCAAUGCCCACGACUUCCAUCACCAGAUUCUCAGUUUAUUUUUCAUGUCCGUAACCUCCAUAACAAGCCAUUGAGACGUGGAGGAAACCACCACCAACAGUCCAGCGAUGGCAGGACUGUUGGUGUCCCAAUCCGGCCAAAACAUAAAAACCCAGGCCUUAUCACUAUCAUGGAAGAUAAGCAGAAGGAGAGAAUUUCUAUAAAAGGCAGAGGCAUAGAUGACGAAAAAAAAAAGAGGGAGAAAGAAAAAAGGGGGAGGAGAAAACAAGGGAACGAAUAACAGGGGAGACAAAAAGAGAGCAAAUCAACUUGACUAAAAAUAAACACAAACUAAAAGAACAGAAAAGAAAAGAGGAGGAGGAGAAGGCAAAAGAAGAGAAGUGGAAAUUCCAUAAUCCCAACCAAAACUCAACAUCUCUCGCCAGCACCGAACGCAGGUAAGUCUCCAUUUUUUCCCCUCAUUUGGUAAUUUAAUUACGCAGACACUGUAGCAAGCGUGCGAACCCAUGCACGCUCGCAGACCAACCAACUGGUUACUAGUCUGAACCAGUAACCGCUGGAACUAGCCCAACGCAAAAAAAAGAAGAGAAAUGGGCUGGUUAUGGGCCUUAGGCCCAAAUUCUGUUUGAUAAGGGUGUAUUUGACAAAAACUCGUUGGUAAAUUAUUCACUUUUCCUUAGCAUUGUUCAUCAUGUCAGUUACAAAAGUAUUACCGAUGAAUUAAUUUCGUCGGUAUUUUUCAGAGAGCUCUAGAACUAUUCACUUUUUAAUUGCAUUGUUAAUUAUUGUUUUUUACAGAUGAAAUCAUCAACGAAUUGAAAAGUCAUUAGUGAUAUUUGAAAGGUUUCUGAAAUUUUUUUCUUAAAUUUAAAAUUUAAAUUAAAUAUUAUAGACAUAUUCAUCGAUGAAUUGGAAAGUCAAUGAUGAUAUUUGAGGGAUUUCUGAAAAACAUUUAUUAAAUUGAAAAUUUAAAUUAGAUAUUAUAAAUAGAAUCACCAAUAACAUGUUUAAAUAUAUUAAUAUUUAAUUAUUCAUAAGUAAAACCGUUUGUAAAGUGACCUAAUAAAAAAAACUAGAAUCCUUUAUUUCACAACUGACGCGCCUUUUUUUCUUCUUCUUCUCUUUUCUCCUUAUGCAAAAAACGCCAACAUCCUUUUCUUUCUUUCUCUUCUCUUCUAUCCUUAACUCCUUUACUUCUCAUCCACGCUCAGGUAUGUAUUCUCCUCUUGUCUUUAUUUUUCUUCUCAGUUUAUUUUUAGUUAACAUACUUUAUGAAUUUGUUUUUAUUUUUUGUCUUCUCAACUUUACUCGUAACUAUAUUAAUUUUUUUUAUGUUUUUUUUUCAUUUUUCAUUUUUUUUUAAUUUGUUUUUGUUCAUAAUAAUUGUAUGAAUGUUGUUGUAGGAUUUUUUAUAUAUAUAUGAGAUCAAUUUUGUUGAAUUUUUUUUUUAUUUUGUUAUUUAAUUUCAAUUAAAUUAUUUAAUUUGUUGUUAGAUUAUGGGUUCUGAAAUAGAUUUUCUACGUUAGGUGGAAAUUGUUUUUAAUUUUUUUAUUUAUUUGUUGUUGUAUAUUUUUGUGUGUUAUUUAUUUGUUGUAAAUUUGUUUGAGUUGAUUUUCUUCUUUUUCUUUUCAAGCAACUUAGUUCCUGAGUAUUAUGAUGUGUUAAUUUAUAUUAAUUUAAUUAUUUUCUACUUAUGUUAAAUAGAUUUUUUUUUUAAAAUAAAUAAAUAAUUAUCAAUUGGAUUAAGUUCAUUGGUAUAUUUCAGAGAGUUGGGAAAAAAUUAUCGCAAAUAUCAUUGUGCCACUAUUUAAUAAUUGAUGGAAUUGCAUACGAUAUUUCUAUCGAUUAUAUGACAAGUUUCCUAAGAAAAAUAUCAACGGAAUAAGAUGAGUAAGUUUUUUUGUGCGUGCUUUUGUUGUUAGUAAAUCCAUCUGUUAAAUAAUUUUUUUAUUACCACCAAACCAAAAAGUUUUAUUAGUUUUCAUCCGUGAUCCCGUUAGUAAAUUCAUUUCCAACAGAAUAAUAGUAUAAGUACUAACAAAAAAUUAUGUCAAUAAAUAUAAGAAUUCUGAUAGCGCACAAGGCAAUGUGCUUGAUUUUUAUAUAUUUUAACAAUACUCUUACUUUUAAUUUUAUCAUAGUUUAUCUUUAAUCUCUAUCUCUCUCUCUCUCUCUCUAUAUAUAUAUAUAUAUAUAUAUAUAUAUAUAUAUAUAUAUAUAUAUAUAUAUAUAUAUAUAUAUAUAUAUAUAUAUAUAUAUACAUGUGAAGAAAUAAACUCAUGAAAACAUGGGCUUUGGAGUGAAAACUCAACAUUCAUAAAUUCUAGAUAAACAUUAAAUCCAAAUUGGAUUUAGAUUUAUGGUAUUGAGAAAGCCUAUUUAAAAGAUAAUUAAAUGAGAAAAUCAACCUUGAAAAAGUCUUGUUGACAAAUACACAUUUUAAAAAAACAAAAAGGAAAAAAAGUGAAAUUUCUUAUUAUAAAAAAAGGAAAUUUCCUUACUAGAAAUUUCAUAAAUGUAUCUCAAUAAAUAAAAGAAUAUCUUUCUCUAGAGAAAUCCAAAUUAUUUUAUCUUGGUGAAAGGAGAAAUCUAAGAAGGAGUUUUAUAACUUUGAUGUUUAUGACUUUUUCAUAAUUGACAACGUUGGGUGCAAAAGAGGGAAGAAGGAGAUUGAAUCAAACUUUUAUCAACAAUUGAGAAAUUCAACCUAAACAUAGUUUAUUCCUUAUUAUUUUCUUCCUUGUAUCUUUCACCAUGAAUGCGAUAAAGACUUUGGUUUGUAAUAAUAAUUUGAUUGCAGAUACUUUCCAGAGGGCAUUGAUCUGUACUUUGAAAAUGUUGGAGGAAAGAUAUUGGAUGUUGUUCUACUCAUCAACAUGAGGCUUUAUGGACGUAUUGCAGUGUGUGGGAUGAUUUCACAGUACACCAAAUUUGAUAAUCCUUGUUGCUACCCAAUUUUUGACCCAUAUUUUUGAUAUAUUUUCAAAAAAUCCAAAAAUAGAGAAAAACAAAGAAAAUCCAAAAAAUAUGUUUUUUUUUUAUAUAUUUUCUUAAUUUUAGCAUUUUCAACGUCGUCUAAAAAAGAAUUUAAAUUUUUCAGGGUCUUUCGAACGCGUUCGACUUUUCACGCGUCAUUUUUUAAAAUCAUUGAUUUUCCGUAUUUGAGUCGACGUUGAUAUUGCUCGUUUUCAAAAAAAAACAAAAAAAAAAACAAGAAAAAUCAAAAUUUUACAAAAAAAGAAAGUUGACCAAUUUUUGAAAACUUGGCAAUAUUUUUUGCCUAUAAAUACUGGUCUUAAACUCGCAUUCAAGGAGGGGUUUUCAUUUUUGCAAGGGGGCUAAUUUUGGAAACACCAGAAAAAUAAAAAAAAAAACCUAAACCUAUCUUCUCCCCCCACUUUUUUUUCAAGCAGUCGCCGGGCCCCCCUGGUCCAAGACCGUUAUUUUUCCAGCUGAAAAUCAGCAACUGAGCCCCCACCCAUGGUCUUCUUUUCCUUGUUUCCUGCCGACAUGGUGGCCCUCCUCAUAAUGAAAAAAACCCAUAUUUCUUCUGAUUCCCAGCUUUGCAAGGAGGGGGGGGGAAGACGUUGGAGCCAUUUUUUUUUCCGACGGGUCCCAAGAGCAGUGGGCAGAGACCCACGAUCCCCAGCCCCUGUUGAAUUUUCUCCUUUCUCCUUUUCUUCUCCAAAAACCAGAAGCCAAGACAGGCCCCCAACCUUGCAUUUUUUCUGAAGCCAGCCAUACGUCCCCCCCUUGCCAGCGCCGUUCCCUCAUUUUUUUCAACACACCCAAGCCAGCCCCUCACUUUUUGAAUUUUUGUUUCUUCUCCCUCAACCGGCCACAGUUUUUUUUUAUCUCCCCGUCAUCUCCCUCGAAGCCACACAAAUCCUCUCCCUUCUCCUCCAAAACCGAACAGCCCCUUUCCCGGAUUGAUUUUUUGUGCCCGAGACCCCCAUCUCACUUUCCCCCUCAGCAGCGUCUUCUUCGCCGGCGAUCUCUUCAGCCCGAACACAGCGGUGCUCACGGACCCAUAUCUGUCCGUCGUCUCCUCCUCCUCCAGACCAUCAGCGGCGUCUUCCAAUGGCAGCAGCUCCUCGUCUCCACCCAGUGCUUUCUCCUUCAAUCGAUCGCCAUCAGCAACACCACAGAUUUUCCCAUCUUCGGGCCCCCGCAGCAGCUCCAGCCUCCAGCCCCCCGCCGUCCGAAGAUCCAGCAACCAGCAGAGGAACGAAAACAGAGGCGAGAUCGAUCUGAAGAAGGAAAAGAACCGAUCUGCUUCUGCAGAUAAAAAAGAAGCAGAUCUGUAACGGGAAGAAAAAAAUUAAAAUCGACUGGAUGUGGGGUUUUGUUUGAGAUUUGCAGGUGACAGACAGUAGGGGAUUGAAGAGAGGAAUAAGCCAUUAUAGCCCCCCCCAUUUUCGGUUGUUUUUACGGCGGCGCGUGGACCCACGCGCCGCCAGUGGCGGUGGUGCGUGAGGUCCACGCGCCGCACUGUUACCGAGCCCAGAAACCAUGACGAACACUGUUCCCGCUGCAGAAGUCCCUCCUUGAAAUUUUUAGAACUUUAGGGACUGUUUCUUGUAACUUGUAAAUUAAUUAAUGUAAUUUUUAUUUAUUUAUUUUGAAGUUGUAUUUGUAUUUUUAUUGGGAUGUAAAAGAAAAAGAAAAGAAAAAUGAAUAAUAAAAAGAAAGUUGUGUGUGUGUUUGUAUUUUUUUAUUUAUAUUAUUGAAUUAAAAAAAAACAAAAGGAAUUAAUUGUUAAUUUAAAUAUGGUUAAAUAUCUUAAGGACAAAUAAAAUCAAGUUGUAUUUUCCACGAAAAUGUAAGAACAAGUUUUUUUACAUAUAUUUGGGGAUUUAAUAACUGAUUUAUUCAAGCCUUAGAAUUUAAUUAAUAUUGACAAAAAUAAUUUAUUGUUAAUUUAAAUAUGGUUAAAUAUCUCAAGGACAAAUAAAAUCAAGUUGUAUUUUCCACGAAAAUGUAAGAACAAGUUUUUUACAUAUAUUCGGGGAUUUAAUAACUGAUUUAUUCAAGCUUUAGAAUUUAAUUAAUAUUUUAAAUUUUCUUAAAUAUGGUUAAAUAUCUCAAGGACAAAUAAAAUCAAGUUGUAUUUUCCAUGAAAAUGUAAGAACAAGUUUUUACAUAUAUUCGGGGAUUUAAUAACUGAUUUAUUCAAGCCUUAGAAUUUAAUUAAUAUUUUAAAUUUUCAAAUCACAUCAGAAACAAAGCAGCUUACCUCAGGUAGGGUGUGUUAGGGGUGCUAAUACCUUCCCUAACCACAACCAGUCCCUUACCCGCGAUCUCUAAUAAGACCAGUACAUCAGGUUUCCUAGUAGCCCUCAAUAAAUUACUAGGUGGCGACUCCCACGAACGAAUUCAAAGCAAACGCAAAAACAAGAUUUAAAUCGCUAACCGAUGCCGCGCGCUUAGGAUUUUUUUUGGGGUGCGACAGGAUGGCGACUCCACUGGGGACGGGUAUUGUUUUCAACUUUAUCGGACUAAGCUUUGUGUUUUGAUGUGUUCAAUUUUUUUUCGAGUGUUUUGUUUUAUUUAUUUGUGUUUUAUUCAUACAUUGUAUAUAUUUCUCUCAUGCAUCACAAGUUUUAAUUUUUGAAAGCACACACCAGCUUUAGGUUAGGUGGGGGACUAGCAGCUUACCUUACGACUUGAGUCAAGGUUUAAGUUUGUGUAAACCCCAACUCUUUGUUGAGUGCUUAGACUGGUAAUAGUUGGACACGUGCCAACCAAUUACCUACUGGGCCCCUAUAUUGCCUUUACGAAGGCGAUCACUGGGACAACAAGAGACCCUUUUAGAGACCAAGUAGCAAACCUACCAUGUCUCACGUAAAAUGAAUAGAGCCUGUCUUUAGAUGUAUGUGCUAUUGUUUUGCAUCCGAGCAAACCCUUCUUGAAGCAUCUUGAACUCAAGACUUGUGGGUGACACAUUGGCCGUCACCGAAAAUUUUCAUUGUAGAGUUUGGGCAAAAAUCACGAUUCUUGUCCAUCAUACAAGAGUUACGACCAUAUUGUCACCCCUCGAAGGGUGAGUUCGUCAUAUAGAUUACAUAUUCAUACAUUUAUCAUGCAUGUACCGGGUUGAAAAGUAGGUUCCCCCGCACAAGCUGUGCUGCAGUGAUUGAAGAAAGGAUGGAAGUGAAGAAAGAUGUCAGAUAGAGGCUCAUUAUCAGUUUGAGUUUGAGAGCAUCAAAGUGAAUAGCUGGACUCAGAUCUGCUCGAACAAGUGUUGAGCAUCAAAUGGAAAGAGAAUGUCUGCACAGUCUUCUGUGGGAACACUGCUUGUCCACGUCCAAUUGAAGCUGCCUCUCCUUUUCAGUCAUGAACAACAGCACAAUGCCUUCAGUCAUCAACUAAUGACAACUCUGUUCUUGUCCAGUUGCACUGUUAAGUGUUCAUCGCCUCCACAUCAUCUAAUGGAACCAAACGACUACUAGCCUCCUGUACAUGGUGCAUUAGUCUGCUUUGAAGUUACCCCAAUUAUGAGCUCAAUUCCAGUUCAGCAGCACAAGAUGUUGGUCUGAAAAACCAUGAUCAGACACUGAACUUCUACGUGGUAGAGCUCUCUCUGUAGAGAUUUAUUUGUGGAUCUGCCAAUGGAAAUGCAAAAGGGAUGUAUUAAUUUCAUAUGCUUUGAAACUUUUUCCCACCAGUGGCACAAGCAAAACAUUGUAGUAGGCAGAGUAGUUAGGCCUAGUCUGAAAAUAUGAGCAGUCGUCGAACUUCAACGUGGCAGAGCUCUUUCUACAAAAAUCUGUUUAUGAUGCUGCAAGUUGAGAGUGCAAGAGGGGAUUUAUAAGUUGCAUAUGCUACAAAUAUUUCUCUCAUCAGUUUCAGCACGAAGACCUUUUAGUAGGUUGAAGAGCCAGACCUGGUCUGAAAAAUACGAGCAGACAUCAAACUUCAACGUAGCAGAGCUCUCUCAGCAGGAAUCUGUUUGUGGAUCCGCAAGUGGGAAAUCCAAGAAGGAAUACAGUAGUUUCAGAUCAUCUAUGAUUUUCCUCCAACAAUGUCGGCAUUAAAACUCAAAAGUAGAGAGAAGAGACAUGCCUAGACUGAAAAACAUGAAGAAUACUGAAACUUCAACAGAGCAGGACUUCCUCUAUAGGUGUUUGUUUGCUGCACUGUUAGAUGGAAUUCGAAGAGGGGACAAAGGAGUUUCAAAUUCAUCAGGUGCUCUUCCAAUAGAGACAAUGUGUGAUUCCACACGUCGGUAGUGGCGAUACUACAAGUUUCUGGGCGCUGCCAAGAUUACCAAGCUGUUGGAAAGUUUUCUAACAAUCCUCAACCAACCACAACAACAUUGGAAGAUUGAAAUGAUGUUGUGAGGAUUUGCCGAAGAAUUGAACAAGCUAUGAAAAGAGGAAAGAUUGAAGGAUCUGCCAUGGAUUCCAGAACAAUGAUGAGAGGUGAAUCAGGAGAUGACUUUGACGGUGUGAACCCUUAAUUAUGUGGUAUAGCCAGGUCUCACGGUAGCAUCAAUUGCUCAAAUGUCUUUGCCAAGAUGGGACAUUCCUCUGCCAUUUAAGUUUGUCGACCAGCAUCUGCCAGAUUCCAGAAUUUUGCUUGACUCCGACAAAUCCCAUGCAACCACCAAUUUCUAGGUGGUAUAAUCCAGAUAAGAGAUGUGAUGUCAUUGUGGGGUCCUCAACCAUUUCAAGUGAACAUUUCAAGAAUUGCAAGAAUUGAGUCUGAAAGUUGGUGAGCAAGAGACAAGUGGAGUCGGUGAAGGAGGGUGUCAUUGGCUAUAUUGUCCCCGAACAUCUUCAGAAUGACAUGUUGAUCGAAAGUGCUUGGCAAAACAAAUAUUGCCAGAAAAGCUGAUUCAAGAAUGGUGAUGAACAGUCAAUCAUAUUGUUUUGGAAUUCUGCAUUUUGUUUUGGGAUCACAUCUCAUCCUUCAACGAAACAUGCCUUGCUUUUGUCUUUUGUUGUUUUGAAAUCAACAGAUGUUUAACUUUUUCUGAAAAAUAUUUUGAUCAAACUCCAACAUGCGAUAAAGGUUAAUCAAUCCUGAAGAUUAAAAGUGUUUUGAUUGCAGAAAUGACUCGAUUCUUGUUGAAAUGACAUGAGGUGACCAAACAAUUUUGAACUCACACUUAAACUGAACCACACAUCAUAUAGCUAAGUUUUAGCAGUAUGCAUAAUGACAUGUAGUGGUUUGGUAGUUAUGGACUCGUGAAUCAUGACUCUUACAAGUCCAAAUCAUUACACUAGAUGAGGUCAAAAUUUAUCGGUUCUAACCGACCUUGCUUGAAAUGAGAAAAGGCCAUCUUUGAUAUCCUUCACUUUCUAAAAAUUAUAUCCUUUGUAGUCCCAUUUUGAGCUGGUAAAUAUUUUUUUCAAAAAAACCCUGACUAGGAUCACACCCCACACUGGGGGCAAAUGAGAAUAUUUUGGAGACAUUAUAAAUAAUGGAUAAAGGGGAAGGCUUAGAACAAAAGUCCAAUGUUUAAGAAAGGGCUAGAAGAAGAAAAUCCAUAGAUUGAGGGCCAUCCAAGAAAAACUUUGAGGAAGGCUAUGCAAAAAAAAAAAAGAAAUGGAAAAGGAAUGUCUAUCAAUUCUAAGAGAGGCAAGGCAGUUUUCAAUUGAGAAAAGACAAUAAAUGCCAAAAGUCAACACUAGAAAAAUCGAUGCUUCAUAUCUUUUGGUGUGUCUAGGAUAAAGCCUCUAAUGUCUUCAAAUUGUUUUAGAUUGGUUAUUCAUCAAAGAAAAAGUUGGAUUACGACCUAUGUUAAGAGAAUUCUGAUAUUUGAGAUUAACAAGGUUAUAUGUCACUUUCUCUACAAUGACGACAAGAGAAAGAGAAUCGAUGAAUAGUUAAUGUUGAUCCUAGGUCGUUGAAACCCUCAAACACCUUUUGAGCCUUUGAAAUUCUUUUCUUUCAUAGCCAUGAACCAUAGCCUGCAUUACAUGCUUUUAAAAGCCCUUUUUAAUCAAGCAAGCAAUUUGAAUCGAUAAAUGGCGCUCUCAAAACUUGAAGAGUUUUUCCAUAAGGGUCGUGACUUCAUGAAUUAAGCUACUGGUUAUUAUGCAUGCUGAUAAAAUAAAUGCUAAGAAAAGAAACAACCUUUCUUGAUAAAGCCUGAGCAUCUUGUUUUUGAAAUUCAUAAAAAUGUCACCUCAUCACAGACCAUCAAAAGAUAUACCCAAAAUCAGAGUUUAAAGUGGACACAAAGAACCAUGAAAAAGUCAUUUUAAAUCUUACAACGGGUCAUUUUGUUUUCAAAUACAAGACAAUCAAAGGACUGCAUUGAAUAGUGUGUUGGGUCUUUGACCAAAGAAGUUUGAAUUUCAAAAAAAUUUUCAAAAACAGACAUCUCUCUGAUUUCAUUUCAACAAUUUAGACUUGAAUAGACAUGAUCGUUGAAAUGUGAGAUUUGAUUCCAGAACAAGAAAGAUUUUCAACAAAAAGAACAUCAUUGAGUUUGCAAAAUCCUUGACAAAAAUGACAUCAACAUUUCUCGACACUCCUUGAAAGGUUGACCACCCGGGGGCAAUACAGUGGACCCUUAGAAGAAAAACAAACAGCAUUCUAAUCAGCUGGGGGCAAAGAAAGAAUCAAAUGAUGAGUCGUCAAAGUUCAUCAAAGUUAUGUUUAACAUCUGACAAUGACGAGGAAAAACCUUCUUGAGUUAUACUCCGAUGAACGAACCUCCAUAUCAUAUUGGGGGCAAUGUUGUUCAAAGACAAUCCAUGAUCUAGUGCACUUCAGUAGCAAUUGAUGAGCAACGCUGCACUAGAAGGAUAUUUUCAUAUCUUCAUCUUGGUUUAUCAUCUUCAACAUGGUUAUGACCUUUGAACGAUGUUAUCACAUAGUUGCAUGUGCAUGAAUGCUGGAAGGAUGCACCCACCAAGACUGAUUGUGGGACCAUUUGUUUGGAACUCAAAUGCACACUUCACCGCAGGAAUAUGGGUGAUAACAUGAACAUCAUUGAUGAUGCCAAAGCAGUUAUUUUCACGAUCAGAUUUGACAAGCUAGGAGGAAUCCAUAGAGAAAUACAUCACGCUUACAACGAUGAGUCUUUCCUUGAAAAGUAUGAGAUGCAUGUCGGAAUGAUGUGGCAGUUCCAUGAUUAUGGAUGACUACAUAUACUUGAAUGGUGUUUCAGCCGAAGGCAAGUUCAUGACUGAUUAACAAUCUUGAUGGGUGUUGGCAUGAUGCACACAAUCAACCAGAGGAUAAUUCUCAGAAGAAGCCAGGAGAGAAAAUCCUUCAUGAUGAAUCAAGCAGUACCACACUUGGGGGCAUUGUCAAACGUAAUGAACGAUGCAAGCAGUAAUUGUCGAAGACAACCCGGGAUGGGCACUGCAUUUACAACUGAAUAAUGGCCAGUACAUGAAUGAGUCAAUGCAUCGAAAGAACAAGACCACUUCAUAUUUUUUUCCAUCUGGGUAGGUCACCCAUUACAAUGAGACCGCACUUCACAUUCUUUCUAUCUGGGUAGGUCGCCCAUCACAACGAGACCACUUCAUCAUAUUUUUUCCAUCUGGGUAGGUCACCCAUUACAAUGAGACCACACUUCAUAUUUUUUCCAUUUUUGGGUAGGUCACCCAUUACAAUGAGACCGCACUUCAUAUUCUUUCUAUUUGGGUAGGUCGCCCAUCACAACGAGACCACUUCAUCAUUUUUUCCAUCUGGGUAGGUCACCCAUUAUAAUGAGACCACACUUCACAUUUUUUCCAUCUUGGGUAGGUCACCCAUCACAAUGAGACCGUCAUCUUUUCUGGGUAGGUCACCCAAAGAAUGAGACCAUUCUCCAUCUUUUUUUUUACCUGGGUAGGUCACCCAUAAGAAUGAGGCCAUUCCUCCCCCUGGGUAGGUCACCCAAAGAAUGAGACCACUCUUCCUUUUUCCACUUGGGUAGGUCACCCAUCACAAUGAGACCACCAUUUUUUCUGGGUAGGUCACCCAAAGAAUGAGACCAUUCUCCAUCUUUUUUUUACCUGGGUAGGUCACCCAUAAGAAUGAGGCCAUUCCUCCCCCUGGGUAGGUCACCCAAAGAAUGAGACCACUCUUCCUUUUUCCACUUGGGUAGGUCACCCAUCACAAUGAGACCACAUUUUUCUGGGUAGGUCACCCAAAGAAUGAGACCAUUCUCCAUUUUUUUUUUACCUGGGUAGGUCACCCAUAAGAAUGAGGCCAUUCCUUCCCCUGGGCAGGUCACCCAAAGAAUGAGACCACUCUUUCCCCUUUCCACUUGGGUAGGUCACCCAUCACAAUGAGACCACCAUUUUUUCUGGGUAGGUCACCCAUUAGAAUGAGACCAUUCUCCAUCUUUUUUUUUUACCUGGGUAGGUCACCCAUAAGAAUGAGGCCAUUCUUCCCCCUGGGUAGGUCACCCAAAGAAUGAGACCACUCUUCCUCCUUUCCAUUGGGGUUCGUCACCCAUACAAUUAGACCAUCAUUUUUCUGGGGUUCGUCACCCAUACAAUGAGACCAUUUUUCACACAUUCUUUUGUUUUGGUUAAAUGAGGUCGCCAGAUGGGAUCUCGGGUAGCUUUGGUUAAAGGGAAUCGCCAGAUGGGAUUUCAGGUUAAUCGAGUUACACAAUAUUUUUGUUCCAGUUGAAUGAGGUCGCCAGAUGGGAUCUCAUGUAGCUUUGGUUAAAGGGAAUCUCCAUUGGGGUUUCGGGUUGACCGAGCUACACGCAUUCUUUGGUUUUGGUAAAGGAGGUCGCCAGAUGGGAUCUCAGGUUAACAAAAAAAAUAUAUUGAGCAAACAGAAAGACAAGUUUUUCUUUACAAAGCUUACUAUGCAAAACAUCGAGGAUUUUUGCUUCGUAAGCAUUGUAAAGAGGGGGCAUCUGUUGCUACCCAAUUUUUGACCCAUGUUUUUGAUAUAUUUUCAAAAAAAUCCAAAAAUAGAGAAAAACAAAGAAAAUCCAAAAAAAUAUGUUUUUAUAUAUUUUCGUAUUUUAGCAUUUUCAACGUCGUCUAAAAAAUUUAAAAUUUUUCAAGGGUCUUUCGAACGCGUUCGACUUUUCACGCGUCAUUUUUAAAAUCAAUUGAUUUUCGUAUUUGAGUCGACGUUGAUAUUGCUCGUUUUCAAAAAAAAACAAAAAAAACAAGAAAAAUCAAAAUUUUACAAAAAAAGAAAGUUGACCAAUUUUUGAAAACUUGGCAAUAUUUUUUGCCUAUAAAUACUGGUCUUAAACUCGCAUUCAAGGAGGGGUUUUCAUUUUUGCAAGGGGGCUAAUUUUGGAAACACCAGAAAAAUAAAAAAAAAAACCUAAACCUAUCUUCUCCCCCCACUUUUUUUUCAAGCAGUCGCCGGGCCCCCCUGGUCCAAGACCGUUAUUUUUCCAGCUGAAAAUCAGCAACUGAGCCCCCACCCAUGGUCUUCUUUUCCUUGUUUCCCGCCGACAUGGUGGCCCUCCUCGUAAUGAAAAAAACCCAUAUUUCUUCUGAUUCCCAGCUUUGCAAGGAGGGGGGGGGGGAAGACGUUGGAGCCAUUUUUUUUUCCGACGGGUCCCAAGAGCAGUGGGCAGAGACCCACGAUCCCCAGCCCCUGUUGAAUUUUCUCCUUUCUCCUUUUCUUCUCCAAAAACCAGAAGCCAAGACAGGCCCCCAACCUUGCAUUUUUUCUGAAGCCAGCCAUACGUCCCCCCCUUGCCAGCGCCGUUCCCUCAUUUUUUUCAACACACCCAAGCCAGCCCCUCACUUUUUUGAAUUUUUGUUUCUUCUCCCUCAACCGGCCACAAUUUUUUUUAUCUCCCCGUCAUCUCCCCCAAGCCACACAAAUCCUCUCCCUUCUCCUCCAAAACCGAACAGCCCCUUUCUCGGAUUGAUUUUUUGUGCCCGAGACCCCCAUCUCACUUUCCCCCUCAGCAGCGUCUUCUUCCGCGCGCGAUCUCUUCAGCCCGAACACAGCGGUGCUCACGGACCCAUAUCUGUCCGUCGUCUCCUCCUCCUCCAGACCAUCAGCGGCGUCUUCCAACGGCAGCAGCUCCUCGUCUCCACCCAGUGCUUUCUCCUUCAAUCGAUCGCCAUCAGCAACACACAGAUUUUCCCAUCUUCGGCCCCCGCAGCAGCUCCAGCCUCCAGCCCCCGCCGUCCGAAGAUCCAGCAACCAGCAGAGGAACGAAAACAGAGGCGAGAUCGAUCUGAAGAAGGAAAAGAACCGAUCUGCUUCUGCAGAUCAAAAAGAAGCAGAUCUGUAACGGGAAGAAAAAAAUUAAAAUCGACUGGAUGUGGGGUUUUGUUUGAGAUUUGCAGGUGACAGACAGUAGGGGAUUGAAGAGAGGAAUAAGCCAUUAUAGCCCCCCCCAUUUUCGGUUGUUUUUACGGCUCGUCUCCACCCAGUGCUUUCUCCUUCAAUUGAUCGCCAUCAGCAACACCACAGAUUUUCCCAUCUUCGGGCCCCCACAGCAGCUCCAGCCUCCAGCCCCCCGCCGUCCGAAGAUCCAGCAACCAGCAGAGGAACGAAAACAUAGGCGAGAUCGAUCUGAAGAAGGAAAAGAACCGAUCUGCUUCUGCAGAUAAAAAAGAAGCAGAUCUGUAACGGGAAGAAAAAAAUUAAAAUCGACUGGAUGUGGGGUUUUGUUUGAGAUUUGCAGGUGACAGACAGUAGGGGAUUGAAGAGAGGAAUAAGCCAUUAUAGCCCCCCCCAUUUUCGGUUGUUUUUACGGCGGCGCGUGGACCCACGCGCCGCCAGUGGCGGUGGUGCGUGAGGUCCACGCGCCCACUGUUACCGAGCCAGAAACCAUGACGAACACUGUUCCCGCUGCAGAAGUCCCUCCUUGAAAUUUUUAGAACUUUAGGGACUGUUUCUUGUAACUUGUAAAUUAAUUAAUGUAAUUUUAUUUAUUUAUUUUGAAGUUGUAUUUGUAUUUUUAUUGGGAUGUAAAAGAAAAAGAAAAGAAAAAUGAAUAAUAAAAAGAAAGUUGUGUGUGUGUUUGUAUUUUUUUAUUUAUAUUAUUGAAUUAAAAAAAAAACAAAAGGAAUUAAUUGUUAAUUUAAAUAUGGUUAAAUAUCUUAAGGACAAAUAAAAUCAAGUUGUAUUUUCCACGAAAAUGUAAGAACAAGUUUUUUUACAUAUAUUUGGGGAUUUAAUAACUGAUUUAUUCAAGCCUUAGAAUUUAAUUAAUAUUGACAAAAAGAAUUUAUUGUUAAUUUAAAUAUGGUUAAAUAUCUCAAGGACAAAUAAAAUCAAGUUGUAUUUUCCACGAAAAUGUAAGAACAAGUUUUUUACAUAUAUUCGGGGAUUUAAUAACUGAUUUAUUUAAGCUUUAGAAUUUAAUUAAUAUUUUAAAUUUUCUUAAAUAUGGUUAAAUAUCUCAAGGACAAAUAAAAUCAAGUUGUAUUUUCCAUGAAAAUGUAAGAACAAGUUUUUUACAUAUAUUCGGGGAUUUAAUAACUGAUUUAUUCAAGCCCUAGAAUUUAAUUAAUAUUUUAAAUUUUCAAACCACAUCAGAAAACAAAGCAGCUUACCUCAGGUAGGGUGUGUUAGGGGUGCUAAUACCUUCCCUAACCACAACCAGUCCCUUACCCGCGAUCUCUGAUAAGACCAGUACAUCAGGUUUCCUAGUAGCCCUCAAUAAAUUACUAGGUGGCGACUCCCACGAACGAAUUCAAAGCAAACGCAAAAACAAGAUUUAAAUCGCCAACCGAUGCCGCGCGCUUAGGAUUUUUUUUGGGGUGCGACAAUCCUGAUGGCAUACACAACCUGAUCAACAUCAUUCUGAAACGUGUUCGCAUAGACGGAUUCCUAGUUUUGGAUUACUAUCAUCUGUACCCCAAGUAUCUGAAAAUGAUUUAUAUAUCAUGGGACAACAUUUUGAACUCUUCCUAACAAAUAAAAAAAAAAAUAGUGCAGUGAUGAAAAAAAUAUCAACUACUCUCUUAGAUUCUUUCUUUAAUCAAUAGUGCAGUGAUGAAAAAAAUAUAGUUUUGCUUGAACUCUUCCUAACAAAUAAAAAUUUAUAUAUCAUGGGACAACAUUUUGAAAAUUCUUAUUCCAUAAAGAUAUUUUUAUGGACAAGAGUAACAAAUAAUAUUCUAAAAUGUAAUCCACUAUGUAUUUAUACCUAAAUAUCAGUUUUUUAAAUAAGUUUAUAACAUUAUAAUUUAUCUAUAAAAAGUCUUAUAACUUAUCUAAGACAUUAUGUGAGAAGAAAAAAGACUUUAAAUUUGUAUAUAUAAAGCCUACAAUAUUUUAUUAAUUCACUUGUUAAGAUUCAUGUUGUGCAACAAAUAAUAUCUAAUACAACCACGCAGCCCAUUAGUCCAAUAAUUUUGCUACCUAAAAAAAUACUAUAUUUAUUUAGUGAUCAUACACAACAAGAUGAUAAUAUCAUAGCUAAGUGGGCAUAAAGUAGGGAGUUUCUUAAACCAAUCCUUCAACUAAUUGAGAUCAUGAGGUGAGAACUUUUGCAUAUCCAUGCUUUUCCAUAGGCUGACCGCCCAAAUCAAAAAAGCUUUCCACUGCUGCCUUGUAGAAAAUCUCAUUGAACCAUGACGGGGAUGACGAAGCAGAUGAUAUGGUGGUGAAGGUAUCGUUCUAUCGCUUUCAACUUCGGACUCUUCAAAUGAAGUCUCGUAGUUGUAAAUGUCAUGAUCCAACACUGGAUUUUGAUCGAAGCUGUUCCAUCCAAAUGGAAAUGUCUCUAUCACAUGGAUCCCACAUCGUACCACUUUAGUGUUUUCGGACCUCGAUAUCACAUGUAGUUCCAAUUCAUCAUCUCCACAAUAUUUUUCCAUUGCCAUCUCACGUGUACUUAUGAGUCUUAGCCACCUACCACGGCAAUAGGGUCGUGCAUGUGUAGCUUCGAACAAUGGAAUACCGUUUCUUUUAUUUUUUAUAAUAGCCUUGUAUUCUUGAUACCCAACACCUGAACAUACAGCCCAAAUGAGCAAGCCUUGGAAAACUGGAGGUAUAUGAAAUGAUAAUGAACUCCCUUCUCCACGGUAGCUAAACCAUUUUGGAAUCAUACAACAAUCGAAGGGUCUGUCAUAGUGAGAAUUGAAGAUUCUCUGCAUAAAUAUUGAAUUCAAGGAAUGCUGAGAUUUUAAACACUGAUUAAUGUUUGUGUGUGCCAAUUAGAUGUUUAUUUGUGUGCAAGAGGGACAAAAAUAGUACCUGAAGAAGCCAACCCGUAGUAUAUUUUGAUAAAUCACUCAGACCUUGCUUGCCGUCAAUCUCAAAGAAAUUGUACAGCGAAUAUUGAGACAGAUAUGGUGGUGUAGGUAUUACUGUAUCUCCUUCAACUUCAGACUCAUGAUCCCACUGUGACCCUUCAAAUGAAUCUGUCUUUUCAACGAUCACAUGGAUCCCACAUUCAAACACUUCAGCGUCUUCUCCCAUAUAAAGUUCCACGCAUAGUUCCAAUUCCUCAUCUUCACAAUAUUCUUCCUUUGCCAUCUCACUUGUACGUAUGUAUGUCAUCAAAUUUCUAACGACCGGUUCACAUACGUAUGCUUCAAACAAUUGAAUACCGUUGCUUUUAUUUUUUAUACACAAUUUGGCGGUACAAAUAAGACCUAUCAAGCGUUGACAGACAACCCCAACGACCAAGCCUUGGAAAACUGGAGGUAUAUGAAAUGAUAAUGAACUUCCUUUUCCUCGGUAGCUGAACCAAUUUGGAAUCAUAGUGAACUUGUCUCUGUGGCUGAACGUAGAACAACGAUUGAAGAGAAUUUGAUACCCAUAACCACCGUAGCACAAUGCCUGUGUGUGUAUGUAUAUUGAUUUCAAGGAAUGCUGAAUAUUAGACAUUAAUUAAUGAAUAUAUAGUAUGUGCCAAUUAUGUGCUUAUUUGUGUGCAAGAGAGACAGAAAUAGUACCUCACCAAGACUUCUCUUAUAAUUAUUUGAUGACUUGUAGUUGGGAACAGAGCGAAUAAUCCAGCCAUGAUUACUUAGACCUUCCAUGCCUUGAAUCUCUAUUAAAUCCGGACAACAAAACAGAUCCAGAUUUAGAUAUUUUUUUGCUUGGAUUGGUAGUCUUACCCAUUGCAUUGACUCGCAACCAUAUGCAUCCAAAUGUUCUAAAUUUGAGGGAAGCUCUGAGAUUGAUACAAGAUUGCUGCAAAGCGCAACCCUCAAAAGCCGCAGCUUAGAAAGGAUGAUGAUGCCAGAAGGCAGACCGAAGAACUUGUUUCUUGAUAGAUCCAACUCUUCGAGAGAUGACAAACCUCCAAAAUCAACAGCAUUAGUUGCACGUUCAGACAAACCAUAAUUAACAAGUUUUAGCUUUCCCAAUACUCUCCAAAUAGUGGAAGUUGGAGCUAGCAGAAAAGCUGAAAUCCAAGAAGAAUUUGGUGAAGGCUGAUAUGGUAAGUUCCAGUUGCAGUGUCCGCGCAAUGACAACUUCCUCACAUAGUUUAAAUGUCCAACUGAAGAGAGAAAUUGCUCGUUGUUAAUUCCAUCUGCUAGAAGCUCAGUGAAGGACUCAAUAUCACCCAUACACUCCGGCAACUCCUUAAGUUCUGAACACCCCGAAAUAUUCAAACACACAAGAGACUUUGAAUGUCCAAUAGAUUGAUGUACCUCAACUAAACUUGAGCAACCUUCAAGAAGUAGUUUCCUUAGACUUGAACUGUGCACGUUUGGUGUUUUAACAAGCCUCUUUGAAUAACUGAGAUCAAGAAUCUUUAGAUUGUUGAGAAUCUGUCAGAGCAGUGAGGAAAAUUAUUAACAAGUAAUCAUCAAAAGUUGUAACUUGUAAAAUAUAAAUUACAUAAUAAACAACUUUCUGGCCAUUUUGGUAUGUUUAGCACCAUUUUUUCCUUCCAUAGUUCUCUGAUGUUACUGUACUUCAUAUCAAUAACAACCACGUAGUCCGGUGUAAAAUCAAAUGGCAAAAAUUCCAAAGGACAUUCAAGCCAACAAAUCCAAGUCAACACUUUAGAAAGCCGUUUGAAAGAUCCGGUGAGAUCUACUCCAUCGAUUUGCAGUAAUUUUAAGUUUUUCAUUUUUGCAAAUGAUCCUGUGCUUAGUGAUUUGUCUUCUGAUCUUCUCACAUCCAGUGCAAGGCCCUGUACAACUUCUGUUCCCUAAGAAAGCAAAAAGAAAAAAUCAAUAGAACUUUCAAAUGAUUGUUUGUAAUAAGUUUGACAAGAAAGAUGCAAAUGAAUGUGCUUUUCUGUAUGCAUUGAGUUCUUACCAUCUGCAUCUUGAGUACUUUCCACGCCUCCUCUUGACACCAAAUUCUGCUCCUUUGUGCAGGAUAUUCAGGUGACUCAUCCUUAACGAUCCCCCUUCCCAUCUCUCGUAAUAGAUCAUGCAUACUAAUCGUUCCAGAAUCAUCAACUUUAAUCAGAGAUCUUUCAAUGAGAGUUCCGAAAUCAUCUUCUGGAUUGCAACCAUAACGUCCUUCUAGCACUUCUGCUACGUAUUCUUUCUGUCCACCAAUAAAGAAGCAUGCAAUAUCAAGAAAUGUAUUCUUUAGAUUUGGGGCUUUCAGUGAGUCAAAACUUAUUCUAAGCCUUUCUUGAAUAGCAUGCUCUGGAAUUCUUCUCAAUCUGUCAAUUACAGAUUCCCAUCUAGCUUUCUUUUUCCCAAUCAAACAAGAACCUAAAACCUCAAGAGCCAUAGGAAGUCCUCCACAGUAUUCAACUACAUCAUUAGAAAGCUCAACAUAAUCUUUUGCUUGCUUGGCGUCCCUAAACGCAUGCUGACAGAAAAGCUGAAGGGACUCAUCUGGGUUCAGUUCUUGAACCUGGUAUCUUUGAUCAGCUUCAAGAAGUAAGCGUUCAUCUCUAGUUGUAAUUAUCACCCUGCUUCCGGGACCAAACCAGCUUCGCUCUCCCAUCAAAGCAUUUAAUUGGUCCAGAUGAUCCACAUCAUCAACAACAAUAAGAACUCUUUUGCGGCAGACUCGUUCUUUAAUCAGAACCUUUCCUCUAUCAACAUUAUUGAUCUUCUCAGUAUUUUGUCUUAAAAUAUCAUGAAGUAGUUGUUGUUGUAGAAGAACCAAAUCAUUAGGUUCUGAUUUUUCUUUGACAUUCAAAAGAAAAGAGAUUCCCUCGAAUCCAUAUCCACAGUCAUAGCAGAGUUGAUUAAAUACAACUUUUGCUAUAGUCGUCUUUCCUAUUCCUGGCAUCCCAUGUAAGCCCACAAUGCGUACAUCAUCUGUUGCAGUACUUAGGAAGUGAAAAAUAUUGUGAGCAAGCGGAUCAAUACCUACUAGGUGCUUAGGAACAUGUAAGUACUUGGGGUCCAAUUUAGUCAGCACAUCCUUGAUAAUCUCUUGGAUAAAUUUUGCUUCACGCCUGUUCAUAGACAAGAGCAAGUCAUUAGUCAUUAAUAGCGAGACAAUUAAGUAUGUUCAAAAAGUAUUUUAUUGUUUCACAUUGUAAAAUAAGUAAUCUAUAAUGACUCCAUAUAUAAAUGUGUGGAAGUGAAUCUUAUAGAUAAAAGGCAUACCCAUUUGCCAUAUCUUUGAGAUUCCAACCAGAUAGAUUUCCUGCCUCUUCAAGAGCUUCUCUCCACUCCUUCACCUUCUCUUUGUAACGUUCUUCAUGCUUAACAAAUGCUUCUGCAAAACUGCCGGUCUGUUUUCUGACAUUUGAAGGAUCGAUGUCAUAGAAUAUAGGAAGAGCAAUUUGACCAGUUUUCCUAUAUUUACACUUUAGAAUCUCCACAAGUUCAUCAAGACACCAUCUAGAAGCAUAUCCUUUUGAGAAGACCACUAUAGAUAUCUUUGAUUCUUGAAUUGCCUCGAGGAGAUGUUGGGAGAUUUCUUUUCCUCUAGGAAGUUCAUCAUCAUCUCGAAAAGUGUGGAUUCCUGCUUGGACUAAGGCAGUAUAUAGAUGAUCUGUAAAUGUCUUGCGAGUAUCUUCUCCUCUAAAACUCAAAAAGACAUCAUAGGCCCCUUGUGGUCUAGAUGGAGAAGAAUCUGGCUCUGUCAUGGCAGCUGCAGAAAUUAAGGCACGAUUAAUUAAUUAGCAAUGAAGCGAUUGCAGGAGGUAUCUGCUAUCUUGCAAUUAGAACUAGUAAGGGAUACAUGUGAAGUGAUCAUCAAAGACAACAAACAGAGAGCAUAAAACAAUAGCAUAAAAUGCUGAGUAGGAAUUUCAACGCAAUUACUAUUAGAGAGUAAGGUAAGAAAAUCAUUCAUUCAUUGAGUUUCACCUAAUACUUCAAGUUUAACAAACAGAGAGCAUAAAACAAUAGCAUUUAAAAAGCUUACUGAGGUCCGCUUUUCUUCUCUUUCGCGAGGAUGAAUCAUUUUCUUCAUCUUUGGAUUGCUUGCGUUUUUCUUUCGGCAUUCUAAAAUGGAAUGAUCUUGUUCUAGAAGACAUGCAAGGAAUUAACUCAAUAAACUCAUCAAUGAUGUCUAUCUGAACAUAAAGCUUUCAAAUUAUUGUUAUGAGUAAAGACAUGAAAUUAAAACAAGAAAGAAGCAAAGAAGAGGCUGAUCUAUAUGUUGGGCGGAAUCCGGGACCGGUGAUGUACUAAUCUUUGCUCAUAGGAGGGGUAAGCACACUGAGACAAUAUUUAACGUGAUUCGGCAAAUUACCUACAUCCACGGGAGAGAUCAAUAUUAUUAGAAAUAGAAAAAGAAUACAACACAUGGAGGAGGAUGACAUCCACUCAACUCCCAUCUCUCAUUGCUACAUAGGGCAGCAGUUGCAUAAGGCAGCAGGGCUGCUGGUGGCAACCCUUCUCUUUCUUUCUCUCUUCUUCUCUCUUUUGUAGCUCUCCUACAAGACUGUCUCUCUCAUUUUGUGCUGCACUCUUGGUGUCUAUUUAUAGGCUUCAAUGACAGCUACUCUUACUUCUUUGUCAACAAUGGUGCCUGCCAAACUCACCUCUUCUUCAACAAUGGUGGCUGUCAAAGUCAAGGUUGGUGGCUGCCACCAACAAGCCACCAUUGUAGCCUCUUUCUUUGACUCUCACAUGGCAGCCAUCUUCUUUGACAAGGCAGCCACAUAAUUAGCAAUAUUCCAACACUAUAAUCUAUAGCUUUGGGAUCAACUCCCUGUUGAUUUAAAAAACUAUGGUUAAAAGCAAGUACAUGAAGUUUUGUUAAUAAAUACAUUUUCAACCAAGGAACACUUUCUAGUCACUUUAAAAAUUAAAAAUUAAAUCAAAUAAAAAUCUUUUGCAAACCUCAAUUUAUUUUGUCAAGUAUCAUUGAAUGAGGAAAAAAAACCUCCAUUAAACACUUUUUCAAGAAGAAGUUUUUAAAAAAUUACAUUUUUUAUUUAUUUUUUUAUUAACUUCAAAUUAAUAUAUUUUUAGUUUUUUUUAAUCAUUUUGAUGUGCUAAUGUCAAAAAUAAUUUUAAAAAAUAAAAAAAUAUUAUUAAUAUAUAUUUUAAUACAAAAAAUUAUUUAAAAAUCAGCAACGACCAUAUUCAACGCACUAUCUAAAUCUUUCUCCCCAGUCGGCAGCAUUGAUUACAAAACCGCGUUGUUGGGUAUGUCAUUGCCUGCAUCACAAUCAAAUGGCAUAAUUUUCCACACGGAUUAGUUGAAUCUUAAAAAUGAUAGCUUGACAAGGAUUAGUUGAAUCUGUGCAUCACAAUCUCAAAUUGGCAUAAUUUUCCACUCGGGAAACUCCGAAGAGUCGAAGACCCUCGCCCUCACUCUCCAUCUCCAUUUAUUUGGCCGCUGAAUUCCAUCUCUCAGCCCUGCGCUUUUUCUUUCUUUUCUUUUUUGUUUCCGGGUCUAGUCUGAUACUUUUAUUAAUUUUAUUCAUAUAAAAUAUAUUUAUUAUUUAAAAAAAUAUUUUUUUUAUUUUUAGCAUUAUUUAAAACUUGUUAUUAAUUUUAUUCAUAUAAAAUAUAUUUAUUAUUUUAAAAAAUAAAAUUAUUAUUUCUACCGUGUUUUUGAGAAACCCGACAAUAACAUCAUAAUCAAAAGGUAUAAAUUUCCACGGACAACUUGCAUAUACAUGGGACAGCUCUAACCAUUUUUUUGUUCAUGUUUGUUGAUUUGCUAAUUUGUGUUAAAGGGAGGGAAAGGGACUGGAUCUAUAUAAUCCACCUUUCAAUUCUUUGUGUUCAUAUUUAUGUUGAUUCAUUCUUAGCGUUUUAAGGGAUUUUCGGCUGGUGACUAGUCUAGUACAGUCUAGCACAUAAUAUAUUUAUUAUGUUGAUUCUUUUUUUUUUCCUUUUUGUUAAGAACAUCUUGACCCUUUUGAAUUUUAACAAGGCAGUGCAAGGGCUCCUAAAAGUGUAGGAAAAAUAAAAGGUAUUAAAAUAAUGAGUUAACUUGUAAAAUUAUAUGAUUUUAUGAGUAAGUAUAUAUUUAUUAUUUAAAAUUGAGUUAAAAUAAAAAAUAAUAAAACUAGACUAAAAUCAUAUAAAAUCAAGUAAAAUCAUGAUUUUACUAUUGAUUUUGCAAUAAUUUUAAAAUUUCAAUUCUUAUCUUCAACCAUGAAUACCGUUAUGUUUACUUACUAAUACAAGAGUCCACUAGAAAAUUUGGAUUAUUUGCUACCAACUCAUAAUUUCUUAGAGUUGUUGUAUAAUAUGUGUUUAGUUAUAUAACUUAACGAUCCAGUCUUGAGAGGUAGGAUGAGGAAACGUGAAGGAUCUUAUAUCGAUUCCAACAUGCCCGGUUUGGUAAGUCACUUAUAACUCCUCAUUCUCUUUAUCUUGCAGUUCGUUGAUAUAUAUAUAAUUUUCCCAAGGACUUUAGCUCAAUAUGAUAUGUGGCUAUUCAAAACUACGCAGCCUUUAAGUGGAAAUGGGGUGGCUAGAGUUCUGGAUUCAGGUCAUCCAGACUACAGGAAAGGUGACUUGAUUUGGGAAGAGCACAGUCUCAUUACAGAAACAAAGGGACUGUUCAAAAUUCAACACACAGAUGUGCCUCUUUCCUAUUAUACUGGAAUUCUUAGUUUGUUUUCUUUUUCUUUUGUGUUUGAUUUUUAUUUUUAUCAAGAUUAGGUUGCCGUGGUGCUAGUGAAAUCCAUGGACGGAAAGUGUGAACUGAACUUGUUGGAGGAAAUAUGUUGGAUGCUGUGCUGCUCAACGUGAGGUUAAUUAUAUGCUACUUGUCCAUGUCAUAUCGACACACUCACUACAAUGAAAUGUUAACAUCUUUUGGCUCCGAGCCCGAGCAUAUAUAAAUCUACCAAACUCAACAGUAAUUCUUGAAUUAGAGAGGACAACUGUUAUAACUAAAUUUUUGAACAAAUAAUAAAAAUUAAAUAUAGUUAACAAUGAGGUUAAGACAAUAAAUUUUAAAAUUUAGAGAUAAAAUUAUCAGAUUUGAGAAUAAAUUGAUCAAAAAUUGAAGAAUUAAUAAGUUUGGAAAUUUACUUAAAAUUUGAAUUAGUUUAAUGAAUGAAAUUAAAAGAAUUAAUAAGUUUGUGGACUUAAUUAAACUUUGAUUUAAUUAAUUAAAUAAAUUCAGGGACUUAAUUGAAAUUGAUCCAAAAGGGCAAAAUUAAAAGAAAUAUUUAUUUGCUUAGGGGUCCAAUUGCAGAAUUUCCAAAGUUCAGGGGUCAAAUUGAAAAUAUCCCUUGCUGCCAAAACGCUGCCGUUGCUGGUGGAGGAGCCAUGGUCGUCUUUUCCAUCCCGAUUCCAUAGGCUGAAGAUCUGCAACAGUUUCGAUCCAAAUCGUGGACCACGUCUCUCGCCUGUAAUCUCGAAGAUGGUUAGGGGGGGUCAAUCGGUUGAGUCUCUAUAAAAGGAAGCAAAAAACACAAACCAGAGGCAGGGGGAGAAACCCAGAAAAAGCAGAGUUAAGAACAAGAAAAAUAGAGUUAAGAGAAGAAACCCAGAAAACCAAGUAAUUUACCCAGAAAAACAGAGUCGGGAUAAACAGAAAAAAACCAAAAAAAGAGAGAAGAAACCCAGAAAAACAGAGCAAACAAAACACAAAAAAAAAAAAAUAGAAGAUACAGAGAAGAACAGCAACAUCAACCCAGAUUUCGUCCCUGCAAGAAACCAGUUUUCGUCUGAACUGUUUUCAUCCCUGCAGGAACCCAACUGAUCACCGAACCGUUGGUUAUUGAAGAAAGCAGUCGAACCAACACCGACGUUGCAACCUUCCUCAGCAUCGCCAUAAACAGAAAGCAGCCGACUCAAGGUAGCCACACCAGCGUUGCAGCCUUCUUCAAUCGCCAGAAACAGGUGCGCCUUUUCCAUUUUCUUUGUUCUUCGGUGUUCGAAUGAUGUUUGAACAGUGCGAAGGUAAUUUAAUUACCUUCGCACUGUAGAUGCACGCGUGAAUUGUUUCACGCGUGCAUCUGUUUUUAGCCGGGUCACUGGCUUGGGCCAGUGACCCGGGCCGGGCUGGCUGGGUUCAGCCCAGCCCCUGUGGGGCUGCGCUGAGCCCAGCCACCAAUAUGUAUACAUGCUGGGCUGGAUUCAGCCCAGCCCAGCCCAAAAUAAAAAAAAAAAAAAACAGAAAAACAGAAAAAUAAAAAAGGUAGAAAAUAAUAAAAAAAAUAAAAAAUGUGUAUGCACAAAUAAAAAUAAUGUAAAUUUAUUGGUUUAUUCACUGAUGCUAGAGUCAGGAAUAAAAAUAUCGGUUUAAAUUUAUAUUAUUUUUAUUCGUUGUUUUUUAUUUUAUUUAGCUAGAAAAAUAAAAAAUAUAUGUGCAUGCGUAAAAAUAAAUUCAUUGUUAUUUAUUUAUUCACUGGCGCCAGAGUCAGGAAUAAAAAAAAAUAUUGAUUUAAUUUAUUUUCUAGCUACGUAAUAUUUACCAACGCCAGAGUUGGAAAUAUUCGUAGUUGAAUAUUCACUAACGCCAGAGUCAGGAAUAUUAUAAGCAAAUUUUCAUAACAUAAAAAAUAAACAUUUAACAAUUUAAGACGAAACUAGCAAUGCAGCCUGCCUCAGGCAGGACGUUUAAGGGGUGAUAAUAUCUUUCCUUUUACGUAAUUAGUCCCGAACCAUAGAAUCUCUGCUGACCAGUUAGGGUUCCUAGUGACCAUAAUACUAGGUGGCGACUCCUUAAACAAGAUCAUUCCCUAUUAAAGAACAGGAUGCCAGAAAUCCGUUCUUUCCAAAGAUUUAAAAAAUUUUUAAGGCCGUCGCGAUGUCGGGUGCGACAGAAUGGCGACUCGACUGGGGACUAAUGGACUAAGCUUUGCCUUUUGUUUAUCAAUUGCUAUAAUGUUUGUUAUGUUAUGUUAUGUUUAUUUGUUUAUUUUUUCUUGCAUUUACUGCUUUAGCAUUCAUCAUUGUUUAUAUUGUCAUGCAACACGUUAAGAGCACACACCUUAAAAUCUAGGAUAAGUGGGAAAGUAACGGUACCCCAAUGGCUUUAGCCUGGGUAAGACUCGUGAAACCAUCCAACUCUCGCUUGAUUGUUUACUUGGAAGUGGUUGAUAUGCCAAACUGAUAUUACUCAGGGCCUCUAUUUUCACACUACUUGUAAGCCUCAUAUCGACCUUUCAUGGACGAUCACUGAGCAUGCGAGAGACCCUUUGAAACUAGAUAAUGACCAACCCUUUGAUGCACUCAACAAUUAGGAUCUUCCUAUUAGGUUGUCAUCCCGUGAAGGUGUCAUUCCAUACGCAUUUUUAAUUGAAUCAACAUUUUUGCAUAAAUUGCAUGAUUUACAUUUACAGGUUGAAAUAUAGGUUCCCAUUGAAACCUACAUAUCGAGAAAAACAAAAUGGAAAACGAAGAAAGAGCCCAGUUGGAAGCCCAACAUCAAAAAGAGGUGGACAAUCUUAAAGAAGAAGUCACAAGGCUUACUAGUCUACUCGAGUAGGCCUUGAGAGAUAAAUCUAGAAAAGCAAUACUUAUAGCUCAGCCUGAACCUAUGCUUGUAAAUCCCUUCAAUCCAUAGAAUCUGGGGGCAAAUGGGUUGUCAUCUGAUUUUCAACAAGCUAUGCAUUUCCAACCAUCAUACCCUACAAGAAUUUCUUCCACCAUUGAUUCUACAGAGAAGUGAUCUCAAAAAGGCAAUAUGAUAAAAAAGGAUGAUCUGAACAAAUUCAUUGUCCUAGAACAAAGGAUGAGGGCAUUUGAGGGAAUUCACCUAUAUGAUCCUAUAAAGGCUGCUGAGAUGUGUUUAGUGCCCAACGUUGUCAUUCCUAAAAAUUUUAGAGUGCCAGAAUUUGUUAAAUAUACGGGAACUCAAUGCCCUAUAACUCAUCUCAAAGCAUACUGCAACAAAAUGGCUGAGGUGGUUCAUGAUGAGAAACUGCUGAUUCAUUUCUUUCAAGACAGUCUGAGUAAUGUUGCCCUCACUUGGUAUAUGCGGUUGGACAAUACCAAGGUUAAAAAAUGGAAGGAUUUAGUUGAUGCCUUCAUGAGGCAAUAUAAGUUCAAUAUAGACGUGGGCCCUGAUCGUUUAAGCUUGCAAGCAAUGGAGAAGGACAACAAGGAGUCCAUAAGAGAAUACGCCCAGAGAUGGAGUGAGUUAGCUACACAAGUUAACCCUCCCAUGUUGGAAAAAGAGAUGAUCACUUUAUUUUCCGACACCUUUAAAGCUCCGUACUUUGAAUACUUGGUUAGAAGCUCUGCACAACAUUUCACUGACCUGGUUGUUAUAGCUGAGAGGAUUGAACAAGCCAUUGGGUUAGGUAAGAUUGCUAACCCGACUGAGAAGAACGGUUUCACUGAAGGUGGUUGCCAAGACACUUAUCAUUUCUAUAGCUAAUUGCUUCACAUCGACUCCUAGAAAUCAACUAUCUUGAAGAUAAAGCUAUGGUGAUAUUAGGUCGAGAAUGAUCUACAUUUGAUUUCAAUUGACUGUUGAAAAGAUGCCCUUGUCGAGGAGAAUGAAUGAUUGAAAUAUUCCAGAAAUUCCAAUCAAUGAUCGCUAAAUGUUUAGCCUCUUUAUAUGUUAUCAUGCCAGUAUUCAUAGCCCAAGAUGUUGUCAUAAGUUCUUUCUUGUUGAACUUAUUUUCUAAAGUUUCAAUGAAAAUAAUGAGUUUGUCAUUCAAUCGUGUUUACGAUUAGCAUUAUUCAUUUUUUCUGAGAGAGUUUUCUUAUAAAGAUUCACAAACACAUCUUUGAAGCCUUGUGCGAUCUCAUAGACGCAAUUCAUCUCUUUUACCAAAAAUCAGUUUCCCUAUUAGAGUUUUGAAAAAAAUUGAUCUGGCAUUUUGAUUUCAAAAAAUAAUUUGAUGUUUAUUCAAAAACGAUAUUUUUGACAUUCUACUUGUAGAAUGACAAGUGAAUCAAGCAACUCCAUCAUUGAGGUGACUAAAUUAUAAAAACAAUUGUGAAAAAAAAAAAAUAAACACCCUUACCCCAUUACUCUUGAAUCAUGUGUUUUUAAAUGUAUGAAUAAUGGUAUGUAGUGAACUUGUUGCUCAUAACUCAUGAAAUGCAUCUUUGCAAAGAAUAAACCAUCACACUAUACGAGGUCAAAGUUUAUUGAUCAUAGCUUGCGCUUGAAAUGAGGAAAGACCAUCUUUGUUAUUCCUUUCACGUUCUAAAAUAAGUACAUCCCUUGCAAACCCUUUUUUAGCCUAAAUAAUUUUUCUUUCAUAAAAAAAUCCCGACUAAGAUCACACCCUACACUGGGGCGAAGUGAAAUUUCAAUGAUCAAGAAAGAUGAUAAAGCCGUGAGAAAGCCAAAAGGCAAAAGAGCCCAAGAAACUCAAAUGCUAGGGAUCAUGCCCACUUCACAAAAAAAAGUAAGGGGCAAGUGAAAUUUCAAUGAUCAAGAAAGAGGAUAAAGCCAUGAGAAAGCCAAAAAGCAAAAGAGCCCAAGAGACUCAAAUGCUAGGGGGCAUGACCAAAUCACAAGAAAAAGUGAUAACCAAGAUAAAGUGAAUAUGCUCUAGCAAAGCAAUGAAAAGAAAAAAAGGAAAAAGGGGCAAAUCAAAGAAGGGCGGCAAAAAAAAUAAAAAUAUGAAUGACGUCAAGAGUCAAACUAUUGAUAGUGAUCUUCAGUCUCUGAAACCCUAAAACACUCUUUGAGCCUUGUCGCACCCCACAAAAAAAUCCGGCGCGCGACAUCGGGCUGGUAAUUUUUCUCGUCGUUGCGUUUGCUUUGAAUUCGUUUGUUGGAGUCGCCACCUAGUAUUUUGGUCACUAGGAAACCUAACUGAUCUUUUAGAGAUUCUAAGGCAAGGGACUGGUUGCGUAAAGGGAAGGUAUUAGCACCCCUAAUACGCCCUACCUAAGGUAAGCUGCUUGGUGUUUGGUUUGCUCUUAUAAUCUAUGGUGUUGGUGUUUUCUAGUCCCGUCAAUUGAUUUUGGAUAGAAAUCUAAGGAGAUUCCAUGUGCUUUGAAAGCUAAUUUUUCCCUUAGUAUUUCAAAAAUUUACGACUCGUAAAUCGCAAGGAGUGAAAAAAAAGAAAUCUAAGAAAGUUCUUCACGACUCGAAAACCGUGGAGUAAAAAAAAAUUAAAAUUUUGAAAUGUCCUUGAUUAUAAUCAAGGCUUCUUUCAAGAAUGUGUGCGGAUUUAUUACUCCCAAUAAUAUUUUGGAUAUUCAUCCUUUUAAGGAUUUCUUUAUCCAAACAUUAGCGGUGAACAAUAAAUAAAUUUCCUCCCCAAAAAUAAGAUUUUUAUAGUUUUUUGGAAUAUUGGCCAAUACCCUUUGGAGUUUUACAAACAUGUUGUAAAAUCCGGAAAUGCAAGAAAAUAAUUUGUGUUUAAGAAAUCUAUGCGAAAACACACUUUCAAAGCUUUCAAUAUAUUUUUUUUAUAAAAAGAACAUUCAAAACAUGUUAGAGUAUUGGCCGUAUGCAACACGAAAGAAAACAUUUUUUUUUUGUAAACAAUAUAUUUUUUUUUUGACGAAAUCGGGUAUUUUAAUACUGAAUUUGUAUCUCCACAGCAUAAAAAUACAAACUAAUAUUAAGUCAUUUUUAAAAAAUGUGCGGAAAAAUCAACGAUAUUUUAAGGAAUUUUGGAAAUUUUUUUGAAAGCAAAAUUUUUUUUAUCUUUGAACAUCUUGGAUGUCUUGACGAAAAUCAGGUAUUCUAAAUACUGAAUCGGGUAUUUUAUAACUCCACAGUAGAAAAAUACAAACCCCUAUAAAACAGAAAAUAUAUAUAUAUAUAUAUAUAUAUAUAUAUAUAUAUAUAUAUAUAUAUAUAUAUAUGAAAAGAAAAGAACAACAUUUUUUAGAUUUUUUCCAAAAAAAAAAAAUAUAUAUAUAUAUACCAUAAUAUAAUAUAAUUAUAAUAUAUUAAUAUAUUAAGGGGCUGGGCCGGCCCAACUAACUGGGCUGGACUCAGCCCCACAAGUCUUGGGCCGGAUUCGACCCAAAAGGGACUGGGCCGUUUUCGACCCAAGAAAAGUCCUAACUUGGUCUGGGCCGGACCCGGCCCAGACUGUCGGGUUGGGCCAGAAUCCUUCUGGCCCAUAUACAUGUUUCUGGGCCAGAAACUGUCUGGCCCAGAAGAGAAAACAGAACGGGGGGAAUUAUUUCCCCCCCCGUCCCCUGCAUGCAGAACGAUUCUUCAUGCAGGAGACGAAAUUUAUAAGUAAUAUAAGAAAAAUGUGCAGGGGGGAGAGAGCGUACCCGGCGCGGCGGAGACGACGGCUUGCUGGCGGUGCUGCUGUGGAGGCGGUGGCAGCGUCCUAACUCGCGGCGGCUCCUCAUGGCGAUUUCCCAAACGGUCCGGUGGCGUCCUCUCGGGUCGUUUGCUUGGUUUUCGUUUCUAAGUUCCCUCCCAGCUUCAAACUCUCCCUUUUACUCUCGGCUUUUUGGGUUUUCGGUGACUCUCUCUCCUCUGUUAAGUUGUUUCUCUCUCUCCUCCUCUCUCUCUUCGGGUUUUCUUUUUUUUCUUUUUGGGUUCUCCCUUUUGUUUUUUUUCGUCCUCGUCGGUGUGCUGGGUUGGGCGAUAUUUAUAGAACUAGUGGGCGUGGCUUCACCGUGGAGCCAAGGAGCGGGUCGAGGAGCGGCUGUCGGGGAGCGGCUGUCCAGGCGGGCCUCCCUCGGCUUCGGCAGCGCGGCGGGUGGUCGGCCAGUGUCUUCUGUCGGUGGCCCACCGGCGUGGGGCCUCGGUCGGUCGGUGGCAAGAGGGACCUGCAACAAAUAAAAAAUGCAAACUUUUCCUUCUUCCCCGCUGUAAUGUUCGGGGGAAGAAGAAAGGUGAACAGUGCCGUUCAAAACGGCACCGUUCGCUCUCUUAUUUUUAUUUUUUUUAUGCAUGAAACGGCGUCGUUUUGGAGAAAACGCGCCGUUUCAUUUUAAAAUAAAGGCGCCAGAACAUUUUUUUGAAUCAGUCCUUAAUUUAUCAUUUGUUCUAUUAAGUCCUUCAAUCGAGUCCUUCAAUCAAGAAUAAAAUUCAAUUGCGUCCCUGCCAAAUUCGGUCCCUACCCCUAUAGUUGGCCGCGUUUUUCACUUUGGUCCUUGGCCUCUGAUUUUCACAAUUAAGCCCUUAAUUGAUCAAUAAACUUCCAAUUUCUUCAAUUAUGCCCCUGAAUCAAUUCCAAACCGCCCCCUCUAUCUUUGCGCCUUCUCCAAAUUGAUCCCUGGUUUCGGAUUUUCGCAAUUAAGUCCCUAAUUGGCCAUUAAACUUCAAUAUUUAUGCAAUUAAGCCCCUGAUUUGACCUAAUAAAUUCCUAAAAAAUAUAUUUUGGCCCCAGAACUUAAAUUUCUUCUAAUUAAAGCCCAAAUUGACUUAAAAAUCAAUUUUUCUUGCAAUCAAAUCUUCUAUAAAUUCAAAUAAAAAUCCAAUUAAGUCCAUAAACAUCCAAAUUUGGGCUUUUCUCCUCAAAAUUCAAAUUUUCCUUCUCAAUAGGGCUUUCAUCCUUCAAGAAUAUACUGUUAAAAAUUCAAUCCUUGUAUUUUCAAAUUCCUUGACCAAUUUUCUGACUGUUUUCUGAGCGCUUCUGCCUCCUGUUAUUUUUUCUAACCUCUUUUGGCUAUUUAUUUUAUUUUUCAUGGGGACCCAAAAAUGGGUUACAACAAGCCUUAUAAAUCCUUUUCUUUCCUAGCCAAAAACCACAGCCUACGUUACGUACCUGUAGAAGUCCUUUCUAAUCAAGCAAGCAAGCAACCUAGAACAAUAAACAAUGCUCUCAAAAUGCAAAGAAUACUUUUUCAUAAGAUUCAUGACAUCAAGAAUAAACUACUCAUUAUUAUUAUUCAUGCUGAUAAAAAUAAAUGUUCAAAAAGAGACAAGUUUUUCUCAUACAAAACCUCGAGCUUUUUCUCGAGCCCUCCACUCUGAAAACCUAUAAAAACAAAAGGUCAUAAUAUCAUGACAUAUUUUCACCAAAGACCUCAUUGCCAAACACGAGCAAAUAAUCUCUUUUUCAAUAAAGAAAAUAACCAAGGAGUUGCAAGAUUUCAAAAGCAAAUUGUUAUUGGACUCACAUCGAAAUAAUUUUUGUUUUCAAAAUGCAAGAUCAAGAUUUCAAGAUUCAUUCUAGACCUAUAUUCUUCCACCAAACUGAAAAGGAGAGAAAUGAGAGAAUAGCCUCUUAAAAUCAUUAUUCAUCUAAGUUAGUGACAUAGCACACUUGGGGCAAUGACCUAAGGGGACAACAUUGUGUUUAAGGAAAAUAUAUCAUCCCUUACAACAAGACAAGGGGGCAUUUUGGUUUACAAAAGACAACUCGAUCCUUUCAGUAAGUGAUACCGAAUGUUUUUAGCAGUGAGACGAGGGGUAAUGAAUAAUCCUCUCCAAUUAUUUGAUGAGACGGGCAAGCAAGUGGGUCACGAUGGGCACCGUAAAAGCUGAGUUAUGUAAACAAAUCUAGAAAUAAACUUACAUGGGCCAACUCGAGUGGGCUAGAAAGCCAAACGACAAAGAUGACUCAAAUCAGAUAGCAAGAUCUCACCAACCAAGCAACGAGAAGACUAAGAAGAAAUGGGGGACCUAUAUUUCAAAUCAGGUAAAGAUGCAUGCAUAUCAUUUAAACUUUGAGACAUUGGAUAAUGAGUGUUGCAAAUUUUAUUAGAGAAAAUUCUAACAGAAUCCAUCAAGUGGAAGGCCAACUUGAAAUGGCCAAAUAUCAAAAUUGCUUUUGAAAAAUUGUCAUUUUUGAGAAUUUUGCAACCUGGGCAAGCCGCCCAUGAGAAUUAGGCCACCAGAAAAAUCUCUGUAUUUUUCCACCACCUUUCAGUUUCCACUUCUGAGGUAGUGCAUUUCAUAUCCUACCUCCAUUCGAGCGUGCCUUCGAGCCCUCGUCUUAUCUCCAUUCGAGCGCGCCUUCGAGCCCUCGUCUUAUUUCUUUUCGAGUGCGCCUUCGAGCCCUCGACCAUCAAAGGUAGUGCAUUUCCUAUUCUACCUCCAUUCGAGCGCGCCUUCGAGCCCUCACCUCAUUUCCUUCAAGCUUCUAUUUAUUGAAUAAUGCGCCUUCAAGCCCUAUCAUGUCUUAAUAAAAACAAAAUCCUCGUAUUUUUCUACUGGGCAGGUAACCCAUUACAAUGUGACCAACUGGGCAGGUAACCCAUUACAAUGUGACCAUCUGGGCUGGUAACCCAUUACAAUAUACCAACUGGGCAGGUAACCCAUUACAAUGUGACCAACUGGGCAGGUAACCCAUUACAACUAAUCCAUUACAAUGUGACCAACUGGGCAGGUAACCCAUUACAAUAUACCAACUGGGCAGGUAACCCAUUACAAUGUGACCAACUGGGCAGGUAACCCAUUACAAUGUGACCAUCUGGGCUGGUAACCCGUUACAAUAUACCAACUGGGCAGUAACCCAUUACAAUGUGACCAACUGGGCAGGUAACCCAUUAUAAUGUGACCAUCUGGGCUGGUAACCCGUUAUAAUAUACCAACUGGGCAGGUAACCCAUUACAAUGUGACCACCUGGGCUGGUAACCCAUUACAAUAUACCAACUAGGUCGGUAACCCAUUACAAUAUACCAUCCUAUACUAGGCAGGUAACCCAUUACAAUGUGACCAUCUGGGCUGGUAACCCAUUACAAUAUACCAACUAGGCAGGUAACCCAUUACAAUGUGACCAUUUGGGUCGGUAACCCAUUACAAUAUACCAACUGGGCCGGUAACCCAUUACAAUAUACCAUUCUAUACCGGGCAGGUAACCCAUUAAAAAUUAAAAGAAAUUUUUAUUUGCUUAGGGGUCCAAUUGCAGAAUUUCCAAAGUUCAGGGGUCAAAUUGAAAAUAUCCCUUGCUGCCAAAACGUUGUCGUUGCUGGUGGAGCAGCCAUGGUCGUCUUCUCCAUCCCGAUUCCAUAGGCUGAAGAUCUGCAACAGUUUCGAUCCAAAUCGUGGACCACGUCUCUCGUCUGUAAUCUCGAAGAUGGUUAGGGGGGGUCAAUCGGUUGAGUCUCUAUAAAAGGAAGCAAAAAACACAAACCAGAGGCAGGGGGAGAAACCCAGAAAAAGCAGAGUUAAGAACAAGAAAAAUAGAGUUAAGAGAAGAAACCUAGAAACCAAGUAAUUUACCCAGAAAAACAGAGUCGGGAUAAACAGAAAAAAACCAGAGUCAGGAAAUAUUCGUAGUUGAAUAUUCACUAACGCCAGAGUUAGGAAUAUUAUAAGCAAAUUAACAUAGCAUAAAUUAAUAAACAUUUAGCAAUUUAAGACGAAACUAGCAAUGCAGUCUGCCUCAGGCAGGACGUUUAAGGGGUGAUAAUAUCUUCCCUUUUACGUAAUCAGUCCUGAACCAUAGAAUCUCUGUUGACCAGUUAGGGUUCCUAGUGACCGUAAUACUAGGUGGCAACUCCUUAAACAAGAUCAUUUCCCAUUAAAGAACAGGAUGCCAGAAAUCCAUUCUUUCCAAAGAUUUUAAAAAUUUUUAAGGCUGCUACGAUGUCGGGUGCGACAGACACCAUAACCUACCUGAAUCAAUUAAGCACGUUAAUGUAGCGCCCUUAGAAAAAAGGAGAGCAAGCUCAACCUUGAGAUCCUUUGAAGGGGCGAGAAGUUAGAUACUUUCUCCUGUUUCCUCCUCCCUUCUCAACUAACAAAUAGUGUGGAGAAUCUGGAGAUCAUCAUAAAGUUUCGAAUUUUGUUUUCUUAAAAAGAAGAGACACUCACAGAGAUAGGCAAAAGGUGGGGUCUUUGGUUUCACAACAAAAACCCAAUUUCAUUCCAAUCAUUUUUGCGUGCAAUGAUCCUUCCUUCAGGUUUUACGGGCUCUUCGUUUCUUUGUUUUACAACAUGAAACUGAUUUCUUUUUUUGGUGUAGUUUUUAGUACUUAAAAGAACAUGUUAAUUGGACGAAAAAGUUCCACUUUUUUUUUAAAAAUCUUUUGUUCUUGUUUGUUGAUUUGCUAAUUUGUGUUAAAGGGUUCUCAAUGGUUUGGUUUUUAGUACUUAAAAGAACAUGUUAAUUAACUGGGUUUGGUUUUUGUUAAUUAGAAACAAGAAAAGCUUGUUUGUGAACAAUUAAUGGGUCUUAUUGUGAAGAACUGAAACUUAUAAUUGAAGGAUAACCAAUGCUCAGGAGGGUCGUUGAGGUAUAAUCCUUUUCACUUUAAAAUUUCUAUUCUUUUAGAUUUUUUAUAGGUUUUUGUUUUUUGGAAAGUGAUUUUUGAGAAACCAGUUACCAAACUUUCCAAUAUUUGUUUGUUAUUAAGAAAUUUGAUCGACGGAAAAUACUUUCCGGUCAACGAAAAACACUUUCUAGUCAAAGAAAAAUUUAGCUUGGUUUCUAGAAAAAUGUUUUCCUUUUAUUUUAGGUGGAAAAUAUUUUCCGGAAGUUUUGAAAAAUUUAGAAAUAUCAUAUUAUUUGCUGAUUAUAUCAAAUUUGAUCCUUAAACUUUUGAUUGCUAUAUAUAUAUAUAUAUUGUUUUGAAUAUUUGUUUUUCAAUUUCAUCACUAAGAAUUUAAUUGUUAUAUUAAGUUUGGUCCUCAUUUUUAUAAUUGUUAUUUGCUUUUUCCUUAUCAUUUUUUAAUUGAAAUUUUUUAUCUAUCAAAUUUGAUCCUCAUUCUUUUGAUUGUUACUUAUUUUAUUUUAAAUAAUUUAUGAAAAGUUAAUUAGUAUUAUUUUAAUUUCUUUAUCUUUUUAUUUUUUUAUUUUUUAGAUUUAAUCUCUAUUAUUUUGAUUAUUAUUUAUUUUAUUUGAGAUAAUUUAUGAAAUUAUAUUUUUUUUCAAUUUCAUUCUCAUUCAACUUUUUAAUUUUUAAGAUUUGUUCCUUAUUAUUUUAAUAAAUUUGAAAAGAAAUAAAAUAUUAAUAAGUCAUUUUCCAACUUAUUUUCCAUGACAUUACCCAGAUUACUCUACGCAAUUUAAACUUGUGCAAGAGAUCCAUGGUAUAAUCUUCACUUUAACGACUUGGAUAAAAAGAUGCAUGGUCUUUUAUGAGGAAACCAAGUUGAUAAAAAUCUCAUUUUUUCGCAGCUAUUUUUCUGUAGUCUCUUAAAAUAUAUAUAGAUAAUUGCAUAGAAAUAGUCAAGAAAAAAAAAGAAGAAACAAUUGGCAUUUAACACCCAUGAAGAUUAUGUUGGAUAAGAUUUUUUAAACAACCACAACCCACAUCAGUCCAAUAAUUUUACUAGCUAAAAUAAAUACUACAUUUAUUUAAUUAGUGAUUUUACACAACAAGAUGAUAAUAUCAUAGCUAAGUGGGCAUAAAGUGGGGAGUUUUCUCAAACCAAUCCCUCGACUAAUUGAGAUCAUCAGGUGAAAAUUUUUGCAUGGUUAUGAUUUUCCAUAGGCUGAACCCCCGAAUCAAAAAAGCUUUCCACUGCUGCCUUGUAGAAAAUCUCAUUGAACCAUGACGGGGAUGGUGAAGCAGAUGAUAUGGUGAUGAAGGUAUCGUUCUAUCGCUUUCAACUUCGGACUGUUGGUUGUCAAUCUCAUGAUCUGACGAUCCUGACCCUUCAAAUGAAGUCUCGUAGUAGUCAAUGUCAUGAUCCCCCUCUGAACCUUCAAAAGACUCUUGGUUGUAAAUGUCAUGAUCCAACGCUCGAGUUGCAUCGUAUAUGCUCCGUCCAAAUGGAUGUGUCUCUAUCACAUGGAUCCCACAUCGUACCACUUCAUUGUUUUCGGACCUCAAUAUCACAUGUAGUUCCAAUCCAUCAUCUCCACAGUAUUUUUCCAUUGCCAUCUCAAGUUUACUUAUGACUAUUACCCACCUACCACGGUAAUAGGGUCUUGCAUGUGUAGCUUCGAACAAUUGUAUACCGUUGCUUUUAUUUUUUAUAAUAGCCUUGUAUUCUUGACAACCACCACCUGAACAGACAGCCCAAAUGAGCAAGCCUUCAAAAUCUGGAAGUAUAUUAAAUGAUAACGAACAUCCUUCUCCACUGUAGCUGAACCAAUUUGGAAUCAUAGAAUAAUCUUUGGGAACCAUAAAAGCCUUGAAGGGAAUAAAAUACUCGCGAUAAUGAUAAUUGAAGAUUCUCUGCAUAAAUAUUGAAUUCAAGGAAUGCUGAAAUUUUAGACACUGAUUAAUACACACACACACACAUAUUAGAGAGACAAAAAUAGUACCUCAAGAAGCCAGUCCUUAGUAUUUUUUGAUAAAUUACUCAGACCUUGCUUGCCGUCAUUCUCAAUGAAAUUGUAAAGCAUAUAUUGAGACAGAUAUGGUGGUGCAGGUAUUACUCUAUCUCUUCCAACUUCAGACUCAUGAUCCCACUCUGACCCUUCAAAUGCAUCUGUCUUUUCAACUAUCACAUGGAUCCCACAUUCAAACACUUCAGUGUAUUCUCUCAAACUAUCGAGCAUGCCCAGAAGUUCCACGAACAGUUCCAAUUCCUCAUCUUCACAAUACUCUUUUAUUGCCAUCUCACUUAUACUUGUGUAUCUCAACCAACUUCUACAACCACCUUCGUAUAACAUUCCUUCAAACAAUUGAAUAUCGUUGCAUUUAUUUUUUAUAAUAGCCUUAUACUCCAAUCUGGUGGUACCAGAACUACCAAUCGAGCCUUGACAGACAACCCCAACGACCAAGCCUUGGAAAACUGGAGGUAUAUGAAAUGAUAAUGAACUUCCUUUUCCUCGGUAGCUGAACCAAUUUGGAAUCAUAGUGAACUUAUCUCUGUGGCUGAACGUAUAACAACGAUUGAAGAGAAUUUGAUACCCAUAACCACCGUAGCAUAAUGCCUGUAUAUAUAUAUUGAUUCCAAGGAAUGCUGAAUAUUAGACAUUAAUUAAUGUAUAUCUAGUAUGAGCCAAUUGAGUGCUUAUUUGUGUUCAAGAGAGACAUAAAUAGUACCUCAACAAGAAUUUUCUUAUAAUUAUUUGAUGACUUGUAGUUGGGAACAGAGCGCAUAAUCCAGCCAUGAUUACUUAGACCUUUCAUGCCUUGAAUCUCUAUUAAAUCCGGACAAGUAUAUAGAACCAGAUUUAGAUAUUUUUUUGCCUGGAUUGGUAGUCUUACAGUUCGCAUUGAUUCGCAACCUUCUGUAUCCAAAUGUUCUAAAUUUGAGGGAAGCUCUGGGAUUGACACAAGAUUGCUGCAAUGCUUAACUCUCAAAAGCCGCAGCAUAAAAAGGAUGCCAAUGCCAGAAGGCAGACUGAAGAAAUUGUUUCCUGAUAGAUCCAAUUUUUCGAGAGAGGACAAACCUCCAAAAUCAACAGAAUUAGUUGCACGUUCAGACAAACCAUAAUUUACAAGUUUUAACUUUCCCAAUACUCUCCAAAUAGUGGAAGUUGGAGCUAGCAGAAAAGCUGAAAUCCAAGAAGAAUUUGGUGAAGGCCGAUAUGGUAAGUUCCAGUUGCAGUGUCCGCGCAAUGACAACUUCCUCACACACUUUAAAUGUCCAACUGAAGAGAAAAAUUGCUCGUUGUUAAUUCCAUCUGCUAGAAGCUCAGUGAAGGACUCAAUAUCACUCAUGCACUCUGGCAGCUCCUUAAGUUCUGAACACCCCGAAAUAUUCAAACACACAAGAGACUUUGAAUGUCCAAUAGAUUGAUGUACCUCAACUAAACUUGAGCAACCUUCAAGCAGUAGUUUCUCUAGACUUGAACUGUGCAGGUUUGGUGUUUUUAUAAGGUUCUUUGAAUAACUGAGAUCAAUGAUCUUUAGAGUGUUGAGAAUCUGUCAGAGUAGUGAGGAAAAUCAUUAAAAAGUAAUCAUCAAAAGUUCUCUAGACAAAUUUUGGGCAUUUUGGUAUGUUUCGCACCUUUUUUUCCUUCCAUAGUUCUCUGAUGUUACUAUACUUCAUAUCAAUAACAACUACAUAGUCCAGUGAAAAGUCGGAUGGAAAAAAUCUCAGAGGACAUUCAAGCCAACAAAUCCACGUCAACACUUUAGAAAGCCGUUCGAAAGAUCCGGUGAGAUCUACUCCAUUGAUUUGGAGUAAUUUUAAAAAUUUCAUUUUUGUAAAUGAUCCUGUGCUUAGUGAUUUGUCUUCUGAUCUUGUCACAUCCAGUGUAAGGCCCUUUACAGCUUCUGUUCCCUAAAAAAGCAAAAAAAAAAAAAAUCAAUAGAACUUUGAUAUGAUUGUUUGUAAUAAGUUUGACAAUAAAGAUACACAUGAAUGUGCUUUUCUGUAUGCAUUGAGUUCUUACCAUCUGCAUCUUGAGUACUUUCCACGCAUCCUCUUGACUCCAAAUUCUGCUCCUUUGUGCAGGAUUUUCAGGUGACUCUUCCUUAACGAUCUCCCUUCCCAUCCCUCGUAAUAGAUCAUGCAUGCUUAUCGUUCCAGAAUCAUCAACUUUAAUCAGAGACCUUUCAAUGAGAGUUCCCAAAUCAUCUUCUAGAUUGUAACCAUAACGUCCUUCUAGCACUUUGGCUACGUAUUCUUUCUCUCCACCAAUAAAGAAGCAUGCAAUAUCAAGAAAUGUAUUCUUUAGUGUAGGUUCAUCCAGUGUGUCAAAACUUAUUCUAAGUUUUUUCUGAAUUUCACGGUUUGGAAAUUUUCUCAAUCUGUCAAUUACAGAUUCCCAUCUAGCUUGGUUUUUCCCAAUCAAACAAGAACCUAAAACCUCAAGAGCUAAAGGAAGUCCUCCACAGUAUUCAACUACAUCAUUCGAAAGCUCAACAUAAUCUUUUGCUGGCUUGGUGUCCCUAAACGCAUGCUGACAGAAUAGCUGAAGGGAGUCACCCCGGUGCAAUUCUUGAACCUGGUAUCUUUGAUCAGCUUCAAGAAGUAAGCGUUCAUCUCUAGUUGUAAUUAUCACCCUGCUUCCGGGACCAAACCAGCUUCGCUCUCCCAUCAAAGCAUUUAAUUGGUCCAGAUGAUCCACAUCAUCAACAACAACAAGAACUCUUUUGCGGCAGAGGCGUUCUUUAAUCAGAACCUUUCCUCUAUCAACAUUAUUGAUCUUCUCAGUAUUUUGUCUUAAAAUAUCAUGAAGUAGUUGUUGUUGUAAAAGAACCAAAUCAUUAGGUUCUGAUUUUUCUUUGACAUUCAAAAGAAAAGAGAUUCCCUCGAAUCCAUAUCCAUAGCCAUAGCAGAGUUGAUUAAAUACAACUUUUGCUAUAGUCGUCUUUCCUAUUCCUGGCAUCCCAUGUAAGCCCACAAUGCGUACAUCAUCUGUUGCAGUACUUAGGAAGUGAAAAAUAUUGUGAGCAAGCGGAUCAAUACCUACUAGGUGCUUAGGAACAUGUAAGUACUUAGGGUCCAAUUUAGUCAGCACAUCCUUGAUAAUCUCUUGGACAAAUUUUGCUUCACGCCUGUUCAUGGACAAAAGCAAGUCAUUAGUCAUUAAUAGCGAGACAAUUAAGUAUGUUCAAAAAGUAUUUUAUUGUUUCACAUUGUAAAAUAGGUAAUGUAUAAUGACUCCAUAUAUAAAUGUGUGGAAGUGAAUCUUAUAGAGAAAAGGCAUACCCAUUUGCCAUAUCUUUGAGAUUCCAACCAGAUAGAUUUCCUGCCUCCUUAAGAGCUUCUCUCCACUCCUUCACCUUCUCUUUAGAACGUUCUUCAUGUUUAACAAAUGCUUCUGCAAAACUACCGGUCUGUUUUCUCACAUCUGAAGGAUCGAUGUCAUAGAAUAUAGGAAGAGCAAUUUGACCAGUUUUCCUAUAUUUACACUUCAGAAUCUCCACAAGUUCAUCAAGACACCAUCUAGAAGAAGCAUAUCCUUUUGAGAAGACCACUAUAGAUAUCUUUGAUUCUUGAAUUGCCUCGAGGAGAUGUUGGGAGAUUUCUUUUCCUCUAGGAAGUUCAUCAUCAUCUCGAAAAGUGUGGAUUCCUGCUUGGACUAAGGCAGUAUAUAGAUGAUCUGUAAAUGUCUUGCGAGUAUCUUCUCCUCUAAAACUCAAAAAGACAUCAUAGGCCCCUUGUGGUCGAGAUCGAGAAGAAUCUGACUCUGUCAUGGCAGCUGCAGAAAUUAAGGCGCGAUUAAUUAAUUAGCAAUGAAGUGAUACAUGUGAAGUGAUCAUCAAAGACAAUACAUAUACAUGAAUGUGCUCAGUAGGAAUUUCAACGCAAUUUCAACGGAAUUAACUCAAUAAACUCAUCACUGAUGUCUAUCUGAACAUAAAGCUUUGAAAUUAUUGUUAUCAGUAAAGAAAUGAAAUUAAAACAAGAAAGAAGCAAAGAAGAGGUAGAGCUAUACCUCUAUAUAACAAAGGGUUGGUUGGAUUCCACACAAGCUACGAAAUUGCAGCAAUCUGGGAGAGAGGUUAGCUGAUUAAUUAAUACUGCUUCCAGCUAGCUGCCUUUGUUUGGCGUCUCAGAACUGAAAUCCUAUUCCUGGGACGAUACUUUAUUUCAACUACCCAAACACGGUUAUCAAUUUUUGUUAUCAACUCCCAAGUCAGUCUCUCAAUUUACAUAUAGUUUGCAAGAAGCAAAGUAGAGUUACCAGCAAGAACAUGAGAAAUUAACAAGGGAAAUUCCUUUGUAAAUGUCAAGGAAUUGAACGUGAAAUAGUGAAUUGAACAAAAACGGUUAUUAAUUUCCAAGUCAGUCCAUGGAUUUACUUGUAGUUUCAAAGAAGCAGAGAAGAGUUACAAGCAAAAAACAUGGCAGCAUAAAAUCCCAUGUAUAACUACAUGCAAUCAGUAGCAACAAUCGCAAAGGUUACCUCAAUUCUAUGGUGUUUGAGUUGUUCGGAUUCCACGAACCUGGUGACUUUAAAGAUCAAAUUGCAGCAAUCAGAAAGGUUAGCUGAAGAGUAAAGAAACGAGGACUGAAGGCAAUAUUGUUUCGGGUAUCAUAUGUCGGAAUAGGAGCUUGGAAAUUUCUUUAGCAGCGUGUGAUCAAGGUAAUUUCCCGGUUGUUGCUGAUUGAUUAUAGUUGUUGCUUUAGCGCGCCUCUGACAUAGACUGGAGGACUAAAUUUCUUUAGCAGCGUGUGAUCAAGGUUUUUAUUUUUUAUAAAAAAAAUUUAAAUAAAUCUAGAUUAAUCCCAACUAAUCUAAAAUCUAGAGCUUUGGGAUCAACUCCCCGUCGAUUUAAAAAACUAUGGUUGCAAGUGCAUGAAGUUUUUGUUACAAGGAUAUGCUUCUCGAAAAAUAAAAGGAAAUUGUUGUUUUGUUUCUACCUUAGAAUAAAAUUAGUUUUUAAUUUAAUUUUACAUUAAUUAAAAUAAAUAUUAGUGAAAAAUUUUAAAUUUUAAAACAAAAACUCAUCAUGUUAUGCUAAGAAAGUCACAAAAAAAUAUUUGUUAAUUUUAAAUUGAUAAAAUAAAUAUUUUAUUUUCAUUGAAUAUUCAUGAGUAAUUUUUUUAAAAAAAAUCUUGAAUAUUAGGUUCAUAUAUAAUUAUUCAUAAAAUAAUAAUUAACAUUACUAAAAAAAUUAUAAUCUUAUUUAAAAAUUACAGCACAACCGAAUAAGUUUAUAAAUAUUAUUUUUAAAAUGAAUUUUAUGACAAAAAUGUCAAAAACCAAAACUUGAAAGACCAUAUUGAUUUUUUUAGUGGAAAAGAUUGUCGCAAUCCACAACAGUUAUGGCGAGGGCUACACGUCUAAGCAUCAAUCUAGCACCAUUGAUUACAAAACCGCGUUGUUGGGUGUGGCAGCAUCACAAUCAAAUGGCAUUAUUUUCCACACGGGAAACUAAAGAAGAGUCGAAGACCCUCGCCCUCACUCUCCAUCUCCAUUUAUUUGCCUGCUGAAUUCCAUCUCUCAGCCCUGCUUUUUUGUUUCCGGGUCUAGUCUUAUAUUUAAAAAAAAAACAUUUUUUUAUCUUUAACAUUAUUUAAAACUUGUUAUAUAUUAAUUUUAUUCAUAUAAAAUAUAUUUAUUAUUUUUUUUUAAAUAAAAUUAUUAUUUCUACCGUGUUUUUGAGAAACCCGACAAUAACAUCAUAAUCAAAAAGUAUAAAUUUCCACGGACAACUUGCAUAUUUGUUCAUGUUUGUUGAUUUGCUAAUUUGUGUUAAAGGGAGGGAAAGGGACUGGAUCUAUAUAAUCCACCUUUCAAUUCUUUGUGUUUGUUGCUACCCAAUUUUUGACCCAUGUUUUUGAUAUAUUUUAAAAAAAAUCAAGAAAUAGAGAAAAACAAAGAAAAUCCAAAAAAAUAUGUUUUUUAAUAUAUUUUCGUCAUUUUAGCAUUUUUAACGUCGUCUAAAAAGAAUUUAAUUUUUCAAACGCGUUCGACUUUUCACGCGUCAUUUUUAAAAUCAUUGAUUUUCCUCAUUGAGUCGACGUUGAUAUUGCUCGUUUUUAAAAAAUACAAAAAAACAAGAAAAAUCAAAUUUUACAAAAAAAGAAAGUUGACCAAUUUUUGAAAACUUGGCAAUAUUUUUUGCCUAUAAAUACUGGUCUUAAACUCACAUUAAAGGAGGGGUUUUCAUUUUUGCAAGGGGGCUAAUUUUGGAAACACCAGAAAAAUAAAAAAAUAAAAAAACCUAAACCUAUCUUCUCCCCCCACUUUUUUUCAAACAGCCGCCGGUCCCCCCCCUGGUCCAAGACCAUUAUUUUUCCAGCUGAAAAUCAGCAACUCAGCCCCACCCAUGGUCUGCUUUUCUUUGUUUCCAGCCGACCAGAGACGCUCCCCCUCACCAUCUGCCCACUCUCCCUGGCCCUAUGCAAAACGAAGACAGCCCCUUUGUAAUUAAUUUUCUUCUCUUUCCCCUCAUAAACCAGCCACACACUCUCCCUCGCCCUAUGCAAAAACGAAGGCACCCCCCCCGGUGGAUUUCAUUUUUUCUCCCGGGCAGCCACCAUCAGAAAAUCAAGGCAGCCGCCCCCACCCUUGACAUUUUUUGUUUUUCUUUCAACACCGGAACCAGCCCCCUUCCCCGGUUUGAAAUUUUUUACUCCCACAACCCCCUGAUUUUCAGCUCAAUCUCAGCCGGUCCCUUCCCCCCCCAAAGCCAUUUUUUUUUCUUUUCACAGCCAGCCCACAGACUCUCCCCAGCACGCCGGAGCCACCACCGUUGGACCUUCCACCUCUGCCUCUCCACCGCAGCUCACUUCCUUUCUUCUCCCACAGCCCAGUCUUCUCCCCUCCACCAACAGCGCCGAUCCUCCCUUUCAGCCACUGUGAACGGACAACCUUCUCCACUGCAUUCCACCGACCAGCGAACGGAGCCCACCACAGGAGCAGCCGAUCUCCUUCACCGCCGGCCAGCCAGCUUGCCAAGACUGAAUCAAAUCCUCCAGUAACAGACCCGACCACAGACCCGAUCUGCCACCGGAGAAGAAGACAAAACCAUAACAAACCGACUCACCGAAGAACCCAGCGGCGACACCCCACAACUCCACCGCUGCCUGAAACAGAGAAGGAGAAGCAAGAUCAGACAAGAAGAAGCAAAAAAAACCGAAGCAGAUUUGAAGGAGAAGAGAGGCAGAUCGGGAAAACAAAAGAAAUAAAAAAUUAUUAAUAAAAUCGACUGCCUGUUGCGUUUUGGUUUGUUUUUUGCAGGUAACACCGGCGAGGAAAGGAGGGGGAGAAGAGGCUAGCCAGAUCGCACUGUUUCCAGCUUCUUUCUCACGGCGGCGCGUGAACCCACGCGCCGCCAGUGGCGGUGGUGCGUGGAUCCAUGCGCCGGAACUGUUCACACAGCCCCCAGAAGUCCUUCCCUGCAAUUUCUGGAUUUUUAGGGACUAUUUUGUAAUUUUUAAAUUAAUUAAUGUAAUUUUUAUUUAUUUGUUUUGAUUUUGAAUUUGUAUUUGAAUUUGUAUUUGAAUUUGUAUUUGUAAAAGAAAAAAGAAAAGAAAAGAAAAAUAAAUGAUAAAAAAAAAGUUGUGUGUGUUUGUAUUUUUUAUUUAUGUUAUUGAAUUAUAAAAAUAAAAAAAAAAAGACAAAAAGAUUUAAUUGUUAAUUUAAAUAUGGUUAAAUAUCUCAAGGACAAAUAAAAUCAAGUUGUAUUUUCCAUGAAAAUGUGAGAACAAGUUUCUACAUAUAUUCGGGGAUUUAAUAACUGAUUUAUUCAAGCCUUAGAAUUUGAUUAAUAUUUUAAAGUUUCAAAUCACAUCAGAACACGAAGCAGCUUACCUAAGGUAGGGUGUGUUAGGGGUGCUAAUACCUUCCCUAACCACAACCAGUCCCUUACCCGCGAUCUCUGACAAGACCAGUACAUCAGGUUUCCUAGUAGCCCUCAAUGAAUUACUAGGUGGCGACUCCAAAGAACCAAAACGUAAAAACGAUAAAAAUCGCCAGCCGCGCUCGCGCUAUGUAUUUUUUUGGGGUGCGACAGUGUUCAUAUUUAUGUUGAUUCAUUCUUAGCGUUUUAAGGGAUUUUCGGCUGGUGACUAGUAUAGUACAUUCUAUUUGGUAAUGUGAUCCGGAGGCUUUCUUUUUCUUUUUCUUUUUCUUUUUUUCCUUUUUGUUAAAAGCAUCUUGACCAUUUUGAAUUUUAACAAGGCAGUGCAAGGGCUUCCAAAAGUGGAGGAAAAAUAAAAGGUAUUAUUAAAAAUUUCUAAUUCAAUUUAAUUUAGUGAUUUCCAAACAAGUAAUAGUUUUUGAAAUUGGUGCUUUUCUUCAACUAUUCUCCUGGAAUUUUUUUUUUUCAAUAACAUGACAUGAUUGUUUUGGCAAUUGUUUUUGCUAAAAACAUGAUUGUCUAGCCAUUUUGCACCCUAUUUUUCUAGCAAUGCAAAAGAGAAAAACAACAUGGAGAAAAAGCUAGCAGAAACAGUUGUAUAUUGGAAUUCUUGGUUUGUUAUUCUUUUUCUUUUUCUUUUGUAUUUGAUUUUUAUUUUUAUCAAGAUUAGGUUGCCGUGGUGCUACUGAAAUCCAUGGACGGCAAGUGUGAACUGAACUUGUUGGAGGAAAGAUGUUGGAUGCUGUGCUGCUCAACAUGAGGUUGCAUGCACGCAUUGCUCUGAGCCCGAGCAUAGAUAAAUCUACCAAACUCAACAUUAAUCUUUGAAUUAGAGAUAUCUUUCUGUGAUAAAAUUAGAGAUGUUUCAUGCUAUCAGUAUAUAUGUUCUAUUUGGUAAUGUGAUCCGGAGGCUUUCUUAUUUUCUUUUUUUUUUCCUUUUUGUUAAAAAAAUCUUGACCCUUUUGAAUUUUAACAUGGCAGUGCAAGGGCUCUCAAAAGUGUAGGAAAAGUAAAGGGUAUUAAAAUCACGAGUGAACUUGUAUAAUUUUACAAGUAAAUAUACAUAUUUAUUAUUUAAAAUUGAGUUAAAAUUAAAAAAAAAAUGAUUAAAUUGGUCUAAAAUCAUAUAAAAUCAGGUAAAAUCAUGAUUUACUAUUGAUUUUAAAAUAUUUUUAAAUUUUCAUUUCUUAUCUUCUUCCAUGCAUACUCUUAUGUUUACUUACUCAAAUAUGAGUCCACUAGCAAAUUUGGAUUAUUUGCUAACAACUCAUAAUUUCUUAGAGUUGUUCUGUAUAAUAUGCGUUUAGUUAUAUAACUUAAUUUUAAGUUGGACCUAUAAUAAUGAUUUUUUUUAAGAUGAUUUCUUAACUGCUUGUGUGGAAUUAAUUUUCCACUGUAAUUUAAUUUGAAUUUAAUUUAUAAAUAAAUUAAAUUUAAUAAACAGAAUUCAAUUCAUUUUAGUUUUUAUAUUACCCUCAUCAACUUCAUCUCAUUUCUUCAAAGUUAUGUAAAAAAAAAGAUAGGUAUUUUAAAAAAAUAAUUUUAACAUUAAAUGUUUUCUAUUUGGAAUUAUAAAUAAGAGGGAUUAAUAUCUAAUUUAUUUUGAUAUAAUUUUUAGAGAUUGAAUUCUAUGUAAAAUAUGUUAAAUAACACUAAAAAUAUUUUAAAUAUGAAAUAUUAUUAAAAAUUUCUAAUUUAAUUUAGUGAUUUCAAAACAUGCAUGAGUUUUUGAAAUUGGUGCUUUUCAACCGGAUGGGUUGGGAGAGGGAAAAAAGAAACUUCUGCCGUGAAGAAAGCCCAAUUUCAUUCGAAUCAUUUUUGCGUGCAAUGAUCCUUCCUUCAGGUUUUACGGGCUCUUCAUUUCUUUCUUUUACAACAUGAAAGUGAUAUCUAUUUUUGGUGUAUUUUUAGUACUUAAAAGAACAUGUUAAUUGGACCAAAAAGUUCACCUUUAAAAAAAAAAAUUAUUCUUGUUUGUUGAUUUGCUAAUUUAUGUAAGGGGAUAUUUUAAAGUAUAGUUGUGGUUGUUUUUUAAAGUAUUUUCACUAAAAAAAUAUUAAAAUAAUAAUUUUUUAAAAAAUAUUUUUUUGACAUCAACACAUCAAAAUGAUUUAAAAACAUAAAAAUAUUAUUAUUUUCAAGUAAAAAAAUAAAAAAUAUUCAAGUAUUUUCAACCAAUGUUGAUUCAUUCAUAGGUUAUAAGGGAUUUUGAGCUAGUGACUAGUAUAUUCUGUUUAGUAAUGUGAUAAGAGGCUUCUUUUUUUUUGUUUGUUAAAAAAUUCUUUUGACCCUUUUGAAUUUUAACAAGGCAGUGCAAGGGCUCUGAAAAGUGUAGGAAAAGUCAAAGGUAUUAAAAUCAUGAAUUAACUUGUAAAAUUAUAUGAUUUUAUAAGUAAAUAUAUAUUUAUCAUCUAAAAUUGAGUUAACUUAAAAAACUAAUAAAAUCAUACUAAAAUCAAGUAAAAUCAUGAUUUUACAAUCCAUUUUACAAUAAUUCCAAAUUUUUAAGUAUUAUCAUCCUCAAUGCAUACCCUUGUGUUUACUCAUUAAUGCAUGAGCCCACACGUGCUUGUAUCUGUGGAUUCUUUCUUUAAUCAAUAGUGUAGAGAUAAAGAAAACAUGGCCUUACUUUAACACUUUCUAACAAAUAAAAAAUUAUUUAUUACGGAACAAAACUUUGAAAAUUUUUAUUUCAUAAGGAUAUUUUUACGGACAAGAGUGACAAACAAUACUCUAAAGUCUGAUCUACCAUGUGUCUAUACUAAAAUACGAUAGUUUUUUAAACAAGUUUACAACAUUAUGAUUUAUCUAUAGAAAAUCCCAUAACUUGUCUAAGACAUAAUAACAAGAAACAAGACUUCAAAAUUAAAAAGAAGGUACAACUUUGAAUUGUUCGAUUUAUUAUUUAUUUUAGAUCAUACAGGGUCUAUAAUUCUUUAAUUCUAUAAUUCUUUAAUGAUUCUCUUAUUGAAGUUCAUAGUGUGUAACAAACAAUAUCAGUCUGUUGUUAUCUAAAAUAAAUACUACAUUUAUUUAAUUAGUGAUUUUACAGAACAGGAUAUAAUAUCAUAGCUAAGUGGGCAUAAAGUGGGGAGUUUUCUCAAACCAAUCCCUCGACUAAUUGAGAUAAUCAGGUGAGAAUUUUUGCCUGUCCGUGGUUUUCCAUAGGCUGGACGCCCGAAUCAAAAAAGCUUUCCACUGCUGCCUUGUAGAAAACCUCAUUGAACCAUGACGGGGAUGGUGAAGCAGAUGAUAUGGUGGCAAAGGUAUCGUUCUAUCGCUUUCAACUUCGGAGUACUCUUGGUUGUCUCAUGAUCCGACGAUCCUGACCCUUCAAAUGAAGUCUCGUAGUAGUCAAUGUCAUGAUCCCCUUCUGAACCUUCAAAAGACUCUUGGUUGUAAAUGUCAUGAUCCAAUGCUGGAGAUUGAUCGUAGUUGCUCCGUCCAAAUGGAUGUGUCUCUAUCACAUGGAUCCCACAUCGUACCACUUCACUGUUUUCGGACCUCAAUAUCACAUGUAGUUCCAAUCCAGCAUCUCCGAAGUAUUUUUCCAUUUCCAUCUCACGUCUACUUAUGACUCUUAGCCACCUACAACGGAAAUAGGGUAUUGCAUGUGUAGCUUCAAACAACUGAACACCGUUGCUUUUAUUUUUUAUAAUAGCAUUUAAUUCUCGAUGCCAAGUACCACCUGAACAGAGAGCCCAAAUGACCAAGCCUUCGAAAUCUGGAGGUAUAUCAAAUGAUAAUGAACAUCCUUCUCCACCGUAGCUGAACCAUUUUGGAAUGAUAGAAUUAUCGCAGGGAACCAAAAAAGCCUUGAAGGGAAUAAAAUACUCGAGAAAAUGAUAACUGAAGAUUCUCUGUAUAAAUAUUGAAUUCAAGGAACGCUGAGAUUUUAGACACCGAUUAAUAUAUAUAUCUGCGUGCACACCAAUUGUGUGCAAGAGGGACAGGACUAGUACCUGAAGAAGCCGAUCCUUGGUAUUUUUUGAUAAAUUACUCAGACCUUGCUUGCCGUCAAUGUCAAUGAAAUUGCACAGCGCAUAUUGAGACAGAUAUGGUGGUGCAGCUAUUACGACUCUAUCUCUUCCAACUUCAGACUCAUGAUCCAACUCUGACCCUUCAAAUGAAUCUGUCUUUUCAACUAUCACAUGGAUCCCACAUUCAAACACAUCAGUGUCUUCUCCCGUAUAAAGUCAGACGCACAGUUCCAAUUCCUCAUCUUCAUAAUAUUCUUUCAUUGCCAUCUCGCUUAGACUUAUGUAUCUCAACCAAUUUCUACCGACACAUUGAAUUACAGUUGCUUCAAACAAUUGAAUACCGUUGCUUUUAUUUUUUAUACACAAUUUGGCGGUACCAAAAAGACAUAUCAAGCAUUGACAGGCAACCCCAACGACCAAGCCUUGGAAAACUGGAGGUACAUGAAAUGAUAAUGAACUUCCUUUUCCACGGUAGCUGAACCAAUUUGGAAUCAGAGUGAACUUAUCUUUCUGGCUGAACGUAUUGAAGAGAAUUUGAUACCCGUAACCACCGUAGCACAGUGCCUGUAUAUAUUAGACAUUAAUUAAUGUAUAUAUAGUAUGUGCUUAUUUGUGUGCAUGAGAGACAGAAAUAGUACCUCAACAAGACUUUUCUUAUAAUUAUUUGGUAACUUGCUCUUGGUAACAGAGAGAAUAAUCCAGCCAUGAUUACUUAGACCUUCCAUGCCUUGAAUCUCUAUUAAAUCCGGACAACCAAACAAAUCCAGGCUUAGAUAUUUUUUUGCUUCGAUUGGUAGUCUUACCCAUUGCAUUGAUUUGCAACCAAAUGUAUCCAAAUGUUCUAAAUUUGAGGGAAGCUUUGGGAUUGAUACAAGAUUUCUGCAUUCCUGAACGGUCAAAAGCCGCAGCUUAGAAAGGAUGCCGAUGCUAGAAGGCAGACUAAAGAACUCGUUUCUUGAUAGAUCCAACUCUUCAAGAGAGGACAAACCUCCAAAAUCAACACAAUUAGUUACGCGUUCAGACAAACCAUAACCACCAAGUUUUAGCUUUCCCAAUACUCUCCAAAUAGUGGAAGUUGGAGUUAGCAGAAAAGCUGAAAUCCAAGAAGAAUUUGGUGAAGGCCGAUAUGGUAAGUUCCCGUCCCACUUCCAGUGUCCGCGCAAUGACAACUUCCUCAAACACUUUAAAUGUCCAACUGAAGAGAGAAAUUGCUCGUUGUUAAUUCCAUCUGCUAGAAGCUCAGUUCACUCAUGCACUCCGGCAGCUCUUUAAGUUGUGAGCACCCCGAAAUAUUCAAACACACAAGAGACUUUGAAUGUCCAAUAGAUUGAUCUACCUCAACUAAACUUGAGCAACCUUCAAGCAGUAGUUUCUCUAGUCUUGAACUAUGCAAGUUUGGUGUUUUUACAAGGUUCUUUGAAUAACUAAGAUCAAGAAUCUUUAGAUUGUUGAGCAUCUGUCAGAGCAGAGAGAAAAAUCAUUAAAAAGUAAUCAUCAAAAGUUCUCUAGACAAAUUUUUGGGCAUUUUGGUAUGUUUCGCACCUUGUUUUCCUUCCAUAGUUCUCUGAUUUUAUUGUACUGCAUAUCAAUAACAACUACAUAGUCUAGUGAAAAGUCGGAUGGUAAAAAUUCCAAAGGACAUUCAAGCCAACAAAUCCACGUCAACACUUUAGAAAGCUGCUCGAAAGAUCCGGUGAGUUCUGCUCCAUUGAUUUGGAGUAAUUUUAACAAUUUCAUUUUUGUAAAUGAUCCUGUGCUUAGUGAUUUGUCUUCUGAUCUUCUCACAUCCAGUGUAAGGCCCUUUACAACUUCUGUUCCCUUAAAAAGAAAAAAAAAUCAAUAGAACUUUCAUGUGAUUGUUUGUAAUAAGUUUGACAAUAAAGAUACAAAUGAAUGUGCUUUUCUGUAUGCAUUGAUCUCUUACCAUCUGCAUCUUGAGUACUAUCCACGCAUCCUCUUGACUCCAAAUUCUGCUCCUUUGUGCAGGAUUUUCAGGUGACUCUUCCUUAACGAUCUCCCUUCCCAUCCCUCGUAAUAGAUCAUGCAUUCCUAUCGUUCCAGAAUCAUCAACUUUAAUCAGAGACCGUUCAAUAAGAGUUCCGAAAUCAUCUUCUGGAUUGCAAUCAUAACGUCCUUCUAGCACUUUUGCUAUGUAUUCUUUCUUUCUACCAAUAAAGAAGCAUGCAAUAUCAAGAAAUGUAUUCUUUAGUGUAGAUUCAUCCAGUGUGUCAAAACUUAUUCUAAGUUUUUUCUGAAUUUCACUGUUUGGAAAAUUUCUCAAUCUGUCAAUUACAGAUUCCCAUCUAGCUUGGUUUUUCCCAUACAAACAAGAACCUAAAACCUUAAGAGCUAAAGGAAUUCCUCCACAGUAUUCAACUACAUCAUUCGAAAGCUCAACAUAAUAUUUUGCUGGUUUGGUGUCCCUAAACGCAUGCCUACAGAAAAGCUGAAGGGAGUCACCCCGGGUCAAUUCUUGAACCUGGUAUCUUUGAUCAGCUUCAAGAAGUAAGCUUUCAUCUGUAGUUGUAAUUAUUACCCUACUUCCAGGGCCUAACCAACUUGGCUCUCCCAUCAAAUCAAAUGAAGAAGUGCGGUCUCAUUAUCAUGGGUGACCUACCCAGAUGGAAAAAAUAUGAAGAAGUGUGGUCUCGUUAUCAUGGGUGACCUACCCAGGUGGAAAAAAAAUAUGAAGUGUGGUCUCAUUGUAAUGGGUGACCUACCCAAGAUGGAAAAAAUAUGAAGAAGUGCGGUCUCAUUGUCAUGGCUGACCAACCCAGGUGGAAGAUGUGAUAUGACAAGUGUGAAAAAUAGGACUUACCUGGCGAAGUCCUGAGGGGAUGACAGAAAAAGGGCUGGAAAACUUGGUGCUUCCUGAUAAUUCCCGAUCAUAGGGUUUGAAAACUCGGUGUUUCCUGACUGCAAGGGUUGAAAAUUCGAGGCUUCCCGGUUGCAAGGUUGAUCUAUUCAUUUCUUUGGGAUUUUCCUAAUGGUAGGGUUCAUCCCAUCGUCCUUUUAUUCCAUGAUCAAAACCGAUUCUUUAUUAUCAUCACCCACAAUGCUUCUUUCUUUUUCCACCAUCUUGCUGGACCUCAUUAAGGAUUUUCCUAUAACAAUUCAAAAAUAUGUACAAAUGGUUUUUUUUUUUUUUUUGAGGUUAGAUGAUAUGCAUGCAUCCUUACCUGAUUUGAAAUAUAGGUCCCCCCCUCCUUGAUGCUCCAUCGUCAUAGGGUGCCCUUGUUUGCAUCCCAAAGUUUUCUUUGUUCUUCCGAUGCAUUGGCUCAUUCAUGUGCUAGCCAUCCACUCAGCUGUAAAUGCAGUGCCCAUCCCGGGCUGUCUUCGACAAUUACUGCUUGCCUCGUUCAUCAAGCUUGACCCUGCCCUCAAGUGUGGUGCUGCUCAAUUCAUUAUGAAGGUUUUUCUCUCCUAGAUUCUUUCGAGGAUUAUCCUUUUGAUUGAUUGUGUGUGUUGUAACCCAUUUUUAGGUCCCCACAAAAAUAAAAAUAAAAUAAAUAGCCAAAGGAGGUUAGAAAAAUAACAAGAGGUAGAAGCGCUUAGAAAGUGGUCAGAAAAAUCGGUCAAGGAGGAUAAAAAUACAAAGAUGGAUUUUUGACAAUAUAUUCUUGAAUGAUAAGAACCCUGGUGGAUAAAAAAAUUUGAUUUUUUGAGGAGAAAAGUCCAAAUUUGGAGGUUUAUGGAUUUAAUUGGAUUUUUAAUUGAAUUUAUAGAGGAUUUGAGUGCAAGAAAAGUUGAUUUUUAAGUCAAUUUGGGCUUUAAUUAGAAGAAAUUUAAGUUCUGGGGCCAAAAUAUAUUUUUUAGGAUUUUAUUGGGUCAAAUCAGGGGCUUAAUUGCAUAAAUAUUGAAGUUUAAUGGCCAAUUAGGGACUUAAUUAAGAAAAUCCGAAACCAGGGACCAAAUUGGAAGAGGCGCGUAAAUGGAGGGGCUGCAAUUAUUCGGUUUAGGGGCCUAAUUGAAGAAAUUGAAAGUUUAUUAAUCAAUUGAGGGCUCAAUUGCAUAAAUUAGAGGCCAAGUACCAAAGUGAAAAACACGGCCAACUAUGGGGGCGGGGACCGAAUUUGGCAGGGAUACAAUUGAAAUGAACAAGAAAUGAUGGAGGGCUGAUUUGAAGUUUGGCUCAUUUAAAUGAAAAGGCGCGUUUUAUCCAAAACGACGUCGUUUCAUAUAUAUAUAUAUAUAUAUAUAUAUAUAUAUAUAUAUAUAUAUAAAAGACCAGAACGAUGUCGUUUUGAACGACACUGUUCAUCUUCCUCCUUCCCCCCGAAUGAGCAGCAACAAGAGACGAAAACAUUUUCAAACCUUCCCGCCUCUCUCUCCUCGCCCCCACCGAAGCCCCACAAGACCACCAAACGGGUCACUGGCCGACCAGCCGUUGCGUGAUUGAAGGUGCACUAGCAAAAGGCACACCGGCUCCUUUUUUCCCCCUUAUAAAUAGAGAGAGACCAAAGGAGAGAGGAAGACCCGAGGAUAGAGGGAGAAGAGAAAUAACGCACGAAGAAGAGGGAAGAGCAGGAACAAACCGAAAACAAAGAAACCCAAACCGAAAACAAAAAAGAAAAAAAAGAGAACCGAAACAAGGAGAAGGGAGGAGAGAGAGAGAGCAAACCGAACACUUGGAAACAGCCGCCGCGCCGCCGCCCGAAGCCGCCGUCCACAAGCCACGCCACCGCAGCACCGCCAGUGACCGCCUCCUCCACGCCAGGUAAAUUUUCUUCUUCCCCCUUCGCUUUCAUUGCAGGCGUUACCUCCUGCAUGAAGAGUUCUGCAUGCAGGAGGCGAGGGGAAGAAAAUUAAUUCUUCCCCCCGCUGGGCCGAGGGUGCUGGGCCAGCCCGAUGCUGGCCCAGACUGUAGAAGUUUUUGGGCCGAGAUCGGCCCAAUUUCAUUUUGGGCUGAGGUCGGCCCGUUUUUAUUUUUUUGGGCUGAGCCUGGCCCAUUUAUUUGGGCCGGCCCAGCCCCAUAAUAUAAUAUAUUAUAUAUUAUAUAUAAAAAAAUAUUUAUAUUAAAAGAAAAUAUUUUGAAAAAUCUUAAAAAAUACUGUUGAUUUUCCUGCAUAUUUUUGUCAAAAAUGCUUUAAUGUUGGUUUGUAUUUUUAUACCGUAAAGAUACAAAAUAAGUGUUAAAAAUACCCGGUUUUCGUCAAAAUAUCAAAGAUUUUUAGAAUAAAAAAUGUUUUUGCUAAAAAAAAUCCCUAAAAAUGUUGUUGAUUGUUCUGCAUAUUUUUAUUAAAGUUGAUUAAUAUUGGAUUGUAUUUUUAUAUCGUAAGGAUACAAACUCAGUAUUUAAAUACCCGAUUUUCAUCAAAGCAUAAAAAAUAAUAUUUUCCAAAAAAAUUUGUGUUUGGUUUUAAAAUACGGCCUAGUCUCUCCAAUAUAUAUAUAAAUAUUAUAUCAUAUUUUCACACAACAAAGGAAAUUUUCAAAACAAUAUAUGUAUUAGCAUGCAUUUUGGCUUUAAUAACCAGUUUAUUCAAGCCAUGAGAACUAGACCAAUAUUUCAAAAAUUAUAAAAAAUUCUUUUUGUUUUCUUUUAGUAUUUGGGAUUAGGAAUUUAUACGUAAAAUGUAUUCCUAAAUAUUAUUAAUAAAGUUUUGGGUAUAGACGUUAGAACAGUUAGGAUUUUACCCAAUAAGAUAAAGAUCUCCUUAUCGAGGAGGUUUUUUUCUUGAACCAUACACAGACCAACAACUAGGAAAACACGAAAAUACCUUAGAUUUUAUCAGAUAAUAAAACAAUGCAGCUUACCUUAGGUAGGGCGUAUUUGGGGUGUUAAUACCUUCACUUUACGCAACCAGUCCCCGUACCCGAUCUCUGAGACCAGUUAGGGUUCCUAGUGACCAAAAUACUAGGUGGCGACUCCAAAGAACCAAAUCAGUAAAACAAAAAAAAAUCGCCAGCUGAACGCCGCAUUGGAUUUUUUUUGGGGUGCGACAGUGUGCAUCAUGCCAACACCCAUCCAGAUUGUUAACUAGUCUGAAACUGCCUCCAGUUGAAACAUCAUUCAAGUAUAUGUGGUCAUCCAUAAUCAUGGAACUGCCACGUCAUUCCGACAUGCAUCUCAUACUUUGCAGGGAAAGGCUCAUCGUUGUAAGCUCAAUGUUUUCCUCAAAAAGUUAUUCUCACCCAUCUAAUCAGAUCUUGAAAAGAAAUGUAUUGGCAUCAUCAAUGAUGUUCAUGUUAUCACCCAUAUUCAUGCGGUGAAGUGUGCAUUUGAGCUUCAAAACAAAUGGUCCCACAAUCAGUCUUGGUGGGUGCAUCCUUCAGCAUUCAUGCACAUGCAACUAUGUGAACAUCGUUCAAAAGUCAUACCAUGUUGAAGAUGAUAAACCAAGAUGAAGAUAUGAAAAUAUCCUUCUAGUGCAGCGUUGCUCAUCAAUUGCUGCUGAAGUGCACUAGAUCAUGGAUUGUCUUUGAACAACAUUGCCCCAUAUGAUCUGAAGGUUCGUUCAUCUUUAUACUCAAGAAGGUUUUUCUUUGUCAUUGUCAGAUGCUAAAACUUUGGACUUUGAUGACUCAUCAUCUGAUUCUUUCUUUGCCCCCAGCUGAUCUGGAUAUUGUUUGUUUUCUUCUUAAGGGUCCACUGUAUUGCCCCCAGGUGGUCAACGUUUCAAGGAGUGUCGAGAAAUGUUGAUGUCAUUUUUGUCAAGGAUUUUGCAAACUCAAUGAUGUUUUCUUGUUUGAAAUCUUUCUUGUUCUGGAAUCAAAUCUCAUUUCAACGAUCAUGUCUAUUCAAGUCUAAUUGUUGAAAUGAAAUCAGAGAGAUAUCUGUUUUUGAAAAUUAUUUUGAAAUUCAAACUUCUUUGGUCAAAGACCCAACACACUAUUCAAUGCAGUCCUUUGAUUGUCUUGUAUUUUGAAAACAGAAAUGACCCGUUGUAAGAUUUAAAAUGACUUUUUCAUGGUUCUUUGUGUCCACUUUAAACUCUGAUUUUGGGUAUAUCUUUUUGGUUGUGAUGAGGUGAUUUUUAUGAAUUUCAAAAACAAGAUGCUCAGGCUUUAUCAAGAAAGGUUGUUUCUUUUCUUAGCAUUUAUUUUAUCAGCAUGCAUAAUAACCAGUAGCUUAAUUCAUGAAGUCACGACCCUUAUGGAAAAACUCUUCAAGUUUUGAGAGCGCCAUUUAUCGUUCAAAGUUGCUUGCUUGAUUAAAAAGGGCUUUUAAAAGCACGUAAUGCAGGCUAUGGUUCAUGGCUAAAAGAAAGAAUUUCAAGGCUCAAAAGGUGUUUGAGGGUUUCAACGACCUAGGACCAACAUUAACUAUUCAUCGAUUCUCUUUCUCUUUUGUCAUUGUAGAGAAAGUGACAUAUAACCUUGUUAAUCUCAAAUAUCAGAAUUCUCUUAACAUAGGUCAUAAUGCAAAUCCAACUUUUCUUUGAUGAAUAACUAAUCUAAUUUUGAAGACAUUAGAGGCUCUAUCCUAGACACACCAAAAGAUAUGAAGCAUCGAUUUUUCUAGUGUUGACUUUUGGUAUUUAUUGUCUUUUCUCAAUUGAAAACUGUCUUGCCUCUCUUAGAAUUGAUAGACAUUCCUUUUCCAUUUCUUUCAUUUUUUUUGCAUAGCCUUCCUCAAAGUUUUUCUUGGAUGGCCCUCAAUCUAUGGAUUUUCUUCUUCUAGCCCUUUCUCAAACAUUGGACUUUUGUUCUAAGCUUUUCUUUGAUCCAUUGAUUUAUGUGUCUCCAAAAUAUUCUCAUUUGCCCCCAGUGUGGGGUGUGAUCCUAGUCAGGGUUUUUUGAAAGAAAAUAUUUCACCAGCUCAAAAUGGGACUACAAGGGAUAAUUUUAGAAAGUGAAGGAUAUCAAAGAUGGCCUUUUCUCAUUUCAAGCAAGGUCGGUUAGAACCGAUAAAUUUUGACCUCAUCUAGUGUAAUGAUUGGACUUGUAAGAGUCAUGAUUCACGAGUCCAUAACUACCAAAUCCACUACAUGUCAUUAUGCAUACUGCUAAAACUUAGCUAUAUGAUGUGUGGUUCAAUUUAGUGUGAGUUCAAAAUUUGUUCGGUCACCUCAUGUCAUUUCAACAAGAAUCGAGUCAUUUCUGCAAUCAAAACACUUUUAAUCUUCAGGAUUGAUUAACCUUUAUCGCAUGUUGGAGUUUGAUCAAAAUAUUUCGUCAAAAAACCCUUUGAAAGAAGUAUCUCUUGAUUUCAAAACAAUAAGAAGACAAAAAAACAUGUUUCGUUCAAGGAGGAGAUGUGAUCCCAAAACAAAAUGCAAAAUGGCAAAAAUCCAUAACAAAAAUGCUUGACAGUUUAACUCCUUCUUGGAUCAACUUCUCUAGCAAUAUAUAUGUUUUGCCAAGCAAUUCCGAUCAUUUGUCAUUCUAAAAAUGAUUGAUGACAUCAUCUUUUGCAAAUUGAGCUCGACUCUUGAAACUCUUUCAUCUGUUUAACUAAAAUGGCCGAGGACCCCCACCAUGACAACACAUCUCUUGUCCAGAUUGAACCACCUAAAAAAUAGUGGUUAGAUGGGAUUUGUCGAAGUCAAGAAAAAUUCUAGAAUCUGGCAGAUGCUGGUCGACAAACUUAAGUGGCAGAGGAAUAUCCAUCUUGGCAAAGACAUUUGAGCAAUUGAUGCUUGAGCGAGACUUGACUAGGCCAAAUAACUGAGGUUUCUCAAUCGAGAGUCAUCUUCUGAUUCAACUCUCUUCACAGUUCUGGAAUUUAUAACAAAACCUUCAAUCCUUCACUUCUUCAUAGCUCACUCAAUUCUUUCGAUGAUCCUCACAACAUCAUGUCACUCUUCCAAUGUUGUUGUGGUUGGUUGAGGGUUGUUGGAAAACUUUCCAACAGCUUGGUAAUCUUGGCAGCGCCCAAAAACUUGUAGAAUCAUGCUUUAUCUCUUCUAUGGGAGAAAAUGAUGAACAUGAAUCUCCUCUAUUUCUUCUUCGAUUCCUCUUGAACGGUGCAGCAAACAAGCACCAAUAGAGGGAGUUCUGCUCUGUGGAAGUUUCAGUCUUCUUCAUGUUUUUCAUUUUAGGCAUGUCUCUUCUCUCUACUUUUGCGUUUUAAUACUGACACUGUUGGAGGAAAAUCAUAGAUGAUCUGAAACUACUGUAUUCCUUCUUGGAUUUCCCACUUGCGGAUCCACAAACAGAUUCCUGUCGAGAGAGCUCUGCUACGUUGAAGUUUGAUGUCUGCUCAUAUUUUUCAGACCAGGUCUGGCUCUUUGCCUACUACAAUGUUUUGCUUGUGCCACUGGUGGGAAAAUGUUUUUUCAAAGCAUAUGAAAUUAAUACAUCCCCUUUUGAAUUUUCCAUUGGCAGAUCCACAAAUAAAUCUCUAUAGAGAGAGCUCUACCGCGUAGAAGUUCAGUGUCUCAUCAUGGUUUUUCAGACCAACAUCUUAUGCUGCUGAACUGGAAUUGAGCUCAUAAUUGGGGUAACUUCAAAGUAGACUAGUGCAAAAUGAACAUAAGGCUAGUAGUCGUUUGGUUGCAUUAGAUGAUGUGGAGGCGAUGAACACUUAACAGUGCAACUGGACAGGAAUCAGAGUUGUCAUUAGUUGAUGACUGAAGGCAUUGUUGCUGUUGUUCAUGAAUGAAAAUGAGAGAUACAACUUCAAUUGGACGUGAACAAGCAGUGUUCCCACAGAAGACUGUGCAGACACUCUCUUUCCAUUUAAUGCUCAACACUUGUUUGAGCAAAUCUCAGUCCAGCUACUUCGUCUUUGAUGCUCUCAACCUUAAUCUUAUAAUGAGCCUCUAUCUGACAUCUUUCUUCACUUCCAUCAUUUUUCUUCAAUCACGUACAGCACAGCUUGUGCGGGGGAACCUACUUUUCAACCCAGUACAUGCAUGAUAAAUGUAUGAACAUGUAAUCUAUAUGAUGAACUCGCCCUUCAAAGGGUGACAAUAUGGUCGUAACUCUUGUAUGAUGGAACAAGAAUCGUGAUUUUUGCCCAAGCUCUACAAUGAAAAUUUUCGGAGUGAUGACCAUUGUGUCACCCAUAAGUCUUUAGUUCAAGAUGCUUCAAGAAGGGUUUGCUCAGAUGCAAAACAAAUAUUUACGGAGCAUACAUCUUACAGCAGGUUCUAAUCUUUUUACGUGAGACAAAGGAUAGGUUUACUACUUGGUGUCUAAAAAAAGGGUCUCUUGUUGUCCCAGUGAUUACCCUCGUAAAGGCAAUAUAGGGGCCCGGUAGGUAAUGGAUUGGCACGUGUACCAAUAUUUAUCAGUCUAAGCACUCAACAAAGAGUUGGGGUUUACACAAACUUAAACCUUGACUCAAGUCAUAAGGUAAGCUGCUAGUCCCCCACUUAACUUAAAGUUUAAUGUGUGUGCUCUCAAAAAUAAACAAAGGUGAUGCAUGAGACAAUUCUAUAAAAUGCAUNNNNNNNNNNNNNNNNNNNNNNNNNNNNNNNNNNNNNNNNNNNNNNNNNNNNNNNNNNNNNNNNNNNNNNNNNNNNNNNNNNNNNNNNNNNNNNNNNNNNAGUGAAUUAAUAUUUGAUCUCCAGCAUUUGUUGAAAAUGAAGCAUGGUAUUUUCCUUCAAACGAACCCAUGCCUCAACGCCAUCGCCAUCGUUAGAGUCCAAUAGCAAAAUCCCCUCUAUUGGUGCAUACACGCUACUCACCCAUUCUGGCCUUUCCCAACCAAAAUCUGCUUCAUAAAUUGGAAACCGACUCCAGGAAUUAAACAAAUAGACAUCUAUUUCAGUUGUUUCAAAUAUUUCUUUCAUCUUAAGCAUCUUGUUUGUCACUAUUGAAAUUAUGUCAUCACCAUUCGAAGCUUUAGCACAUUCUGAGAAAGUGCUACUCAUUUCUUCAUGGAUUCGAUUUACCACAUCAUGAAGCUGCACUGUGCUGUCAUCACCUGGAAUGAAUUGUGCAAUUGACAUGGUUCCAAAAUUUCCACACAUAUUCCCUGGAAUCGGUAGCGCUGUCCUCCUUCUCAUGUCAACUAUGUGUGUUAGAUAAGAAGGACAUAAGCAUCCAUGUCUGGCUUGAGAGGCCUUGAUGAGAGCCCUCCAUAUGAAAGCUGUCACCACUUGCACUCGUGAUGGUUCGUAUUUCAGCGAUCCUGAAUUAUUAACGUUGACAUGAGCAGCUGCUUUCAGACUUGAUAGAGCUGCGCCAUUAAACACAAUCCUUUUCUCGACAAUCGUGUUAUCUCUUUUGCUCCUCGGAGAAAAAGUCUUGAUGGAAGACAUAUCUUUUGGUGGGCAGAAGGAAGACAAUUGGAAACUUGGGGAGUGAACUUUGUCGAUUCCUAUUCUGCACGCGGUAGCCCAAGCAUCAACAAAUGUAAACAAAGUGAAUCCAUCAACUAUCUUGUGUGUCACAGAUAUACCAAUGGCAAGUCCACCACAUUCAAACAUGUUGAACUGAACUAUAAGCAAAGGGCUUUCUUCUGGUUGAAAUAAUGGUGGAGCUAAAUGAUUCCUCAGCUCGGUUACAAGCUCUCCUUCCUUGAGAAAUUCAGAGAGGCAACCACUUGCUUUGGCUUCCAAAUAUUCUGCCCCAUUGUCGUUACAAUCAAUGAAGACACUUCCUUUCACGUAUCUUCCUCCAAGUGGGUAAUAAAGGGUCAAGAUUUCUGAUAAGGAUUUUUGCAACUGCUUGCUUUUUUCUGCAGUAUUAACACAAUCUUCUUCACCACUGGCUGGGUAGUAGAAAAUGCACGAUGUGUAAUGAUUUGAAGGAAAAUUCUGAUCUAAACAAGAUAUUUUCAAUUUCUGAAGGUUGAGUGGAGUUGGAGAUGAUGGAGUUAUCAACUUUCUAGCUAAGAUCUGAACCUUCAUAUUCGAAUUCUUUCGCUUUCGCUUUGCAAGAGAUGAUGUAUAGAUUUUUGUGAAGAAAUUUCACACAAGCUAGAGGUUGGAUUGCUUGAAAAACUUCUGUAUAAACAAUAUAAAAUGUCUGCAGUGAUUAUUUAAGCUGAUUCUGGUGCUUUGUUCCCAGCAAAACUGCUAAAAGAUUUUAUAUUAUACCUCGGGAAAAGGUGGGGUGGGGAGUAGUUAAGCUGUCUACUACUCUUCUGUUGGCAUUGCCCUAACUUGUGAAUCCUGAGACGUUGAAUUUUAUUAGUUAAUUAACUUAAGCUAAUCAUGACAUUGACAAAAUAAAAAUAAAAAUAAAAAAUGAAUUAAAUAUUUUAUACAGCAUCUGUCUUUUGGGUCCCUGGCUAGCACUGGAAACCAGAGAAGACAGCCUCUUCAAAAGUUGAUGAACUUGUACAUGAAAAUGUCCUGUCACCCCUUGGUCUUACAAGGGUUGAUUUGUUGUCUGGCUGGUAUAUAUUAGGUACAUUCCUGACGACGUAAUGAUUUCGAAAGAUGCUUGAUGCAGUGAUGCUCUGUAAUUGUUGAGACAGAGAAACUGGCGCUCCAGACUAAUGCUCUAUCUGUAUUUCCCCAUUCUACAGUUCCUCUGCAAUUGUUGAGACAAAGAAAUUGUUGAGACUAAUGGAUCGGGAUUCUAGAAUCUCAAUCCAUUAGUCUCCUUGAAAAUGGCAGAUCUUAAUUUUUCUAACCUAAACCUCAAAAACCCAUAACAAUUCAAUUAACCCAUCAUACUAUAAUCAAUUCAUCUAUUAAACUCCAAAAACACAAAACUCCAAAACCCUAAAUCUCAUCAAGUCUAAAACCAAAGCUAAUUACAACAAUUAUACUUAUCAAAACAUAAAUCUUACCUUAAUAACUCAUUUCUUCAAACUUAUCUUCUCCUUCCUUUAUCUUUCACUCUCUUUCUUUCUCCUUUCCACUACCGGUUCUCUCUCUCUCUCUCUAAUUUCAGAUUCUCUCUUUUCUUUCCUUUUGUUUUUCUCUUCUUUUUAUAUUUAUUAAUUCUUUGUGCAAUUAUCUAAAUUUCCCUCAUUCAUUUAUACGUAAUAUCCACUCCUCUAAAGGGCAUUGUUUCAUUUUCCUACUCGAACCCCUCUUUUCAUUUGCCAAGAUGCUAGCUAAUAGCCAGCAGGUAACAUUCAAACAUAUACUUCUAAUAUCAUGCUUUGAGAAUGGAGAUCGCCCUUGGCAUCUGGAUAUCUCAUAUAUAUGCAAACAUUUCCAGACUGAUAUUGCUCUUUCUAUAUUUUCCCGUUCUGAGUUUCCUCUGUGGAAAGAUAUUAAAAGACCUGAUUGUGCCACAUGUCAAGAGAUUAGAGAAUCAAGCAGUUAAAAUUCUGUUAAGCAGUUAAAGUUCUGUUAAUAAUGUUAGACAGUUAAGAAAGUUUGUUAGUAUUGAGGUGAGAAGCUUGUUCACAUCUAUAACUUGAUAUAAAAAGAUCUGUAACAGUGUAAAACAGAGUAAUGAAUUACAGUGAACACAUUCUUCUUCUUCCAUCACCUAUCAGACAUUCUCUCUGCUUAGUUUUCUAGUGUAUUCCUGUGAAAAUCUGCAUCUUAACACUCUGUAAUUGUUGAGACAAAGAAAUGGGCGCAUAAUGGCACUGCAUGGUGAUGAAGAAGUAGCUAACAAGCAGGUGAUAUUAAAAGACUAUGUCAUGUCUGGUUGUCCUAAGAAUUCAGACAUGAAUGUGAUCACCAGUUCUAUCAAACUUGAAGGUGUUUACGUGCUUGAGUAUUAUGUAAGAAAAGAAAGUAGAAGAGAAUUUUAAAACAGCAAUGUUAUUGAUGCUGCAGUAUUAUUAAGAAAGGAUUGAAUACAGAAUUGCUUAAUGUUUCACAGCAAUCUUAAUCAUUUGAUAAAAUUGCUGUUUGAUCAAAUUAGAGAUGUUUCAUGCUAUUAGGAUAAGGAUGAUGGACUCUGUAAAUGUUUUGAAUCAAGGCAAACAAUCACCAGUACAAUAUGUUUCAAAUUUGUUGAGUUACUUCUCUUGGGUAUUCUUUUGCUACCUGCAGUGAGUAUUCUUCGGAAUCAUCUUCAGAUAACGAUGAACAGAUUGAACAAUAACAGUACUUUUGGGAUUUUAAAUGAUGGUUCUGAAAUUACCUUUAUGUCAAGGGGAUACAAUUCUUCUUCCAUCUGACAGUAGUGGAGAAAAACUAGCCAGCAAGUUUUUGAAACAGAAGUAGCACCAUUAAAACACAGAAAGCUAGAGCUGAACCUAUUUUCAAUGUAAAAAACAAAAAAAGCAGUUUAAUUUGUAUCUAAUGGUAAAUUCAAUAACAGAAAAGAUGUAGAUGGAGCAGCAAAUGACACAAGAAGUUAUCGAAAUUCCAAACCAUACCUCAGUGUGUUAAUAUAUUGUCGUUCUAUACACAAUGGACAACAUUGAUGUUUCCUUAUGCUUACUCUUUGUGUUUGCUCACUAAUACAUGACAAGUAAUUGGAUCCAUGAAUUCUUUUUUAAAUUAAUAGUACAAUGACGAAGAAAACAUACUCUUAUUUAACCCUUCAUAACAAAUAAAAAUUUAUCUAUUAUAAGACUAAAUUUUAAAAUAUUUUAUUCCAUAAAGAUAUUAAAUAAAUUCUUUAAUCAAUAGUAAUAAAUAAUAUUCUAAAAUUUGAUCCAUAAUGUGUUUAUGUCUAAAUAUCUUAGUCUUUUAAAUAAAUUCACAACAUUAUAAUUUAUCUAUAAAAAACGUCAUAACUUGUCUAAAAUAUUAUCUAUCUAACAAGAAACAAGACUUCAAAAUUAAAAAUAAGUCAACCUUUGAUUUGGUUGAUUUUACAAAACAAGAUGAUAAUAUCAUAGCUAAGUGGCAUAAAAUGGGGAGUUUUCUUAAACCAAUCCUUCGACUAAUUGAGAUCAUCAGGUGAGAAUUUUUGCAUGAUCCAGAUUUUCCAUAGGCUGAACCCCCGAAUCAAAAAAGCUUUCCACUGCUGCCUUGUAGAAAAUCUCAUUGAACCAUGACGGGGAUGGUGAAGCAGAUGAUAUGGUGGAGAAGGUAUCGUUCUAUCGCUUUCAACUUCGGACUUUUGGUUAUCAAUCUUAUGAUCCGACGAUCCUGACCCUUCAAAUGAAGUCUCGUAGUAGUCAAUGUCAUGAUCCCCCUCUGAACCUUCAAAAUGAAGUCUCGUAGUUGUCAAGGUCAUGAUUCAUCCGUAGCAUUGCACCGUCAAAGCUCCAUCCAGAUGGUGUCUUUAUCACAUGGAUCCCACAUCGUACCACUUCACUGUUUUCGGACCUCAAUAUCAAAUGUAGUUCCAAUCCAUCAUCUCCAUAGUAUUUUUCCAUUGCCAUCUCAGGUUUACUUAUGACCAUUACCCACCUACGACGGAAAUAGGGUCUUGCAUGUGUAGAUUCGAACAAUGGAAUACCGUUUCUUUUAUUUUUUAUAAUAGCCUUGUAUUCUUGAUACCCACCACCACCUGAACAGACAACCCAAAUGAGCAAGCCUUCGAAAUCUGGAGGUAUAUGAAAUGAUAAUGAACACCCUUCUCCAUGGAACCAAUCUUGAAAGUCAUAAUAAUCAUAGGGAACCAUAAGAGCCUUGAAGGGAGUAUCAUACUCGUCACAAUGAUAAGCGAAGAUUUUCUGCAUAAGUAUCAAAUUCAAGGAAUGCUGAGAUUUUAGACACUGAUUAAUAUAUAUAUAUAUAUAUGCAAGAGGGACAGGACUAGUACCUCAAGAAGCCGAUCCUUGGCACGUUUUGAUAAAUUACUUAGACCUUGCUUGCCGUCAAUCUCAAUGAAAUUGUAAAGCGUAUAUUGAGACAGAUAUGGUGGUGCAGGUAUUACUACUCUAUCUCUUCCAACUUCAGACUCAUGAUCCCACUCUGACCCUCCAAAUGAAUCUGUCUUUUCAACUAUCACAUGGAUCCCACAUUCAAACACUUCAGCGUCUUCUCCCAUAUAAAGUCCCACGCACAGUUCCAAUUCCUCAUCUUCACAAUAUUCUUCCAUUGCCAUCUCACUUUUACUUGUGUAUGUCAUCAAAUUGCUAGCGGCCGUUCCAAUCCCAUCGCCCAGAAGUUCCACGCACAGUUCCAAUUCCUCAUCUCCAGAAUAUUCUUUCAUUGCCAUCUCACUUACACUUAUGUAUCUCAACCAACUUCUACAUCUUCUGGCGUAUACCGUUGCUUCAAACAAUUGAAUACCGUUGCUUUUAUUUUUUAUACACAAUUUGGCGGUACAAAUAAGACCUAUCAAGCGUUGACAGACAACCCCAAUGACCAAGCCUUGGAAAACUGGAGGUACAUGAAAUGAUAAUGAAGUUCCUUUUCCACGGUAGCUGAACCAAUUUGGAAUCAUAGUGAACUUAUCUCUGUGGCUGAACGUAUAACAGCGAUUGAAGACAAUUUGAUACCCGUAACCACCGUAGCACAGUGCCUGUGUGUAUAUAUAUAUAUAUAUAUAUAUAUAUAUAUUGAUUUCAAGGAAUGCUGAAUAUUAGACAUCAAAUAUGCCAAUUGUGUGCUUAUUUGUGUACAAGAGAGACAAAAAUAGUACCUCAACAAGACUUUUCUUAUAAUUAUUUGAUGACUUGUACCAGGGAACAGAGCGCAUAAUCCACCCAUGAUUACUUAGACCUUCCAUGCCUUGAAGCUCCUUUAAAUCCGGACAUCUAAACAGAUCCAGAUUUAGAUAUUUUUUUGCUUGGAUUGGUAGUCUUACCCAUUGCAUUGAUUUGCAACGAACUGUAUUCAAACGUUCUAAAUUUGAGGGAAGCUCUGGGAUUGAUACAAGAUUUCUGCAAUCAUCAACUAUCAAAAGCCGCAGCUUAGAAAGGAUGCCCGAUGCCAGAAGGCAAACUGAAGAAAUUGUUUCCUGAUAGAUCUAACUCUUCAAGAGAGGACAAACCUCCAAAAUCAACAGAAUUAGUUGCGCAUUCAGACAAACCAUAACCAACAAGUUUUAGCUUUUUCAAUACUCUCCAAACAGUGAAAGCUGGACUUAGCAAAGCUGAAAUCCAAGAAGAAUUUGGUGAAGGCUGAUAUGGUAAGUUCCAGUUGCAGUAUCCGCGCAAUGACAACUUCCUCACACACUUUAAAUGUCCAACUGAAGAGAGAAAUUUCUCGUUGUUAAUUCCAUCUGCUAGAAGAUUAGUGAAGGACUCGAUAUCACCUAUGCACUCCGGCAGCUCCUUAAGUUGUGAGCACCCUGAAAUAUUCAAACACACAAGAGACUUUGAAUGUCCAAUAGAUUCAUCUACCUCAACUAAACUUGAGCAACCUUCAAGCAGUAGUUUCUCUAGUCUUGAACUGUGCAAAUUUGGUGUUUUCACAAGGUUCUUUGAAUAACUGACAUCAAGGAUCUUUAAUUUGUUGAGAAUCUGUCAGAGCAGUGAGGAAAAUAAUUAACAAGUACUCAUCAAAAGUUGUAAAUAUAAAUUACAUAACAAACAUCUUUUUGGGCAUUUUGGUAUGUUUCACACCUUUUUUUCCUUCCAUAAUUGUCUGAUGUUACUGUACUUCAUAUCAAUAACAACGAUGUAAUCCAGUGCAAAAUUAGAUGGCAAAAAUCUCAAAGUACAUUCAAGCCAACAAAUCCACGUCAACACUUUAGAAAGCCGUUCGAAAGAUCCAGUGAAAAAUUAGAUGGCAAAAAUCUCAAAGUACAUUCAAGCCAACAAAUCCACGUCAACACUUUAGAAAGCCGUUCGAAAGAUCCAGUGAGAUCUACUCCGUUGAUUUGCAGUAAUUUUAAAUCUUCCAUAUUUGUAAAUGAUCCUGUGCUUAGUGAUUUGUCUUCUGAUCUUGUCACAUCCAGUGUAAGGCCUUUUACAAAAUUUGUUCCCUAAAAAAAAGCAAAAAAAGAAAAAAAAUUUAAAAAUCAAUAGAAUUUUCAUAUGAUUGUUUGUAAUAAGUUUGACAAUAGAGAUACACAUGAAUGUGCUUUUCUGUACGUAUGCAUUGAAUUCUUACCAUCUGCAUCUUGAGUACUUUCCACGCAUCCUCUUGACUCCAAAUUCUGCUCCUUUGUGCAGGAUUUUCAGGUGACUCAUCCUUAACGAUCCCCCUUCCCAUCUCUUGUAAUAGAUCAUGCAUGCUUAUCGUUCCAGAAUCAUCAACUUUAAUCAGAGACCUUUCAAUGAGAGUUCCGAAAUCAUCUUCUGGAUUGCAACCAUAACGUCCUUCUAGCACUUCUGCUACGUAUUCUUUCUGUCCACCAAUAAAGAAGCAUGAAAUAUCAAGAAAUGUAUUCUUUAGAAUUAGGGGCUUUUAGUGAGUCAAAACUUAUUCUAAGCCUUUCUUGAAUAGCAUGCUCUGGAAUUCUUCUCAAUCUGUCAAUUACAGAUUCCCAUCUAGCUUGGUUUUUCCCAAUCAAACAAGAACCUAAGACCUCAAGAGCUAAAGGAAGUCCUCCACAGUAUUCAACUACAUCAUUAGAAAGCUCAACAUAAUCUUUUGCUGGCUUGGCGUCCCUAAACGCAUGCUGACAGAAUAGCUGAAGGGAGUCACCCCGGUGCAAUUCUUGAACCUGGUAUCUUUGAUCAGCUUCAAGAAGUAAGCGCUCAUCUCUAGUUGUAAUUAUCACCCUGCUUCCGGGACCAAACCAGCUUCGCUCUCCCAUCAAAGCAUUUAAUUGGUCCAGAUGAUCCACAUCAUCAACAACAACAAGAACUCUUUUGCGGCAGAGGCGUUCUUUAAUCAGAACCUUUCCUCUAUCAACAUUAUUGAUCUUCUCAGUAUUUUGUCUUAAAAUAUCAUGAAGUAGUUGUUGUUGUAAAAGAACCAAAUCAUUAGGUUCUGAUUUUUCUUUGACAUUCAAAAGAAAAGAGAUUCCCUCGAAUCCAUAUCCAAAGCCAUAGCAGAGUUGAUUAAAUACAACUUUUGCUAUAGUCGUCUUUCCUAUUUCUGGCAUCCCAUGUAAGCCCACAAUGCGUACAUCAUCUGCUGCAGUACUUAGGAAGUGAAAAAUAUUGUGAGCAAGCGGAUCAAUACCUACUAGGUGCUUAGGAACAUGUAAGUACUUGGGGUCCAAUUUAGUCAGCACAUCCUUGAUAAUCUCUUGGAUAAAUUUUGCUUCAUGCCUGUUCAUAGACAAAAGCAAGUCAUUAAUAGCGAGACAAUUAUGUUCAAAAUGUAUUUUAUUGUUUCACAUUGUAAAAUAUGUGAUGUAUAAUGACUCCAUAAAUGUGUGGAAGUGAAUCUUAUAGAUAAAAGGCAUACCCAUUUGCCAAAUCUUUGAGAUUCCAUCCAGAUAGAUUUCCUGCCUCUUCAAGAGCUUCUCUCCACUCCUUCACCUUCUCUUUAGAACGUUCUUCAUGUUUAACAAAUGCUUCUGCAAAACUACCAGUCUGUUUUCUCACAUAUGAAGGAUCAAUGUCAUAGAAUAUAGGAAGAGCAAUCUGACCAGUUUUCCUAUAUUUACACUUCAGAAUCUCCACAAGUUCAUCAAGACACCAUCUUGAAGAAGCAUAUCCUUUUGAGAAGACCACUAUAGAUAUCUUUGAUUCUCGAAUUGUCUUGAGGAGAUGAUCGGAGAUUUCUUCUCCUCUAGGAAGUUCAUCAUCAUCUCGAAAAGUGUGGAUUCCUGCUUGGACUAAGGCAAUAUAUAGAUGAUCUGUAAAUGUCUUGCGAGUAUCUUGUCCUCUAAAACUCAAAAAGACAUCAUAGGCCCCCUGUGGUGUAGAUGGAGAAGAAUCUGGCUCUGUCAUGGCAGCUGCAGAAAUUAAGGCAUGAUUAAUUGGCAAUGAAGCGAUUGCAGGAGGUAUCUGCUAUCUUGUAAUUAUAACUAGUAAGGGAUGCAUGUGAAGUGAUCAUCAGAGACAACACAUAUAUAUGAAUGUGCUGAGUAGGAAUUUCAACGCAAUUACUAUUAGAGAGUAAGCUAAGAAAAUCAUCCAUUCAUUGAGUUUCACCUAAUACUUCAAGUUUAAGAACCAGAGAGCAUAAAACAAUAGCAUUUAAAAAGCUUACUGAGGUCAGCUUUUCUUCUCUUUCGCGAGGAUGAACCAUUUUCUUCAUCUUUGGAUUGUUUACGUUUUUCUUUCGGCAUUCUAAAAUAGAAUGAUCUUGUUCUAGAAGACAUGUAAGGAAUUCUUUGUGUUCAUAUUUAAUUGAAUUCUAAACUCAUCAAUGACGUCUAUCUGAACAUAAAGCUUUCAAAUUAUUGUUAUGAGUGAAGACAUGAAAUUAAAACAAGAAAGAAGCAAAGAAGAGGCAUAAGCUAUAACAAAGGGUUGGUUGGAUUCCACAAGCUAUGAAAUUGCAGCAAUCGGGAACGGUAAUUUAUUUCAACUACCCAAACAUAUUUUUCAAUUUGUUUUUCAAUUUACAUGUAGUUUCAAAGAAGCAAAGAAGGGUUAUAUACUAGCAAAAACAUGACAGCAUAAAAUCCCGUGUAGCAAUUAUCUUGUUUGGCAAUCUUCUUAGUGUUAAUAUUGCUGUAAAACUAAAUGCAUUCAUGCAAUCAGAAGCAACAAUCGCAAAGGUUACCUCAAUAUGGUGUUUGAGUUGUUCGGAUUCCACCGACCUGGCGACUUUAAAGAUCAAAUUGCAGCUCUCAGAAAGGACUGAAGGAUAGUUGAGGCAAUAUUGUGUCGGAGAAAGAAUGUAAAUGCUUUCUUGCAAAUUAUUAGAGCAAUAUAUGCAAUAAUUAUCAAAGAUGAAGCGUAACAUGCAUAGGAAAGGGAGCAAGGAAAUUUCUUUAGCAGCGUGUGAUCAAGCUAAUUUCCCGGUUGUUGCUGAGGAAUAAUUGUACAGGAAAAAGAGGAAGGAAAUUUCUCUAGCCGCGUAUUUCAUUGUUCUUUUUUUCAAAAGUAGCCGCGUAUCUCGUUCUUCUUUUUUUCAAAUGAAGAGAUGACAGAAUCACAUUGUGUCUAUCACCAUUGAUUACAAAAGCAAGUAUCUCUCAGCCCUACUAUUUGGUUUGUGGGUCCAAUCUGAUACUUGUUAAUGUAAAUAUUUUAUAAUCAUUAUAUUAAUUUUAUUCAUUCAAAUUUAUUUAUUAUUAAAAAAACAUCUUUUUAUCUUUAACAUUUAUUGAUGUUUGAUUAACGAGUCUAUAGUAAAAAUAAAAUUUUUGAGAUAAAAAUAUUUUUUAAUGAAAAUUAUUAAGUAAUUAUAAUUAUAACAUUUUAUUUAUAUAAAAACGGUAUUCCUAAAUGUUAUUAGUUAAUGCUCUAUUAAUAAAGGACAUUAAUUAGAGUUGUUAAGACUAUUUUAAAUUAUAUAUGUUCUUUCUUUUUGUGAAAAAGAAACAUUUGUUCUCACAAGUUAAUGUAUAGAGAAAAUCUAGAUCUAAUUAUAUGUAGAUGCGUGUCAGAUAACAUAUUCAUUAAACUACAUUGCAUAAGAAUUUCAUAUAGAUAAAUAUCAGUGUUUAUGGAAAGGCUCGUACAGUAAUUGUAUAAGUAUUGAUCAUUAAACUUAAGAUCACUAGGUUAUUUUAUAUAUGAAAUGUUAUGUUUUGAUUCUAGCUAUACGUUGUUUUAAUCAAUAGUAAUAAAUAUGUAAAUAUUGGCUAUAACAUGAACUAUAUAUGAAUUAUUAUUAUAUACAAUUAUUGUUAUGAGUUUCACAUGUUCUCAAAUAAUAUUUAAUAUGAAAUCUUUGCGUAAGGUGGAAUAAGAUAUGAAAAAAGUUUUAAAUCUUAUUUAAAGAAUCAAUUUUUAUGUUGUUGAGACCAUACAUGAUUCGACAGGGCACACACAUUUCAUACUCAAAUGUCUAAAUCGUAGCAUUAUAGGUAAAUGGAUAAUAAUUACACUAAGAAUCUGAUCACUAAAAAUUUAAAUUAAACCAUAUAUGAUUUUCCUUAUAUUUGAGAGAUUAUGAUACAUUACUAGAUAGUACACUUGAUCUUUAAAGAUAAAUCAAUUAAUUAUUGAUGAAUUGAUAAUAAAUUAAAUUAUAUAAUUUAUUUAAUUGAAUUUUAUUUAGAAUUAUAAUUUAUAUUUGAAUUAAUAUAUUAAAAACUUAACAAGUCAUACACAUUAAGAAUCAAUGGUUGAUUAAAUCUUGAUUUCCCGAUAUUUUGAAUCAAAUUACAAUGUUAGGCUAAACUUAAUAACUAUAUUGUAUAAUUGAUAUGAUAAACUUUUUAUAUAUAUAUAAAGACAUGUCAUGCUUUCUGUCAUUUCAAUCAAAUAUAAAAUCGUAAAACAUUGUAAAACUUCACAAAACUUAACUAUCAAGUUAUCUAGUAUUUUAAUGAAAGUUGAAGGACAACAUUUUAAUUUAGUCAGCACAUUUUGUGUGUUAUUAAAGACUUCCAGUCAGUCAAUGCGGGUAUGAACACUAACUCUUUUUUUUUUUUUUUCCACACACAAUUGUUUUGUUUGGAAUUUAUGGGUUUUUGUUCUUGUAAAAUAACAGUGUUUCUCACACGGCGCUUGUAUUCAAGUUCUUUAUCGGUGUUUUCUGUCUUGCAUCAUCGUGUUUUUAAGAAUUUUAAAUUGUUUUUUGUUAAAAAUAAUUUUUUUAUAUUUUCAAAUUAUUUUGAUUUAUUAAUAUUAAAAUUAAUUUUUUAAAAAAUAAAAAAUAUAUAUAUAUAUAUAUAUAUAUAUUAUUUUAAUAUAUUUUUAAACCAAAAAUAUUUUAAACUAUAAUAACUAAUAUAAUUCCAAACAGAUAUUAAACACAACCGCUAGUCAUGAUGGACAGUUUACAUGGGAACAGACGAAGGAGUAAAGACUUAGACUUUGGUGGAUCGAUGGACGAUGGGAAUAGCUAAUAUUAUCAUCUACUAACUAUGAACCUUCUUGACUCUUUAGUAUAUUAUUUUUAUAUUUUAAAAAUAAUAUUUAAAAAAUUUAAAUUUUAUUUUAUUUUUUUAUUAACUUUAAAUUAAUAUGUUUUUAGUUUUUUAAAUUAUUUUAAUAUAUUAAUGUUAAAAAUAAUUUUUAAAAAAUAAAAAAAUAUUAUUAAUAUAUAUUUUAAUAUAAAAAAUUAUUUAAAAAACAAUCAUUUUAAAUCUUUCUCCCCCGUCUGCAGCAUUGAUUACAAAACCGCGUUGUUGGGUAUGUCAUUGGCAGCAUGAUAGCAUCACAAUCAAAUGGCAUAAUUUUCCACUCGGGAAACUCAGAAGACCCUCGCCCUCACGCUCCCGUCUCCAUUUAUUUGGCUGCUAAUUCCAUCUAUCAGCCCUGCUUUUUUUUUUUUUUUUCCUGGGUCUAGUCUGAUACUUUUAUUAAUUUUAUUCAUAUAAAAUAUAUUUUUAUUUAAGAAAAUAUAUUUUUAUUUUUAACAUUAUUUAAAAGUUGUUAUUAAUUUUAUUCAUAUAAAAUAUAUUUAUUAUUUUAAAAAAAUAAAAUUAUUAUUUCUACCGUGUUUUUGAGAAACCCGACAAUAACAUCAUAAUCAAAAAGUAUAAAUUUCCACGGACAACUUGCAAAUACAUGGGACAGCUCUAACCAUUUUUUUGUUCUUGUUUGUUGAUUUGCUAAUUUGUGUUAAAGGGAGGGAAAGGGACUGGAUCUAUAUAAUCCACCUUUCAAUUCUUUGUGUUCAUAUUUAUGUUGAUUCAUUCUUAGCGUUUUAAGGGAUUUUCGGCUGGUGACUAGUCUAGUACAUUCUAUUUGGUAAUGUGAUCCGGAGGCUUUCUUUUUCUUUUCUUUUUCUUUUUGUUAAAAACAUCUUGACCAUUUUGAAUUUUAACAAGGCAGUGCAAGGGCUUCCAAAAGUGUAGGAAAAAUAAAAAGUAUUAUUAAAAAUUUCUAAUUCAAUUUAAUUUAGUGAUUUCCAAAACAAGCAAUAGUUUUUGAAAUUGGUGCUUUUCUUCAACUAUUCUCCUGGAUUUUGUUUAAUCAAUAACAUGACAUGAUUGUUUUGGCAAUUGUUUUUGCUAAAAACAUGAUUGUCAUAGCCAUUUUGCACCCUAUUUUUCUAGCAAUGCAAAAGAGAAAAACAACAUGGAGAAAAGGCUAGCAGAAACAGUUGUAUAUUGGAAUUCUUGUUUUGUUUUCUUUUUCUUUUUCUUUUGUAUUUGAUUUUUAUUUUUAUCAAGAUUAGGUUGCCGGCAAGUGUGAACUGAACUUGUUGGAGGAAAGAUGUUGGAUGCUGUGCUGCUCAACAUGAGGUUGCGUGGACGCAUUGCUCUGAGCCCGAGCAUAGAUAAAUCUACCAAACUCAACAUUAAUCUUUGAAUUAGACAUAUCUUUCUUUGAUAAAAUUAGAGAUGUUUCAUGCUAUCAGUAUAUUCUAUUUGGUAAUGUGAUCCGGAGGCUUUCUUCUUCUUCUUUUUUCCUUUUUGUUAAAAAAAUCUUGACCCUUUUGAAUUUUAACAAGGCAGUGCAGGGGCUCUCAAAAGUGUAGGAAAAGUAAAGGGUAUUAAAAUCAAGAGUGAACUUGUAUAAUUUUACAAGUAAAUAUAUAUAUUUAUUAUUUAAAAUUAUAUAAAAAAAUGAUAAAACUGGUCUAAAAUCAUGAUUUUACUAUUGAUUUUAAAAUAUUUUUAAAUUUUCAAUUCUUAUCUUCUUCCAUGCAUACUCUUAUGUUUACUUACUCAUAUAUGAGUCCACUAGCAAAUUUGGAUUAUUUGCUAACAACUCAUAAUUUCUUAGAGUUGUUCUGUAUAAUAUGUGUUUAGUUAUAUAUCUUAAUUUUAAGUUGGACCUAUAAUAAUGAUUUUUUUUAAGAUGAUUUCUUAACUGCUUGUGUGGAAUUAAUUUUCCACUGUAAUUUAAUUUGAAUUUAAUUUAUAAAUAAAUUAAAUUUAAUAAAUAGAAUUCAAUUCAUUUUAGUUUUUAUAUUACCUUCAUCACCUUCAUCUCAUUUCUUCAAAGUUAUGUAAAAAAAAAAGAUAGGUAUUUUAAAAAAAUAAUUUUAACAUUAAAUUUUUUCUAUUUGGAAUUAUAAAUCAGAGGAUUAAUAUCUAAUUUAUUUUGAUAUAAUUUUUAGAGAUUGAAUUCUAUGUAAAAUAUGUUAAAUAACACUAAAAAUAUUUUAAAUAUGAAAUAUUAUUAAAAAGUUUUAAUUUAAUUUAGUGAUUUCAAAACAAGCAUGAGUUUUUGAAAUUGGUGCUUUUCAACCGGAUAGGUUGGGAGAGGGACAAAAAAAACUUCUGCCGUGAAGAAAGCCCAAUUUCAUUCGAAUCAUUUUUGCUCUUCGUUUCUUUCUUUUACAACAUGAAAGUGAUUUCUCUUUUUGGUGUAUUUUUAGUACUUAAAAGAACAUGUUAAUUGGACCAAAAAGUUCACCUUUUUUUUUUAAAAAAAAUUGUUCUUGUUUGUUGAUUUGCUAAUUUGUGUAAGGGGGAUGGUUUAAAGUAUGGUUGUGGUUGUUUUCUAAAAUAUUUUUGCUCACAAAUAUAUUAAAAUAAUUCUUUUUUUAUUUUUUAAAAAUUAUUUUUGACAUCAACACAUUAAAAUGAUUUAAAACAUAAAAAAAAUAUUAAUUUCGAUUAAAAAAAUAAAAAAUAUUCAAGUAUUUUCAACCAAUGUUGAUUCAUUCAUAGAUUCAUAGGUUAUAAGGGAUUUUGGGCUAGUAACCAGUAUAUUCUAUUUGGUAAUGUGAUAAAAGCUUUUUUUUUUUUUUUUUGUUAAAAAAAUCUUUUGACCCUUUUGAAUUUUGACUAAGCAGGGCUUUGAAAAGUGUAAGAAAAAUCAAGGGUGUUAAAAUCAAGAAUUAACUUGUAAAAUUAUAUGAUUUUAUAAAUAUAUAAUCAUCAUCCAAAAUUAAGUUAACAUAAAAAACUGAUAAAACCAGACUAAGAUCAAGUAAAAUCAUGUAAAAUCUACCCAUUUUACAAUAAUUUUAAAUUUUUAAUUAUUAUCUUCCUCAAUGCAUGCCCUUGUGUUUACUCAUUAAUGCAUGAGCCCACAAGUGCUUGUAUCUAUGGAUUCUUUCUUUAAACAAUAGUGCAAAGAUGAAGAAAACAUGGUCUUACUUGAACACUUCCUAACAAAUAAAAAAUUAUUUAUUACAGAACAAAACUUUGUAAAUUCUUAUUUCAUAAAGAUAAUUUUACGGACAAGAGUGACAAACAAUACUCUAAAGUCUAAUCUAUCAUGUGUCUAUGCCAAAAUAAUAUCAUAGUCUUUUAAACAAGUUUACAACAUUAUGAUUUAUUUAUAGAAAAUCCCAUAACUUGUCUAAGACAUAAUCUAACAAGAAACAAGACUUCAAAAUUAAAAAGAAGGUACAACUUUGAAUUGUUUGAUUUAUUAUUUAUUUUAGAUCAUAUAGGGUCUACAAUUCUUUAAUGAUUCUCUUAUUGAAGUUCAUAGUGUGUAACAAACAAUAUCAGUCUGUUGCUAUCUAAAAUAAAUACUACAUUAAUUUAAUUAGUGAUUUUACACAACAAGAUGAUAAUAUCAUAGCUAAGUAGGCAUAAAGUGGGGAGUUUUCUUAAACCAAUCCCUCGAUUAAUUGAGAUCAUCAGGUAAGAAUUUUUGCAUGACUAUUGUUUUCCAUAGGCUGAACCCCCGAAUCAAAAAAGCUUUCCACUGCUGCCUUGUAGAAAAUCUCAUUGAACCAUGACGGGGAUGAUGAAGCAGAUGAUAUGGUGGCGAAGGUAUCGUUCUAUCGCUUUCAACUUCGGAGUACUCUUGGUUGUCAUUCUCAUGAUCCGACGAUCCUGACCCUUUAAAUGAAGUCUCGUAGUAGUCAAUGUCAUGAUCCCCCUCUGAACCUUCAAAAGACUCUUUGUUGUAAAUGUCAUGAUCCAACGCUGGAGUUUGAUCGUAGUUGCUCCGUCCAAAUGGAUGUAUCACUACAUGGAUCCCAGAUCGUACCACUUCACUCUUUUCGGACCUCAAUAUUACUUAUGAUUCCUAGCCACCUACUACGGAAAUAGGGCAUUGCAUGUGUAGCUUCGAACAACUGAACACCGUUGCUUUUAUUUUUUAUAAUAGCCUUUAAUUCUUGAUGCCAAGUAGCACCUGAACAGAGAGCCCAAAUGACCAAGCCUUCGAAAUCUGGAGGUAUAUCAAAUGAUAAUGAACAUCCUUCUCCACCGUAGCUGAACCAUUUUGGAAUGAUGGAAUAAUCGUAGGGAACGGAAAAAGCCUUGAGGGGAAUAAAAUACUCGAGAAAAUGAUAAUUCAAGAUUCUCUGCAUAAAUAUUGAAUUCAAGAAAUGCUGAGAUUUUAGACACCGAUUAAUAUAUAUAUAUAUAUAUAUAUAUAUAUAUAUAUUUGUGCGCGCGCGCGCCAAUUGUGUGUUUAUUUGUGUGCAAGAGAGACAGAACUAGUACCUCUAGAAGCCGAUCCUUGGUAUUUUUUGAUAAAUUACCGAGACGUUGCUUGCCGUAAAUCUCAAAGAAAUUGUAACGCGCAUAUUGAGACAGAUAUGGUGGAGCAGGUAUUACAACUCUAUCUCUUCCAACUUCAGACUCAUGAUCCCACUCUGACCCUUCAAAUGAAUCUGUCUUUUCAACUAUCACAUGGAUCCCGCAUUCAAACACUUCAUCGUCUUCUCCCGUAUAAAGUCCCACGCACAGUUGCAAUUCCUCAUCUUCACAAUAUUCUUUCAUUGUCAUCUCACUUAUACUUAUGUAUCUCAACCAAUUUCUACCGACACAAUCACUUAUAGUUGCUUCAAACAAUUGAAUACCGUUGCUUUUAUUUCUUAUACACAAUUUGGUGAUUCCAAUAAGACCUAUCAAGCGUUGACAGACAACCCCAACGACCAAGCCUCGGAAAACUAGAGGUAUAUGAAAUGAUAAUGAACUUCCUUUUCCUCGGUAGCUGAACCAAUUUGGAAUCAUAGUGAACUUAUCUCUGUGGCUGAACGUAUGCCAAAGAUUGAAGAACAUAUGAUACGCGUAACCACCGUAGCAUAGUGCCUGUAUAUAUUAGACAAUAAUUAAUGUAUAUAUUGUAUGUGCAAAUUGUGUGCUUAUUUGCGUGCACGAGAGACAGAAAUAGUACCUCAGCAAGACUUUUCUUAUAAUUAUUUGAUAACUUGCUCUUGGUAAGAUAGGAAAUAAACCAGCCAUGAUUACUUAGACCUUCCAUGCCUUCAAUCUCUGUUAAAUCCGGACAACCAAACAGAAACAAACUUAGAUAUUUUUUUGCUUGGAUUGGUAGUCUUACCCAUUGCAUAGAUUUGCAACCAAAUGUAUCCAACUGUUCUAAAUUUGAGGGAAGCUCUGGGAUUGAUACAAGAUUUCUGCAUUCCUGAACGGUCAAAAGCCGCAGCUUAGAAAGGAUGCCGAUGCCAGAAGGCAGACUGAAGAACUCAUUUUUUGAUAGAUCCAACUCUUCAAGAGAGGAAAAACCUCCUAAAUCAACAGAAUUAAUUGCACGUUCAGAGAAACCACAAUUAACAAGUUUUAGCUUUCCCAAUACUCUCCAAAUAGUGGAAGUUGGAGUUGGCAGAAAAGCUGAAAUCCAAGAAGAAUUUGGUGAAGGCCGAUAUGGUAAGUUCCAGUCCCACUUCCAGUGUCCGCGCAAUGACAACUUCCUCACACACUUUAAAUGUCCAACUGAAGAGAGAAAUUGCUCAUUGUUAAUUCCAUCUGCUAGAAGCUCAAUGAAAGACUCGAUAUCACCCAUGCACUCUGGCAGCUCCUUAAGUUGUGAGCACCCCGCAAUAUUCAAACACACAAGAGACUUUGAAUGUUUAAUAGAUUGAUCUACCUCAAUUAAACUUGAGCAACCUUCAAGUAGUAGUUUUUCUAGUCUUGAACUGUGCAAGUUUGGUGUUUUCACAAGGUUCUUUGAAUAACUAAGAUCAAGAAUCUUUAGAUUGUUGAGUAUCUGUCAGAGCAGAGAGAAAAAUCAUUAAAAAGUAAUCAUCAAAAGUUUUCUAGACAAAUUUUUGGGCAUUUUGGUAUGUUUCGCACCUUUUUUUCUUUCCAUAGUUCUCUGAUGUUACUGUACUGCAUAUCAAUAACAACUACGUAGUCCAAUGAAAAGUCGGAUGGUAAAAAUUCCAAAGGAUAUUCAAGCCAACAAAUCCACGUCAACACUUUAGAAAGCCGUUCAAAAGAUCCGGUGAGUUCUGCCCCACUGAUUUGGAGUAAUUUUAACAAUUUCAUUUUUGUAAAUGAUCCUGUGCUUAGUGAUUUGUCUUCUGAUCUUCUCACAUCCAAUGUAAGGCCCUUUACAACUUCUGUUCCCUUAAAAAGAAAAAAAAAAAUGAAUAGAACUUUCAUCUGAUUUUUUGUAAUAAGUUUGACAAUAAAGAUACAAAUUAAUGAAUGUGCUUUUCUGUAUGCAUUGAGUUCUUACCAUAUGCAUCUUGAGUACUAUCCACGCAUCCUCUUGACUCCAAAUUCUGCUCCUUCGUGCAGGAUUUUCAGGUGACUCUUCCUUAACGAUCUCCCUUCCCAUCCCUCGUAAUAGAUCAUGCAUGCCUAUCGUUCCAGAAUCAUCAACUUUAAUCAGAGACCGUUCAAUGAGAGUUCCGAAAUCAUCUUCUGGAUUGUAAUCAUAACGUCCUUCUAGCACUUUUGCUACGUAUUCUUUCUUUCUACCAAUAAAGAAGCAUGCAAUAUCAAGAAAUGUAUUCUUUAGUGUAGAUUCAUCCAGUGUGUCAAAACUUAUUCUAAGUUUUUUCUGAAUUUCACUGUUUGGAAAAUUUCUCAAUCUGUCAAUUACAGAUUCCCAUCUAGCUUGGUUUUUCCCAUACAAACAAGAACCUAAAACCUUAAGAGCUAAAGGAAGUCCUCCACAGUAUUCAACUACAUCAUUCGAAAGCUCAACAUAAUCUUUUGCUGGUUUGGUGUCCCUAAACGCAUGCCUACAGAAAAGCUGAAGGGAGUCACCCCGGUUCAAUUCUUGAAUAUGGUAACUUUGAUCAGCUUCAAGAAGUAAGCUUUCAUCUGUAGUUGUAAUUAUUACCCUACUUCCAGGGCCCAACCAACUUGGCUCUCCCAUCAAAUCAAGUAGUCGGUCUGGACGAUCCACAUCGUCAAAAACAACAAGAACUCUUUUGUGCCGAAGUCGUUCUUUAAUCAGAACCUUUCCUCUAUCAACAUUAUUGAUCUUCUUAGUAUUUUGUCUUAAAAUAUCAUGAAGUAGUUGUUGUUGCAAAAGAACCAUAUCCUUAGAUUCUGAUUUUUCUUUAACAUUCAAAAGAAAAGAGCUCCCCUCGAAUUCAUGGCAGAGUUUACUAAAUACUUCUUUUGCUAUAGUCGGCUUUCCUAUUCCUGGCAUCCCAUGUAUGCCCACAAUGCAAACCUUCUCUGUUGCAUUACUUACGAAGUCUUUGAUUUCAUUGACAAGGGGAUCAAUAUGUUGAGAAAUGACAGUUAGAUAAUUCUGUUAGAACAGUUAGUUAAUUCUGUUAGAACAGUUAGUUAGUUAAGUCAGUUAGUUGGUUAGCAUCAGUUCAGCAACAGAAUCCUUAGUUUACGGGGCAGCAGUUACUCUGCAUGUUAACUCUGCAUUUGAAGGCUAUAUAAAGCCACACUGCAGUUCAAUUGAAUAAGACAGUUGAUGAUUAAGCAAGAAUUCUUCAUAUCUUUCUUAUCAAAUUGGUAUCAGAGCAGAAAUAAGAAAGAAAAGCUGCAGCAAGUGAAAAAGAAAGGCAGUAAUUUGAUUCUGCCGAAAUUAAGAGUGUUGUUACUCUCACAAAACAAAGGAGAGCCAAAACUGAGAGAUGGCAAAUGACAGCAGCAGCAAUUUUAUUCAACCAUCCAUACCACGGUUUGAUGGCCAUUUUGAUCACUGGAGCAUGCUAAUGGAGAACUUCUUGCGAUCCAAGGAAUUCUGGAUCUUGAUUGAGACAGGCUACACAGAACCAGAAGAAGGAGCAAGUAUAACAGAAACUCAACGCAAGAACUUAGAGGAGUUAAAACUGAAAGAUCUGAAGGUAAAAAACUACCUAUUUCAGGCCAUUGACAGAACUAUACUUGAAACCAUUCUGGAGAAGAACACCUCCAAACAGAUUUGGGACUCGAUGAAAGGAAAUAUGAAGGAAAUGCAAGAGUGAAGCGAUCAAUCCUCCAAACACUAAGGAAGGAGUUUGAAACACUGGAGAUGAAAACUGGUGAGCAUGUCACUGAUUACUUUGCAAAAGUUAUGACUGUAGCCAGCAAAAUGAGGAUCUAUGGAGAGAAAUGCGAGAUGUAACAAUUGUGGAAAAAAUUCUUCGAUCUCUAACUGACAGAUUCAACUACAUAGUAUGUUCAAUUGAAGAAUCGAAGGAUAUUGAUGUUCUAUCAAUUGAUGAGUUACAAAGCUCAUUGAUUGUACAUGAACAAAAAUUUCCAGAAACACAGCAUGGAGGAACAAGCUUUAAAAGUGACAUCUGAAGAAAGGUCAUAUGGUAGAGGUCAAAGCAGAAGAAUCUUUAGAGGUGGAGGAAGAGGUAGAGGACGAUAUACUUUGAUAAAACCACUGUGGAAUGCUAUAGAUGUCACAAGCUUGGCCAUUUCCAGUAUGAAUGUCCCACAGUAAACAAGGAGGCAAAUUAUGCAGAACUAAACAAUGAAGAAGAAAUACUAUUGAUGUCUCAUGUGGAACUAUAUGACAGCAAUCGAGAGGAUUCAUGGUUUCUUGACUCUGGCUGCUCAAAUCAUAUGUGUGGGAUAAGAAUAUGUUCCAUGAGUUGAAUGAAGAUUUAGACAACUGGUAAAGCUGGGGAAUAACACACGGAUGACAGUUCUUGGUAAAGGAAAAAUCAAAUUACUCUUGAAUGGCUUGCAGCACACGGUCACUGAUGUCUUCUAUGUACCUGAACUAAAGAAUAACCUCCUCAGCAUAGGCCAGCUACAAGAGAAGGGUAUGGCAAUCCUUAUCAAAUCAGGAACAUGCAAAGUCUAUCAUCCUAUGAGGGGUCUGAUCAUUCAAACCAGGAUGACAAUCAACAGGAUGUUUGUGCUAAUAGCAAAGGCUCAAGCUAAAGAUACCUCCUGUUUUCAUACACAUACACAGGAUCUGUCUCAUUUAUGGCAUUGCAGAUAUGGUCACCUCAGCCACAAAGGAUUAAGAACCCUGCAAUACAAGAAGAUGGUGAGAGGAUUACCACAACUUCCUGCUUCAACCACAGAAUGCACUGCCUGCAUUACGGGCAAGCAGCAUAGAGAACCUUUUCCUAAAAGAAGUCAAUGGCGUGCAUCACAGAGAUUACAACUUAUUCAUGCAGACUUGUGUGGUCCAAUCACACCAACCUCAAACAGCAAGAAAAGGUAUUUCUUAUGCCUCAUUGAUGACUAUAGCAGAAAGGCCUGGGUCUAUUUUUUGGCAGAGAAAUCAGAAGCUCUCCAACAUUUCCAGUAUUUUAAGAAGCUUGUGGAAAAAGAAACUGGACAGUACAUCAAAAGCUUAAGAACAGAUAGGGGUGGUGAAUUCAACUCAAUGGAAUUCAAUGAGUUCUGUUUACAACAUGGCAUCAAGAGACAGCUGACCACAGCCUACACUCCUCAGCAGAAUGGAGUGGCAGAGAGGAAGAAUAGGACAGUGAUGAACUUGGUAAGAUCCAUGCUGACAGAAAAGAAGAUUCCCAAGAGCUUCUGGGCUGAGGCAGUAAACUGGAUCAUAUAUGUCUUGAACAGAUGUCCUACGAAUGCUGUAAAAGAUAUGACUCCAGAAGAAGUAUGGACUGGAAUCAAGCCUUCAGUUGAACACUUUAGAGUAUUUGGAUGUGUAGCCCAUGUGCACAUACCAAAUGCAAGACGAACUAAACUGGAAGACAAUAGUGUGUGCUGCAUAUUGCUGGGAGUAAGUGAAGAAUCAAAGGGGUACAAAUUGUAUGAUCCUGCAACAAAGAGAAUUGUAACUAGCAGGGACAUCAUUUUUGAAGAAGAAAAACAUUGGGAAUGGGAUAUCAGUCACAAGGAGGAGUUACAAAUGGAUUUAGAAUGGGGAGGAGAAGGUGCAACUGAUGGAGAAAAUGCAAACAUCAGUAGAGAUGCAGAUGCAAUUGAGAGUGCAGAUGCAAUUGAGAGUGCAGAGGCAAUUGAGACUAAUAGUACAGACUCAGGAGCAGAGUCAGAUUUGAAUAGCAUUGAAGGAUCAAGCAAUGCUCAUAUCAACACCAUACAUGAAGAAGGUGUUGAUUUGAACGUAAGAAGGGAGACAAUCAUGCCCAGCUGGAUGAGAGACUAUGUCUCUGGUGAAGGACUAUCAGAAGAAGAAACAGAAUUGAACAUGGCAAUUGUGACUUCUGAUGACCCCGUGAGCUAUGAAGAGGCAGUGAAAAGCUACAAGUGGAGGGAGGCCAUGGAUGCUGAAAUAGAGUCAAUUCAGAAGAAUGAGACAUGGAGUCUAAUGGAAUUACCAGCUGGAACCAAGAAGAUUGGUGUGAAAUGGAUAUACAAGACCAAGUUAAAUGAAACUGGAAAAGUGGAUAAGUUCAAAGCCAGGCUAGUGGCUAAGGGUUAUGCUCAAAAACAUGGUGUGGAUUAUACUGAAGUAUUUGCUCCGGUGGCAAGGAUGGAUACUGUUCGGAUGAUCAUUGCUCUAGCUGCUAAGAAAGGGUGGCUUAUCUAUCAAUUAGAUGUUAAGUCAGCCUUCCUGCAUGGGGAAUUAAGUGAGGAGUUGUUUGUGGAACAACCAAGAGGGUAUGAGCAGAAAGGAAAUGAGCACAAAGUUUACAAAUUACACAAAGCACUAUAUGGAUUAAAACAAGCCCCUAGAGCUUGGUUUAGCCGCAUUGAAGCCUACUUCACUCAUGAAGGAUUCCAAAAGUGCAUCAGUGAACAGAAUUUGUUUGUCAAACUAACCAGUGGAGGCAAAAUCCUUAUCGUGAGCAUUUAUGUAGACGACCUGAUCUUCACUGGAGAUAAUGAGGAGAUGAUUCUGGAAUUCAAACAGUCCAUGAUGAAGGUUUUCGAUAUGACUGAUCUAGGAAGAAUGAGAUUCUUCCUAGGUAUAGAAGUACUGCAACAUGCCAAUGGAAUCUUUAUCUGUCAACGAAAAUAUACAUUGGAAGUUCUGAAACGCUUUGGAAUGGAAGAAAGCAAUGCAGUAAUGAAUCCCAUAGUGCCUGGGUGCAAAACUGAUACAGUUGGAGAAGGAAACAGAAUCGAUGAUACUUACUAUAAACAAAUAGUAGGAAGUCUUAUGUACAUUACUGCUACAAGGCCAGACAUCAUGUUUGGGGUGAGUUUUAUAAGCAGGUUUAUGGCUAAUCCAACAGAAGGGCAUCUACAAGCUGCAAAAAGAAUAUUGAGAUACUUGAAGGGCACUAUUAACUAUGGUAUAUACUAUAAGAAGAAUGAGGACAAGCAGCUGAUUGCAUACACUGACAGUGACUAUGCAGGAGACAUUACAGACAGGAAGAGCACAUCCGGCUAUGUCUUCAUGUUGAGUGGAGGAGCAGUUUCAUGGGCAUCAAAGAAGCAGCCUAUAGUCACUCUGUCAACGACUGAAGCAGAAUUCGUGGCAGCAGCAGCUUGUGCUUGCCAGGCAGUAUGGAUGAGAAGAAUACUAGAGAAACUGAAUCAUGAACAAAGAGGCUGCACCAUCUUAAUGUGUGAUAAUAGCUCAACCAUCAAGCUCUCACGAAAUCCCAUUAUGCAUGGACGCAUCAAGCAUAUUGAUGUGAGGUUCCAUUUCCUGCGUGAGUUAACACGAGACAAGAUCAUAGAACUGAUGCACUGUGGCUCACAUGAUCAAGUAGCUGAUCUCCUAACAAAACCAGUUAAGCUGCAGACAUUUGAGAAUCUUCGAGGACAAAUGGGAGUCUGUGUAAUACCUGAUGUAAACUAACUGUUACACAGAUUAGUUUAAAGGAGAGAAUGUUGAGAAAUGACAAUUAGAUAAUUCUGUUAGAACAGUUAGUUAAUUCUGUUAGAACAGUUAGUUAGUUAAGUCAGUUAGUUGGUUAGCAUCAGUUCAGCAACAGAAUCCUUAGUUUACGGGGCAGCAGUUACUCUGCAUGUUAACUCUGCAUUUGAAGGCUAUAUAAAGCCACACUGCAGUUCAAUUGAAUAAGACAGUUGAGGAUUAAGCAAGAAUUCUUCAUAUCUUUCUUAUCACAAUACCUACUGGGUGAGUACCAACAUUCAUGUCCUUGGGAUACAAUUUGUUCCACACUUCCUUGAUAAUAUAUUGGAUAAAUUUUGCUUCAUGCCUGUUCAUAGACAAAAGCAAGUUAAUAGUGAGAGAAUUAAGUGUUGGGAUAUUGCUAUUAAUGGGCAACAACAUGUGUAUCUACUCUAAGAAAUAAGAAUACUAUUCUCGAAAGGUUACAAUGAAAGUUGUACCAACCAUUGACAAACAGGGUACAAACCAUGUGCUGCCACCAUUUGUGCCAUAAUUGAUGGCCUAUUAUUUUACCAUUGAUGCCUAUAAAUAGAGGCAUUAUUUGAGAGCAAAAUGAUAGAGAGUUGUGAGAGUAUGUAAAGAGAAUAAGAGAGAAAAAGAGAAGAUCUGCAAGGGCAGUAAUGUGAGCUGGGAGUGGAGUUUGAGUGAAGUGAUUUUCCUCCUUGUAUUUGUUUGGUAUCAUUUCUCUAUCUCUAAUAAUAUGGACAUCUUUCAUGGAUGUAGGCAAUUUGUCAAACCACAUUAAAUAUUGUGUCAGUGUGCUUAGAAUCUAAUGGGCAACUAUCAAUACAUCACUGGUUAGAUUCCCCAAUAUUAAACAUGUUCAAAAAGUAUUUUAUUGUUUCACAUUGUAAAAAAUAUAAUGUAUAAUGACUCCAUGAAUGUGUGGACGUGAAUCUUAUAGAGAAAAGGCAUACCCAUUUGCCAUAUCUUUGAGAUUCCAUCCGGAUAGAUUUCCUGCCUCUUCAAGAGCUUCUCUCCACUCCUUCACCUUCUCUUUAGAACGUUCUUCAUGUUUCACAAAUGCUUCUGCAAAACUGCCAGUCUGUUUUCUCACAUCUGAAGGAUCAAUGUCAUAGAAUAUAGGAAGAGCAAUCUGACCAGUUUUCCUAUAUUUGCACUUAAAAAUCUCCACUAGUUCAUCUAGACACCAUCUUGAAGAAGCAUAUCCUUUUGAGAAGACCACUAUAAAUAUCUUUGAUUCUUGAAUUGCCUCGAGGAGAUGUUGGGAGAUUUCUUCUCCUCUAGGAAGUUCAUCAUCAUCUUGAAAAGUGUGGAUUCCUGCUUGGACUAAGGCAGUAUAUAGAUGAUCUGUAAAUGUCUUGCGAGUAUCUUGUCCUCUAAAACUCAAAAAGACAUCAUAGGCCCCUUGUGGUGUAGAUGGAGAAGAAUCUGGCUCUGUCAUGGCAGCUGCAGAAAUUAAGGCACGAUUAAUUAAUUAGAAAUGAAGCGAUUGCAGGAGGUAUCUGCUAUCUUGCAAUUAUAACUAGUAAGGGAUACAUGUGAAGUGAUCAUCAAAGACAAUACAUAUGAAUGUGCUGAGUAGGAAUUUCAAUUAGAGAGUAAGGUAAGAAAAUCAUUCAGUCAUUGAGUUUCACCUAAUACUUCAAGCUUAACAACCAGAGAGCAUAAAACAAUAGCAUUUAAAAAGCUUACUGAGGUCAGCUUUUCUUCUCUUUCGCGAGGAUGAAUCAUUUUCUUCAUCUUUGGAUUGUUUGCGUUUUUCUUUCGGCAUUCUAAAAUGAAAUGAUCUUGUUCUAGAAGACAUGCAAGGAAUUAACUCAAUAAACUCAUCAAUGAUGUCUAUCUGAACAUAAAGCUUUCAAAUUAUUGUUACGAGUAAAGACAUGAAAUUAAAACAAGAAAGAAGCAAAGAAGAGGUAGAGCUAUACCUCUAUAUAACAAAGGGUUGGUUGGAUUCCACACAAGCUAUGAAAUUGCAGCAAUCUGGGAGAGAGGUUAGCUGAUUAAUCAAUACUGCUUCCAGCUAGCUGCCUUUGUUUGACGUCUCAGAACUGAAAGACUAUUCCUGGGACGAUACUUUAUUUCAACUACCCAAACAAUUUUUGUUAUCAAUUUUUGUUAUAGUUUCCAAGAAGCAAAGAAGAGUUACCAGCAAGAACAUGAAGACAUAAGAGCCAAUGCAACAAUUAUUUUCCCUGGCAAUCCUCUUAGUGUUAAUGUUGCUGUCAUGCAACAAUUAAUAUUACUGUAAAGACUAAAACAAGGGAAAUUCCUUUGUAAAUGACAAGGAAUUGAACGUUAAAUAGUGAAUUGAACAAAAAUGGUUAUUAAUUUCCAAGUCAGUCCGUGAAUUUACUUGUAGUUUCGAAGAAGCAAAGAAGAGUUACAAGCAAAAAACAUGGCAGCAUAAAAUCCCAUGUUUUCAAAACAAUCAGUAGCAACUACACGCAUGCAUGCAAUCAGUAGCAACAAUCGCAAAGGUUACCUCAAUUCUAUGGUGUUUGAGCUGUACGGAUUCCACGAACCUGGUGACUUUAAAGAUCAAAUUGCAGCAAUCAGAAAGGUUAGCUGAAGAGUAAAGAAACGAGGACUGAAGGCAAUAUUGUUUCGGGUAUCAUAUAUAGGAAUAGGAGCUUGGAAAUUUCUUUAGCAGCGUGUGAUCAAGGUAAUUUCCCGGUUGUUGCUGACUGAUUAUAGUUGUUGCUUUAGCGCGCCUCUGACAUAGACUGGAGGACUAAAUUUCUUUAGCAGCGUGUGAUCAAGAUUAAUCCCAACUAAUCUAAAAUCUAGAGCUUUGGGAUCAACUCCCCGUCGAUUUAAAAAACUAUGGUUAAAAGCAAGUGCAUGAAGUUUUUGUUACAAGGAUAUGCUUCUCGAAAAAUAAAAGGAAAUUGUUGUUUUGUUUCUACCUUAGAAUAAAAAUAGUUUUUAAUUUAAUUUUACAUUAAUUAAAAUAAAUAUUAGUAAAAGAUUUUAAAUUUUAAAACAAAAACUCAUCAUGUUAUGCUAAGAAAGUCACAAAAAAUUAUUUGUUAGUUUUAAAUUAAUAAAUUAAUAAAAUAAAUAUUUUAUUUUCAUUGAAUAUUCAUGAGUAUUGUUUUUAAAAAAAUCUUGAAUAUUAGGUUCAUAUAUAAUUAGCCAUAAAAUUAUAAUUAACAUUACUAAAAAAAUUAUAAUAUUAUUUAAAAAUUACAGCACAACCGAAUAAGUUUAUAAAUAUUAUUUUUAAAAUGAAUUUUAUGAAAAAAAUGUCAAAAACCAAAACUUGAAAGACCAUAUUGAAUUUUUUAGUGGAAAAGAUUGUCGCAAUCCACAACAGUUAUGGCGAGGGCUACACGUCUAAGCAUCAAUCUAGCACCAUUGAUUACAAAACCUCGUUCUUGGACAAUCAAUUGGCAUAAUUUUCCACACGGAUUAGUUGAAUCUUAAAAAUGAUAGCUUGACAAGGAUUAGUUGAAUUUGUGCAUCACAAUCAAAUGGCAUAAUUUUCCACACGGGAAACUUAGAAGAGUCGAAGACCCUCGCCCUCACACUCCAUCUCCAUUUAUUUGCCUGCUGAAUUCCAUCUCUCAGCCCUGCUUUUUUGUUUCCGGGUCUAAUCUGAUACUUGUUAUUAAUUUUAUUCAUAUAAAAUAUAUUUAUUAUUUAAAAAAAUUAAUAUUAUUCGUUCUACCAUGUUUUUGAGAAACCCAACAAUAACAUAAUAAUAAAAAAAUAUAAAAAAUUAAGAUUAUAUUCACAUCCAUGGUUUUUUUUUCCUUACAAUCCUUUCAAUUUGCAUUAUGAAUAUUUCAGCAUGAAUUAAAAAAUAGUUUUAACAUUAAUUUUUUUCUAUUUGGAAUUGUAAAUCAGAGGGGUUAAUAUCUAACUUACUUUGGUAUAAUUUUUAGGGAUUGAAUCCUAUUUAAAAUUUAAUUCUUAACACUAAAAAUAUUUUAAAUAUGAGAUAUUAUUAAAAAUUUCUAAUUCAAUUUAAUUUAGUGAAAUAGUUUUUGAAAUUGGUGCUUUUCUUCAACUAUUCUCCUGGAUUUGUUUUUUAAUCAAUAACAUGACAUGAUUGUUUUGGCAAUUGUUUUUGCUAAAAACAUGAUUUUCAUAGCCAUUUGCACCCUAUUAUUUAUUUUUAUUCAUAUAUUAAUGUCAAUAUUCCCUUUUUUUUAUUCAUUUAUUUAUUUUUAUUUUGAUGAAAAUGUAUUUUGUAAUAGAAGCUUGGUUUUUUAUAUAAGAACUUAUCAUGAUUUGUGAACUAAUUUUCAAAAACAAAUUAAAAAAUAAUAACAUCCCCAUUAUUUUUGUGAGACUUUAUGAAAACAAUAAAGAAUAAUUAAUUUGAGAAAAAAUAUAAAAAUUCACAAUACAAAAAUAAUAUAUAUAUAUAUAUAUAUUAUUCUCAUUAUAUAUUAAUGUCCAUUUUAUAAAAUAUGGUGCAUGUGAGUUUUGUACAUAAUUAUAAAAAUACUGCAAAUAUAACCAUAAACAAUUAUAAUUUUAUUUAAAAAUAAUGAUAUAAUUUAAUGAUUUAUGAAACAUCAUUGCAAUUAUUUAUUAAAGUAGUUUUUAUUUUAAGAUAAAAAAAACAUAUAUAAAAAAAAAUGAAAGAAUAUAAUGGACAAGAAAUAUCAGAAGCAGAUAGACCUAUGCUAUGAGGCUUCCACGCUUAGCCCAUAAGAAACCUUGGCACCAAUAAGACUUUUGAUAAUUGAUAUUACUAACUCAAUCAAUGUCAAUGAAGCCAAUGGCCAUAAGAUGUGGAGCAUGUGUUAUAACUUAAUUUUUUAUAUAUAUAUAAAAUGAAAAGAAAAUAAAAUGGAAUAAAUUAAGAAAAAUUAAGAUUUGAAUCAUACAGAACAAAUGAAAAGAUGAAAAGUUUUGAAGAAUUAACCAGAGAGGGAUUGUAAUCCAGGGUUCAAUUUUACUAGAAAUAAAAAUAAUAGAUAAGUUUAAGGACUUAAUUAAACUUUAAAUUUGUUUAAAUUAAUGAUAUCAGGGGUUUAAUUGAUAGAUUUAAGGACUUAAAUAAGAUUAAAAUCAAUUUAAUUAAUAAAAUCAGGAGUUUAAGUGAAGAAAUAUCCAAGUUUGGAAUUAAUUAAGGAUUAAAUGGAUUAAACUGGAAGCCAAGGACUUUUUUGUAAACGACACCGAAAUCCAGGGGUCUGAUUAUAAUGUUCCUUGGGCCUGAUUAGAAGAUCUCGAAACGUAAAAUGACUAAAUUGCAAAAGAGCCACCCAAGUCAGAAACGACGCCGUUUUGUUUCAUUCUUUGUUCCUUUCGAAACAGAGGAGAUCACCUGCGAAGGAAAUACAGAAUGCCACCCAGACAGACAACUCACACCACAAGACACAUUGCAAUGCCCAAGACUUCCAUCACCAGCUUUUCAAUUCUUUUUCGUGUCCCUCGCCGCCAUAACAAACCAUUGAGGCGUGGAGGAAACCACCACCAUUGACAAGAUAGUGUUUGGGCUGAUGUGGACAAAAAGCCAUAGAGUGAGUACAGAUAAACGGAAAUGGUUAGAGAUUCAGCGGAAAAGAUGAAUAGGAAGACUUUGGUUUGUAAUGAUAAUUUGAUUAUGAGUUAAAUAUUAUUUCUAAGGCUCUGAUGUAGCCUCUCCACGAAACUCUCAAAUUUUGAUUUAUGUUAUUAAAGUAUUUAUCAAUCUUGUUGAGUGUAAAUAUAUUAUUGUAUCUAACAGCAGAACCCAAAGUUAUAUUGACAACAGAGGAAAAGCUAUAAGAUCACAGACUACAAUUACACAAAACAAAUGUACGCAAAUAAAGAAGAAAACCACAGAUGGGUUUGGAUAUUUGAAGCAAGUAGUAAUAGCAACAGUUGUUGUGCAGAGUAGUGAAGGUCCUGAAAUUUUUCUACUUUUGUUCAUAUAUCUGAUGUGCAGAGUAAUGAAUGGUUUGUUUGGCUGUGAUGAUUUAUACGAAUUUUGACUCACAAUACAUCACUCUGAAACAUAAGGGAAAUGAAUUGGCACAAGGCAUAGCAGAGAAACAAGAUAUAUAGUUUAAUCCAAAACGAACCUGCAUUUCUAAAAUUAGAAAUGCAAAAUUCAAACGAAAAGAUUUGCCAACUAACAUCCAACUACAGCAACUAUUAUCAUACUCUAAUCAAUUUUGGCUCUGAUCUAUUAUCAUAUUCUUCAGCAUAAAUUAAAUGCAACUUUCAAAAGAAACCAUCAACUUAAAUUCCAGCAGCAGCAGCAACAAUCAUAGACCCAAACUCUGAUUUGAUAAAUUUUAAAUUUGAUAAUAAUAAUCUACUCUGAAAAUGAGCUACAAACGGUUUAAACAGUACUUUAAACCGACCAACAGGUUCCUUUGUUGAGGUGGGAUAAGGACAUCAUGAGAAGGUACAAAAUGCAGCAUUUACCUUGUGACAAUGCCGGCUUAUCAGAACUCGGCAUUUUCUGCAUGUCUCAUUGUAAAGGUGGUUGCCAGGAUGCUAGCUAAUAGCCAGCAGGUAAAAUUCAAACAUAUACUUCUAAUAUCAUGCUUUGAGAAUGGAGAUCGCCCUUGGCAUCUGGAUAUCUCAUAUAUAUGCAAACAUUUCCAGACUGAUAUUGCUCUUUCUAUAUUUUUCCCGUUCUGAGUUUCCUCUGUAAUUGUUGAGACAAAGAAAUUGGCGCAUAUGGCACUGCGUGGUGAUGAAGAAGUAGCUAACAAGCAGGUGAUAUUGAAAGACUAUGUCUUGUCUGGUUUUCCUAGGAAUUCAGACAUGAAUGUGAUCACCAGUUCUAUCAAACUUAAGGUACCAGAAGAAACUCCAGGAAUUCUAGUCAAGAAUCUUUAUUUGUCAUGUGAUCCAGCCAUGAGAGGUAGAAUGUUAAUACUUGAAGGAUCUUAUGCUGAGUCCUUCAAGCCUGGUUCGGUCAGUCACUCUGCUUAUCUUGCAUUUCAUUGAAUACUUUUGAAGAAAACAAUCGAUACAAAUUAGAAUAGGGCUGUUGAUAUAUGUGCUUCUGUAUAGCUCAAACUUUCAUGUGGCUGUUCCAAAAAAAUGCAGCCUUUAAAUGGAUAUGGAGUGGCUAGAGUUUUGGAUUCAGGGCAUCCAGACUGUCACACCCCCACAAAAAAAAUUAUAAGGCGCGACAUCGGCUGGCGAUUUUCGUUGUGUUCUAAGGAUUUGGUUCUUUGGAGUCGCCACCUAGUAUUUGGUCACUAGGAACCCUAACUGGUCUUUCAGAGAUUCUAAGGCAAGGGACUGGUUGCGUAAAGGGAAGGUACUAGCACCCCUAGUAUGCCCUACCGAAGGUAAGCUGCUUGGUGUUUGGUUUGCUCUAUAGUCUAUGGUGUUGGUGUUUUCUAAUCCCGUCAACUCGUAGAUCGCCCGGAAAAGAAAAGAAAAAAAAACGAAGAAAAAUUCACAAUUCUUAAAAAAAACAAUUUUAUACUUUCACGACUCGUAAACCGUGGAGUAAAAAAAAUUAAAAUUUUGAAAUGUCCUCGAUUACAACCAAAGCUUCUUUCAAACAUGUGCGCUGAUUUAUUACUCCCAAUAAUAUUUUGGAUGUUCGUCCUUUUAAGGAUUUCUUCAUCCAAACAUUAGCGGUGAACAAUAACCACCACUUCUCCUCCCAAAAUAAGAUUUUUUAUAGUUUUUGGAAUAUUGGCCAAUACCCUUUGGAGUUUUACAAACAUGUUGUAAAAUCCACAAAUGGAAGAAAAUGAUUUGUGUUUAAGAAAUCUAUGCGAAAACACACCUUCAAAGCUUCCAAUAUUUUUUGUGUAUAAAAAAGAAAAUUCAAAAUCAUGUUAGAGUAUUGGCCGUAUGCAACACGCAAGAAAACAUUUUUUUUUUUUGACGAAAACGGGUGUUUUUAAACACUGAAAUUAUAUCCCCAUAGUAAAAAAAUGCAAAUCAAUGUAUAUAAAAACAACAAUAUAUUUUUUUUACUUUUCAGAAAUUUUUUAUUUUUUAUUUUAUUAAUUUUUUUUUAUAAAAAAAAUAUAUAUAUAUAUACAUCCACAUGCAUAAUAUAAUAAUAUAAUAUAAUAUUAAUAUCAAGUGGGCUGGGCCGGCCCAACUAACUGGGCCGGAUUCCAGCCCCAAAAACGUUGGGCCACACUCGGCCCAACAACAUCUUGUCUUGAUCUGGGCCGGACUGGCCCAGACCUGCAAUCUGGGCCGGACCGGCCUAGACCCGCCUAUCACUGGGCCAGACCCUGUCUGGCCCAACAGAAGAAAAAGAAAUGAACGAGGGAGGGAAUUAUUUUCCCCCCCGUAUGCCUCCUGCAUGCAGAACGAUUCUGCAUGCAGGAGGCCAACCUAUGCCAGCCUUCAACAGAAAAUGCAGGGGGGUCAGAAUGGCGUACCUGGCGCAGCGGAGACGGCGGCUUGCUGGCGGGGGCUGCGGCGGGGGCGGUGGCAGCGGCUUAGCUCACAGUGGUUUCCAAGUGGACCGAGACCACACCUUCGGUUCGCUCGCUUCUGCUUCAACUUCUGGAUGUCCCCUCUCGGUUUCAACUACCCCAAGCUUUUCAAACCAUGGGUUUUCGGUCACUGUUUCGUAAGUUUUGUGGUUUCUCUCUCUUUCGGUCUCUCUCUCUCUCUCACUGUCUCGGUUUUUUGUCUUUCUUUCGGGUCCCUCUUUUUCGUUCGUCCUCCUCUUUUCUCACUCUGCUUCUUCUCUAUUUAUAGGCAUAUCGGGGCAUGCAUGGGGGAACGAGGCGUGCUGGUCGGUCGGUCGGCAGGCGCCGCUGCCAAGGUGCUUCUCUCGGGUUCGGUGGCGCGGCGGGUGGUCGGCCAGCGGCUUCGGUUUCGGGGGUCCCAAGGUGUGGAGCGUCGGGCCAUGGCACGUGAGGAGAGAGGCGGGGACCAAAACCCCGGUUUUCCUCUCCUCUGCUACGCCUGCGGGGGGGAAGAAGAAGAGAAACAGUGUCGUUCAAAACGGCACCGUUUGGUCUUUUUUUUUUCUUUUUUUUUUUUAAAACGCAUGAAACGACGUCGUUUUGGAGAAAACGCGCCGUUUCAUUUAAAUGUGGCGCCAGAAAUGCGCCAACGUUCACAUCAGUCCCCCAAUUAUUUUUGUUCCUUUCAAUUGCGUCCCUGCCAAUUCCGGUCUUGUCCGCCAAGUUGGCCGCCUUUUCCACUUUGGUCCUUGGCCUCUAAAUUAUGCAAUUUAGCCCUCAAUUGAUCAAUAAACUUCUAAUUUCUUCAAUUAGGCCCCUCAAUCAAUCCCAAACAGCCCCCCCUAUUCUUGCGCCUUUUUCAAAUUGGUCCCUGGUUUCGGAUUUUCACAAUUAAACCCCUAAUUGGCCAUUAAACUUCAAUAUUUAUGCAAUUAAGCCCCUGAUUUGACUUAAUAAAAUCCUAAAAAUUAUAAUUUGGCCCCAGAACUUAAAUUUCUUCAAUUUAAAGCCCAAUUGACUUAAAAAUCAAUUUUUCUUGCAAUCAAAUCCCUUAUAAAUCCAAUUAAAAAAUCAAUUAAACCAUAAACAUCCAAAUUUGGGCUUCUCUCCUCAAAAUUCAAAAUUUCCUUCUCAAUAGGGUUUUCAUCUUCAAGAAUAUAUUGUAAAAAUCCAAUCUUUGUAUUUUAUACUCCUUGACCAAUUUUCUGACCAUUUUCUGAGCGCUUCUGCCUCUUGUCAUUUUUCUAACCUUCUUUGGCUAUUUAUUUAUUUUUUUGCGGGGACCCAAAAAUGGGUUACAACAGAUGCCCCCUCUUUAUAGAGCUUACGGAGCAAAGGUUUUGCGUAGUAAGUUUUAUAAAGAUAGUCCCAACUAAACUCCCGAAACUGAUCUGGUCGAAGCUUGAUCGAUCUGAAACUCUUUCUUUACAACAAUCCUCUUCGGCCAUCGGAAUCCCAUCUGGCAUUCCCUUUAACGAAAAUGAAAUAUGAGGUCCCUUCUGGCGACCCCUUUUGACAAAUAUCGAAAUACGAGAUCCCUUCUGGCGAUCUCCUUUAAUCAACUUGGAAUCCCAUCUGGCGAUUCCUAUUAACAAACAUGAAGUACGAGGUCCCAUCUGGCGACCUCCAAAAUAGUGAAACACGAGAUCCCUUCUGGCGAUCUCAAACAACUGGAAUCCCAUCUGGCGAUUCCUUUUAACCAACAUGAAGUGUGAGGUCCCAUCUGGCGACCUCCACAAUAGUGAAACACGAGAUCCCUUCUGGCGAUCUCAAACAACCUGGAAUCCCAUCUGGCGAUUCCUUUUAACCAACAUGAAAUACGAGGUCCCAUCUGGCGACCUCCAAAUAGUGAAACACGAGAUCCCUUCUGGCGAUCUCAAACAACUGGAAUCCCAUCUGGCGAUUCCUUUUAACCAACAUGAAAUACGAGGUCCCAUCUGGCGACCUCCAAAUAGUGAAACACGAGAUCCCUUCUGGCGAUCUCAAACAACUUGGAAUCCCAUCUGGCGAUUCCUUUUAACCAACAUGAAAUGAGGUCCCAUCUGGCGACCUCCAAAUAGUGAAACACGAGAUCCCUUCUGGCGAUCUCAAACAACUUGGAAUCCCAUCUGGCGAUUCCUUUUAUUCAAACUGAAAUAUGAGUCCCUUCUGGCGACUCAUCGAAAAACGAGAUCCCUUCUGGCGAUCUCUUUUAACCAACAACUUGGAAUCCCAUCUGACGAUUCCCUUUUACCAAUUGUAUCGAUGUCGUUCUUCCUGCUGGCAGGGUUUGAAAAAUUAUCUUCUCUUCUUGUUGUUCUAGACUCAACUCAAUGAUUCUUUCUUCGUCCACAAUCUUGUUGGAAUGCACUAAGAUCUCCUCCUGUAACGAUAAAAAACAUACAUGCAAUGAUUUAUGAUUAGAUGCAAUGCAUGCAUUCGUACCUGGUUUUGAAACAUAGGCCCCAUCCUCUUCUUCUAGUUCAUGAGACUCCUCUAACAUGAGCUUGCUUUUGAAGUCGUAUGCUGGAUUCAUCUCUCGUGUUGCCUUUUUUACUUAUCAUAUUCUUGGAGAAGAAUUAUUUGACUUUCCUCAAGUAGUCCUUUUCUCAAAAUGUAAGACUUGUUAUUGCCUUUAUGUCAUGCUUUUGUCAAAUGCUUUAGCUUGGUUUUCAAAUCUAUAGGCUUCCGUAAAACUUUUCAUAAAAAACAUCUUGUAUUGCCCCCAAUGUAGGGGUGUGAUCCUAGUUUGAGAUUUUAUAUUAGAGAAGACAUUCGUUCAGUCGAUGCUAAACUUUUUAAAUGAGUGAUGAGAUGCACAAAAAUGAUUGCUGUGAGAUCAAUGCACAAAAAGAAAGAAAUCAAUGGCCAAACUUUGCUUUAUUGAUUCAGGGAAUUACAUCAAGCGUAAUAUCUUUUUACAGAGUCAGAAUUCACAGGUCGAGCUAGGUCUUCUCCAUCCAUUCUAGCUAACUUCAACGCUCCUCCUGAGAAUGCCUUUGUUACUACAUAAGGACCCUCAUAAUUUGGUGCCCAUUUGCUUUGAUCAUCUCCGGGUAAUGACAAUAUCUUCUUCAACACUAGAUCCCCUUCUUGAAACAACUGCGGUCUAACCUUCUUAUCAUACGCCUUAGCCAUUCGUUUCUGGUAAAGUUGGUGAUGACAUAUUGCGGCCAUCCUCUUUUCACUGAUCAGGUUCAGUUGCUCGUGUCUCACUCUGGCCCACUCGGCUUCUUCUAACUCAGAAUCGAUUAACACUCUUAACGACGGGAUUUCCACUUCCAAAGGCAUCACUGCCUCCAUACCGUACACCAAAGAAUAUGGGGUAGUCCCUGUCGAGGUUCGAACUGCGGUGCGAUAUGCAUGAAGGGCAAAUGGUAACAUCUCAUGCCAAUCCUUAUAGGUGACUACCAUCUUCUGAAAUCUUUUUGACAUUCUUGUUAGCAGCUUCUACCGCCCCAUUCAUCUUUGGUCUAUAUGGCGAAGAAUUGGAAUGCUUGAUUUUCCAUUUAGUGCAGAGCUCUAUUAUCAUCUUGCCGUUGAAAUUCUGGGCAUUAUCAGUUAUAAUCUUUUCUGGUGGACCAUACCGACAUAUCAAAUCUCUCUCAAUAAAUUUCUUCACCACUUUUUGUGUCACAUGAGCAAAUGACCCGGCUUCUACCCAUUUUGUGAAGUAGUCAAUAGCCACGAGGAUAAAUCUAUGACCAUUGCUCGCUUUUGGGUUUACAGGUCCAAUCACAUCAAUUCCCCACAUCGCGAAGGGCCAUGGAGAUGUUAAGUUAAACAGAGGAGCUGGUGGCAUAUUGACCUUGUCACUGUAAAUUUGACAUUUGUGACAUUUUCUGACAUAGUCGAUACAAUCUUUUUCUAGUGUCAUCCAAAAAUAACCAGCCCUUUGGAUUUUCCUUGCCAUCAUAUGCCCGCUAGCAUGGGUUGAGCAAAUCCCCUCAUGGACCUCUCUUAAUGCCUUUCUAGCAUCUGCCUCAUCCAAACACCUUAACAGGGUUCCAUCAAAUGAUCUUUUAUAUAAAAUCUCUCCAUCUAAAUAGAAGUCUAUAGCCAACCUUCUCAAGGUUUUCUUAUCCGUUUUAGAAGCUCCCACCGGAUAUUCCUGAUUCUGCACAAGAUUCUUGAUAUCGUAAUACCAAGGUUGUCCGUCCAUCUCUCCUUCAACUAAACAACAGUGCGCUGGAUCAUUUCUAAUAUCAAUGUGUACCGGUUGUACCUUGCACUUGAGGUCAAUGGUAGUCAUAGCAGCUAGUGUGGCCAAAGCAUCCGCAAAAUGGUUCCCCUCCCUUCCCAGAUGGGUGAAUCUAAUUUCUUCAAAUUCCUUUGCUAGCAUGGAUAGGUAUUCCUGGUACGGCCUCAACUUUUCUUCUUUGGUUUGCCAUUCCCCUUUGACCUGGCAGAUGAUCAACAUUGAAUCCCCAUAUACAUCUAUCUUCUUUAUCUUUAACUCCAAUGCCGCUUCUAAACCGAGUAUACAAGCUUCAUACUCAGCUGUAUUGUUGGUGCACUCGAAAUGUAGUUUGACCGAAACUGGGUAUUGUUUCUUAUUAGGAGAGAUUAUUACCGCCCCUGCCCCGUUACCAUAUACAUUUACUGCCCCGUCAAAAAACAUGGUCCACCAAUCUGUCUUCUCUUCUUCCUUUUCUAUUGACAAUAUAUCUUCAUCAGGGAAAUCAAAAUCCAAAGGUUCGUAAUCUUCAACAGCAUUAUCGGCCAGAUGGUCUGCGAUUGCACUCCCUUUUACGGCUUUCCUUGUCAUGUACACUAUGUCAUAUUCUGCUAAUAAAACCUGCCACCUUGCAAUUCGACUUGAGAGAAAAGGCUUAUUACAAAUAUACCUCAGAGGAUCCAAUUUUGAAAUCAACCAAGUGGUAUAGUAUAACAUGUAAUGUCGCAACCUCUUUGCCGCCCACACCAACGCACAACAAAGUUUUCUAUCUCCGUGUAUCUGGACUCACAUUCAGUGAAUUUCUUACUCAAGUAAUAAAUAGCUCUUUCCUUCCUUCCGGUUUCAUCAUGCUGACCCAAUACACAUCCCAUGGCUACUUCAGUUACGGUUAGAUAUAAUACUAGAGGUUUCCUGAUACAGGAGGACCAGUAAAGGUGGAUUUUGUAAAUAAUGCUUGAUUUUAUUGAAUGCCUCCUCACACUCCUCAUUCCAGGUUCCAGGAUUCUUUUUCCUUAGUAGUCGGAAUAUAGGCUCGCAUGUUGUUGUUAGCUGAGCUAUAAAUCGAGCAAUGUAAUUCAACCUUCCCAAGAAUCCUCUUACUUCUUUCUCCGUCUUAGGGGAUGACAUAGCUUGAAUGGCCCUUACUUUAUCUGGAUCCACCUCUAUACCUCUAUCACUUACCACAAAUCCCAACAGCUUGCCCGAUUUAACUCCGAAUGAACAUUUUGCAGGAUUAAGCCUUAGUUCAUACUUCCUCAACCUCUCAAAUAACUUCCUCAAAACUUCCACAUGAUCCUGUCCCUUUUUAGACUUGGCAAUCAUAUCAUCUACAUACACCUCAAUUUCUUUGUGCAUCAUGUCGUGGAAUAGAGUCACCAUUGCUCUUUGAUAUGUUGCACCUGCGUUCUUUAACCCAAAUGGCAUGACCUUGUAGCAGUAGGUCCCCCAAGGUGUGACAAAAGUUGUUUUCGCCUUAUCCUCUGGAGCCAUUUUUAUUUGAUUGUAUCCUGAAAAACCGUCCAUAAAGGAAUAAGUGGAACUUCGGGCAGCAUUAUCCACUAAAACAUCUAUGUGUGGUAGAGGAAAAUCAUCCUUAGGGCUAGCUCUAUUCAAAUUCCGAAAAUCCACACAAACUCUAAUCUUCCCUUCCUUCUUAGGCACCACAACAAUGUUAGAUACCCAUUGUGGAUAUCUAACUACUUCUAGAAAGCCAGCAUCCCAUUGCUUUUCGAGUUCUGCCUUGACCUUGAUCCAGACGUCCGGGUGGGCCCUCCUCAGUUUCUGCUUGACUGGCUUAUAACCUUCUUCCAACGGUAUCUUGUGUUCUACAAUACUUGUAUCCAAACCGGGCAUAUCUUCAUAGGACCAAGCAAAGACAUCUGAAUAUUCUUGUAAUAGGGUGAUCAUUUUUAUCCUUUGUUCAGAAGUAAUUAGGGUACCUAUUUUCAACUCUUUCUUGAGCUGACCAUUGCCCACAUUGAUGGUUUCGAGUUCCUCGGCGGCAGGCUUCCAAGUCUGUUCCUGUUGUUCUACUAGCCUGGUGAAUUCACUGAUAUUGCUUUCAUCCCACUCUUCUUCUUCCAUAGCUAUUACAUGCUCGUUCAAGUUUGGCCAUUUAUUCUUGAUGCUAGAUGUAUGUGAUGUUGUAGGAGAUCCGCUUUCAGGAUUCCUGAAAGCGGGAAGUGCUUGGUGUAAAUGCAUAUAUAAAAACAAUUUUUGAAAAAAGUGCAUGAUCUCAUAUUCAUUCAAAGGAAAAGGUGGGCUCCAUGACAAACAUAGAAUCUAGCUGACAUCAUGAGCCUCGAUUGUCAACUAGAGAAAAUAAAGCAAACAUAAGCAAAUGACAAAAACAUUUUAAGGCAAACAAAGUUGGUUUACAUUUUGAAAACCACUGGAGCUUCUUGGGUCACCCAAUUCUGGAACUUUUCGCCUUGAGCCAACUUGCGCACAAAGGUCUUGGCGGAGACUUCUUCUAGUGUAUGGAUCGUCAGUUGUGGCAGCACUUCAUCUUCUUUUCCCGCUAUUUCUUUCGCGUCACCUUUUUCCUUCUCCUUUCCCUCCAAGGUGUUUAUGCUCAUAUUGCCAGCUCUAGACCCAGGCUUUCAGCUCCCUUAUCAUGUUGCACUAUGUAUGCAGCUCUUGGGAAUGAUACGCUAAGGGGAGGGAUUUCCAGUUGUUCUUCUUCAAGAUCUCUUCCUUUAAUUCUAGCCAUCCUUCUUGUCCUUCUCCGAUCAGCAGCCCAACGAUAAUCCUCUUGGUUAGGUUGAUAUCCUAGCCCAAAUCUUUGAUCAGCUUUUCUCUUCCUUGUCGGAUUAGCCCCUUCUGGUAUUCCGCAAGCGAGGUUAUAUCGACGUGGGACCCCACGGUUCAAGAAACAUAGACUUGCCAUCCUUGCUGCUUCUGAGAUCCUUGGCCUUCUUAGCACGGUGUUCUCCGGCACCCAGUCGGUGUUCACGAUCUCAAAAGCAUGGAUAUUGUUAUCCUUGCAAUCCUCCGCUUCGAUGAAAGGCACAGCCACAUUCUUUAUCAUGGAUAUUGCCUCCUCAGCCUUGACGGUUACUAACAUCCCAUUCAUGAUGUACUUCAGACAUUGGUGCAAUGAUGAAGCUACUGCCCCCGCUGCGUGGAUCCAAGGUCUUCCCAACAACAUGCUAUAGGAAGGGUGGAUAUCCAUAACCUGAAGUGUCACUAGGAACAUUUGCGGUCCCACAUAUAGCUCCACUUCUAAAGUCCCAAGUAUUGGCCUAGGUGAGCCAUCAUAUGCUCUGGCCAUCAUAGUACUUGGCUUCAUAUGGAUUCAUCAAUCGGCAUUUCCUCCAGAAUGUGCUUUGGCAACGUUGAGGGCCGAGCCAUUAUCGACGAGCACCUUCCCUACGAGGCAGUCUUUGCACCUAACAGUAAUGUAUAAAGGCUUGUUGUGUCCGGUACCUUCAGCAUCAAGCUCAUCAGCCGUGAAGUAGAGGUAAUUAGUUGCAUGGAUCCUCCCCACUAAAUGCUCCAUGGUUUUAUGCUCAAUGUCUUGGGGUACAUAUGCCUCAUUCAAUACCUUUUGCAAGGCAUUUCGAUGCGGCUCAGAGCUGAGUAUCAAGGACAUAAGGGAGAUCCGAGCUGGAGUCUUUUUUAGUUGAUCCACUAUGCAAUAUUCGCUAUGCUUGAUCAACUUCAAAAAUCAUUCGACUCCUCUUCCGUUACCGGCUUAUUAACUUCUGGUGCUUUGUCCAGAUCUACCACUUCUUUACCCUUUUCCUUCCUCCAUUCUUCAGGCGUAAAGCAACGACCACUCCUGGUCAAACCACUUAUCUCCGUCUGGAACAAAGGAAGAGGCGCUCGAAUGUUGGAGGCAUACCCAUAAUUAUACGGCAUGGCAUUGUGAUUCUCUUUUGUGCAGGACGGUUUAACAAGAUCAGCCUUGGGGGCCCAUUAGCAGUCUGUUGGACCCUGCAAACUCCUGCCAUCUCAUCUUGACCUUCCAUCAUGCUGACCUCACACCUGCUCUCCAUGGGUUCAAUCCUCAAUUGUCCCAUCUUCAACAUUUUUGCGAUCUUUUCGCAAAACUCGGCGCAAUCCUCAAUGUGAUGUCCAUCUCUUCCGUGGAACUCACAGUAGUCACCUCUCUCCAAUUGGCUUACCACCUUUGCCUCUAGAAAUCCUGAUUGUACUAACAUGUCGUACAACCUUUUCAUCGGCACCUUCAACACCUUGCAUUGAUUUCCCACUUCGAUCAUGCCUAUUCCACCACUAUUUGGAGCAUGUUUAGGCAAUGGGUUUGAAUUAACAUUGGGCUUGUCUUCGAAGGAUACCCAUCCCAACUUAAUAAGCUCCAAUAACCUCUUCUUGAAUGCAUAGCAGGUUUCAAUCCCAUGCCCGGGAUUACCCCCAUGGUACUCGCAAGUCAAAUCGGGCUUGUACCAAAUUGGGAAUGGUGGUUGUAGUGGUAGUGUAGGGAUAGGAGCUAUUUGUCCAAUGCUCAAAAGUUUGGCAUACAUGUCCUUCAAAGGCAUGGGUAACGGCGGCAGUUGUUCUGAAGUGUAUCCUGAGUGGGGUCUUUGGUAGUGAUUUUGGUAGUUUGGUUGGUUAUUUGUUCGGUUAGGUGAAAAAGAUUGGUUAAAGUUUAUGCGUGGGAAUUGAGAGGUAGGUGCUUGUGGGCUGUGGAAAUUUACUUUUUUGCCUUUGUACCCGCCUUCCAAAUUGUUAACGUCCCCUUCUCUUUUCCUUCCCAUAAAACCUUUCUUCUCUAAAGGCUCCGCUAUGCGCCCUGCUUUAAUUCCUUGCUCUAUCCUUUCCGCCACACGUACAACAUCAUAGAAAUGUUGAGAUGAGCUACCCAUUAAAUGCUCAUAGUAGGGUGCCUUGAAUGUAUUGGCGAACAAAGUCACCAUCUCCGUUUCUAUCAAAGGGGGUUGCACGUGCGUGGCCUCGUCCCUCCAUCUUUGCGCAUAAGCCCUCACUGACUCUUGGCUUCUCUUUUCCAUUGACAUGAGGCUCGUUCGAUCUGGAGCAAUUUCCAAAUUGAACUUGUAUUGCUUUAGGAAAGCCUCCACUAAGUCCUUCCAUUUCUUAAUCUUGACAUUAUCCAGCCUCAUGUACCAACUUAGCGCAGAUCCCGAUAGACUGUCUUGGAAAAAGUAGAUCAUUAACUUAUCGUCAUGAAUCACCUCAGCCAUCUUAUUGCAAUAAGAUCGAAGGUGAGUGUUUGGGCAUUCCAACCCAGUGUACCUUAUAAACUCUGGUAUCCUAAAAUCUUUUGGUACCGUGAGGUUUGGUACCAAGCAUAUUUCCGACGCUCGCAUGGGGUCAAACCAAUCAUUUCCCUCGACUGCUCUUAACCUUUCUUCUAAUGCUGAUAUCUUGUCAUCGUUCACAAAACCAGUGGACCUAUUAUCGGAAGGCCCCUCGGCUGUUAAAUCUACAGUGAUAUGAGCUUGAGGGGGUUGAAUGGGAAUGCUAGGUGCAAAGUGCUGCCCCGUCGCUGAAUCUGCCCCCAUAUUCUGAGAUACCCCCGGGACAGGAGCCGACGGUGCUCCUAUAGGUGGUUGGGUAGAUGUUCCCUCCCCAUUCUUGGCUUUUAAAAGUUGCUCAAGCAGAUUGGUCAACCGGGAAACUUCAUUUUUCACGGAUUCCAACUCGGUCUGGUAGUGUGACUCUAACUGAGCUCUUUCUUCGUUUUCCAUUCUUGAUCUGGACCGGGUUUGGUGGACUCUGGAUGUGGGACCUAUGUUUCACGAUCUGGAGAUGCAUGCAUAGAUGUAUGAGAAAAUGUAUGAUUGUGAUGGAUGCAUGCAUGUUUUAUUGUGAACGAAAAACAACCAUCCCAUUAUAAGCAUUCUCUUGUCACAUUGCUUUGAUAGGAGUUCUGCCUUUCGAGUCGUUUGCUUGAAUCAUGUUCACCAAGAGACAGAUUUUGCAUAAGAAGAUGGGUCAACGCCCUUUUCAUUAAUGCUUGGAUAAAAAUACAUUUUAGAAAUACAACAUGCUAAUCUCUUUCCUCCAUAAACUCUUUAGCCAAAGGUAAGAAAGCAAAGCCGCGGUUCUCAAUCUUCCCUAGAAAGGCAUCGGUUUCAGCUAGGCUUCGGCGAUAGCGAAUGAUGUCUCCUCCCACAUUCCGUGCAUUGAUUCUAAUAAUUCGAGCAUGUGCAGCAGCUUCGUCCAUUUGCUCAUCUGUUUUGGUCAUUUUUUCUAUGAGCAACAUGUUUGUUCUGUUCAAAGCAGUGUUGUUGGCGUCGAUUCGAUCCUUGUGCUUUUCCGUUGCUACUAGCUUCUCGUCUAAUACUUCACCUUUUCGCGUUCUUUGUCAAGCUUUAUCCUCAUAACUUUUAUCUCAUUCUCUUCCGCUAACUCUGCUUUAACAUCCUCGAAUCCUCCCCUUUGCUUUCCAACUCCAUAUAUCUCUUAUUCAAAUCCUUAUACCUCCUAAUCCUAUCCAUUAGUUCGAAUUGCACUUGCGCAAAUUUUUCUUGGUAAUAUUCUGCACUUUCUUGGCAAUCGCUAAAGUCCAUCUCCAUUGCUUCAAGUUCAGAGCAACCUUGCAUCCAAUCCAAACUCACCCCUUUUAAGCUCCUUCUCACUUCUUUCCCUAGCAAUCUUCUCCUCACCAGUUUACUCAAGCUUUGUUAUUUUCAUCUCUAGACUGUAUUUGCUCAUCUAGAAAUGUUCUCCUUUUAUCCUCUUCUAACAUCAUUUCUUCCAACAUUGCCUUGUCUUUUUGCUCUUGCUCAACUCUAUUCUCAUUUUGUCCACUUGCCUUCUCAAUUCACCGUUAACCCUCUUUCUUUUGAGGGGUUCCUCUACAGUUUGAGGAGAUUUGACUUCUACACGAGGCAUGGCUGAAGCAGCUGAAUCAUCUUCAAUAUUAACCUCCUUUCUCUUAAUAGGCUCCUCUACAACUUGAGGAGAUUUAGCUUCUACGCAAGACAUGGCUGAAGCAGCUGAGGCUCUCCAUUUUACAUAUCCUUCGCUCACACUUGGAUCUCUCAAACCUUCUAUUUCCACCAACACUAGAUGCUUCCAAUCUUGUUUGAUGAUCUCCAAAACUUCUUUUGCCAUGGGAUCUUUGAACAGACCAAAGAAUUGAGCAAUUCCCAUAGUCCGGGGAACAAACUGCAUGCCCCCAAGUUGUCUUACCACUAAAGCCGGGCAUAACUCACAUAACCCGUAAUCCCCACCAAUGGUACCAACGCCUUUGUCCACAACUCAUUAGGACCUUCACUGUCGUUACCCAUGGGCUCUCCAUUUAAAAUCGCUAUUAGGUAAACCUUCUAAUUUAUCAACCCAACCCUGGUUGUCUAGAUCUCCCCAUUCUUCUUCUUCUACUAACUUUAGGGGUUUUUGGGUGAACCACCAAAAAUUAUUGAAGACAGGUUUCUUUGUUUCGAUAUGGCUAACCAUCCAAAUAUACAACAGUUGCGUGCAGCAUCUCAUUGCUCCUUUUCCAGCCCUCUACAAUGGUUAAGUGUCAAAAAUGUUUCGGCUAAAAUAGCAACCACUGGAUUGAUCUGUGUGUUCUCAUACUCCACAUAAGCAGCAGCGGCCUCCAAACUUACUAAACCAGUCUGACUUGGGAACAACACAAGACCAAAUAUACCUAAGGCAAUCAAUCUCUCUUUUUCUACUCCUGACUCCUUUUCCAACUCUAGCAUCCUCCAUUUCAAACCGGUGCCAUUCUUUUCCAGAAACUUUUCCAAGUUGGAGAUUCUGAGCAGUUUUGACAGCUCAGGGAUGAUCUUGUCGGAUCUCAAAGGAGAAUAAAUCCGAUACAGGUCGUUCGGAAACUCGGUCAACAAUCCAUAUUCCUCAAUCGUGGGGCACAAGUCUAUGCUUCCAAAGGAGAAACAUCGGUAGUCUGGAUCCCAAAAAUGAACUAAGGCUCGCACAGCUGGGCUUAAAACUUCUACCUUUGCGAUUUCCAUCAAACGUCCGUAUUUCCUAAAAAAUGCAUCUUUAUCCACAUUCUGAAAAUGAGUCGUUAACUUGUUCACCUCAUUCAAUAUGCAAUUCAGGUUCUUGAUUGGCGACAUCUUCUUAGCAUCGCUUCUAAGGCAGUCUCCUUCAGUCAAUUGUGACAGUUCAGAAUUCUUUCCAUACUCUAGGAUGGAAGAUUUGAUGAUGGUCAUUUCGUUCACAAAUCCUGCAAUUCAAAAUGCAUGGGGGUUAGUCUUGUUUCGAUGCAAAAGAUUUAUAUCGGAACAUACACCCUAAGGAUAGGUUCUAGUUCUUUUACGUGAGACAUAGGGUAGGUUUACUACUAGGUCUCUAAAAGAGGGUCUCUUGUUGUUCCAGUGAUCACCCUCGUAAAGGCGAUAUGGAGGUCCAGCAGAUAGUGGGAUGGCACGUGUACCAAUCACUAUCAGUCUAAACACUCAGCAAAGAGUUGGGGUUUACACAAACUUAAACCUUGACUCAAGUCAUAAGGCAAGCUGCUAGUCCCCCACUUAAACUUAGAGUUACAUGUGUGUGCCCUCCAAAACAUAAUAAUAAUAAUAAAGUGAUGCAUGACGAUGCCAUGUAUGAUAGAAUGUAAAGAUAUAUGCUAAAGCUUUUAAACAAAACAUUAUAAGAAAACAAAAACCAAUAACACAUAACAUAAACAAACAAACAAAUCAAGCUUAGUCCUAACAUCCCCAGUGGAGUCGCCAUUCUGUCACACCCCCACAAAAAAAAUUAUAAGGCGCGACAUCGGCUGGCGAUUUUCGUUGUGUUCUAAGGAUUUGGUUCUUUGGAGUCGCCACCUAGUAUUUGGUCACUAGGAACCCUAACUGGUCUUUCAGAGAUUCUAAGGCAAGGGACUGGUUGCGUAAAGGGAAGGUACUAGCACCCCUAGUACGCCCUACCGAAGGUAAGCUGCUUGGUGUUUGGUUUGCUCUAUAGUCUAUGGUGUUGGUGUUUUCUAAUCCCGUCAACUCGUAGAUCGCCCGGAAAAGAAAAGAAAAAAAAACGAAGAAAAAUUCACAAUUCUUAAAAAAAACAAUUUUAUACUUUCACGACUCGUAAACCGUGGAGUAAAAAAAAUUAAAAUUUUGAAAUGUCCUCGAUUACAACCAAAGCUUCUUUCAAACAUGUGCGCUGAUUUAUUACUCCCAAUAAUAUUUUGGAUGUUCUUCCUUUUAAGAUUUCUUCAUCCAAACAUUAGCGGUGAACAAUAACACCACUUCUCCUCCCAAAAUAAGAUUUUUAUAGUUUUUGGAAUAUUGGCCAAUACCCUUUGGAGUUUUACAAACAUGUUGUAAAAUCCACAAAUGCAAGAAAAUGAUUUGUGUUUAAGAAAUCUAUGCGAAAACACACCUUCAAAGCUUCCAAUAUUUUUGUGUAUAAAAAAGAAAAUUCAAAAUCAUGUUAGAGUAUUGGCCGUAUGCAACACGCAAGAAAACAUUUUUUUUUUUGACAAAACGGGUGUUUUUAAACACUGAAAUUAUAUCCCCAUAGUAAAAAAAUGCAAAUCAAUGUAUAUAAAAACAACAAUAUAUUUUUUUUACUUUUCAGAAAUUUUUUAUUUUUUAUUUUUUAUUUUUUUAAAAAAUAUAUAUAUAUAUAUAUAUAUAUACAUACAUGCAUAAUAUAAUAAUAUAAUAUAAUAUUAAUAUAAGUGGGCUGGGCCGGCCCAACUAACUGGGCCGGACUCCAGCCCCAAAAACGUUGGGCCGACUCGGCCCAACACAUCUUGUCUUGAUCUGGGCCGGACUGGCCCAGACCUGCAAUCUGGGCCGGACCGGCCCAGACGCCUAUCUGGGCCAGACCCUGUCUGGCCCAACAAAGAAAAAGAAAUGAACGGGGGGAAUUAUUUCCCCCCGUAUGCCUCCUGCAUGCAGAACGAUUCUGCAUGCAGGAGGCCAACCUAUGCCAGCCUUCAACAGAAAAUGCAGGGGGGUCAGAAUGGCGUACCUGGCGCAGCGGAGACGGCGGCUUGCUGGCGGGGGCGGUGGCAGCGGCUUAGCUCACGGUGGUUUCCAAGUGGACCGAGACCACACCUUCGGUUCGCUUGCUUCUGUUUCAACUUCUUGAGUCCCCUCUCGGUUUCAACUACCCCAAGCUUUCACCUGGGUUUUCGGUCACUGUUUCGUAAGUUUUGUGGUUUCUCUCUCUUCGGUCUCUUUCUCUCUCUCACUGUCUCAGUUUUUUGUCUUUCUUUCGGGUCCCUCUUUUUCGUUCGUCCUCCUCUUUUCUCACUCUGCUUCUUCUCUAUUUAUAGGCAUAUCGGGGCAUGCAUGGGGGAACGAGGCGUGCUGGUCGGUCGGUCGGUCGGCAGGCGCCAUUGCCAAGGUGCUUCUCUCGGGUUCGGUGGCGCGGCGGGUGGUCGGCCAGCGGCUUUGGUUUCGGGGGUCCCAAGGUGUGGAGCGUCGGGCCAUGGCACGUGAGGAGAGAGGCGGGGAAAAAAACCCCGGUUUUGGAGAAGAAGAAGAAGAGAAACAGUGCCGUUCAAAACGGCACCGUUUGGUCUUUUUUUUUUUUUUUUUUUUUUUUAAACGCAUGAAACGACGUCGUUUUGGAGAAAACGCGCCGUUUCAUUUAAAUGUGGCGCCAGAAAUGCGCCAACGUUCACAUCAGUCCCCCAAUUAUUUUUGUUCCUUUCAAUUGCGUCCCUGCCAAUUCCGGUCUUGUCCGCCAAGUUGGCCGCCUUUUCCACUUUGGUCCUUGGCCUCUAAAUUAUGCAAUUUAGCCCUCAAUUGAUCAAUAAACUUCCAAUUUCUUCAAUUAGGCCCCUCAAUCAAUCCCAAACAGCCCCCCCUAUUUUUGCGCCUUUUCCAAAUUGGUCCCUGGUUUCGGAUUUUCACAAUUAAACCCCUAAUUGGCCAUUAAACUUCAAUAUUUAUGCAAUUAAGCCCCUGAUUUGACUUAAUAAAAUCCUAAAAAUUAUAAUUUGGCCCCAGAACUUAAAUUUCUUCAAUUUAAAGCCCCAAUUGACUUAAAAAAUCAAUUUUUCUUGCAAUCAAAUCCCUUAUAAAUCCAAUUAAAAAAUCAAUUAAACCCAUAAACAUCCAAAUUUGGGCUUCUCUCCUCAAAAUUCAAAAUUUCCUUCUCAAUAGGGUUUUCAUCUUUCAAGAAUAUAUUGUAAAAAAUCCAAUCUUUGUAUCUUUAUACUCCUUGACCAAUUUUCUGACCAUUUUCCGAGCGCUUCUGCCUCUUGUCAUUUUUCUAACCUUCUUUGGCUAUUUAUUUUAUUUUUUUGCGGGGACCCAAAAAUGGGUUACAACACAGACUUCAAGAAAGGUGACCUGGUUUGGGGAAUAACUGGUUGGGAAGAGUACAGUCUCAUUACAUCAACAAGGGGACUGUUCAAAAUUGAACACACAGAUGUGCCUCUUUCCUAUUACACUGGAAUUCUUGGUUAGCUUUUUUUGUUUCCUUUUUGAUCAAUUUUAUCUUUUUUAAGUUAGGAAGCUUUGGUGCUACUAAAAUACAUGGCUGCUAAUUAUGAGCUCCACUUAGUUUUCCGCAUCCUUAGCAGACAUGAUAUUUCAUGCUAGGAAACUUUCAAAAUAUAAGCUUUAUUUUCUGACGAAUGAAGCAUGCAGCAAUAACAAUUAAGAUGAGCAGUGACAACAGAAAGAGAUUCUUUCCUUUUCCAUCUAAUUCUAACGUCCAUUGUAAAUGAAAUUGAAAAUUAUAUCUAACAAUUCCUCACCCAUAUAAUUAUCAUUCUUUCCUAGAUAUAUGGUCAAAAGUUUAUCUAAUUGUAGUACACUUAUAUGUUGCAGGAAUGCCAGGCAUGACUGCUUAUUGUGGUUUUUAUGAGCUUUGCUCUCCAGAGAAAGGGGAGUAUGUCUUUGUUUCAGCAGCUUCUGGUGCAGUGGGUCAGCUUGUUGGCCAAUUUGCCAAGUUAUUGGGUUGCUGGAAGUGCUGGAAGCCAAGAAAAGGUUAGUCAGCUGAUCAUGAGUGUUAACCGUUGGUGCAUAUUUAAGUAGAUGACAUUAAAGCAAAGUAACAUCUGUAACCAGAUUCUGUAUGGUGUUUGCUUUUAAUUUCUCUUAUCAAUCUUAAGGUUGACUUGUUGAAGAACAAGUUUAAAUUUGAUGAGGCUUUCAACUAUAAAGAGGAGCCGGACCUGGUUGCAACUUUGAAAAGGUGAGUAGCAAGUUUUUUGAACUGGAAGAUAUAUAGUCUCCUUCUUUAUCUGUGUUUUAGGCCUUUUUAUGUUUAAGUGCCAUUUAAUGCCUCUGUCAUUGCAGUGUGUGGGAUGAUUUCACAGUACAACAAAUUUGAUAACCCUGAUGGCAUACACAACCUGAUCAACAUCAUUCUGAAACGUGUUCGUAUCGACGGAUUCCUAGUUUUGGAUUACUAUCAUCUCUACCCCAAGUAUCUGAAAAUGAUUUAUAUAUCAUGGGACAACAUUUUGAACUCUUCCUAACAAAUAAAAAAAAAAUAGUGCAGUGAUGAAAAAAAUAUCAACUACUCUCUUAGAUUCUUUCUUUAAUCAAUAGUGCAGUGAUGAAAAAAAUAUAGUCUUGCUUGAACUCUUCCUAACAAAUAAAAAUUUAUAUAUCAUGGGACAAUAUUUUGAAAAUUCUUAUUCCAUAAAGAUAUUUUUAUGGACAAGACUAACAAACAAUAUUCUAAAAUCUAAUCCAUUAUGUAUUUAUACCUAAAUAUCAGUCUUUUAAAUAAGUUUAUAACAUAAUUUAUCUAUAAAAAGUCUUAUAACUUAUCUAAGACAUUAUGUGAGAAGAAAAAAGACUUUAAAUUUGUAUAUAUAAAGCCUACAAUAUUUUAUUAAUUCACUUGUUAAGAUUCAUGUUGUGCAACAAAUAAUAUCUAAUACAACCACGCAGCCCAUUAGUCCAAUAAUUUUGCUACCUAAAAAAAUACUAUAUUUAUUUAGUGAUCAUACACAACAAGAUGAUAAAAUCAUAGCUAAGUGGGCAUAAAGUGGGGAGUUUUCUUAAACCAAUCCUUCAACUAAUUGAGAUCAUGAGGUGAGAACUUUUGUAUGUCUAUGAUUUUCCAUAGGCUGAACGCACGAAUCAAAAAAGCUUUCCACUGCUGCCUUGUUGAAAAUCUCAUUGAACCAUGACGGGGAUGAUGAAGCAGAUGAUAUGGUGGCCAAGGUAUCGUUCUAUCGCUUUCAACUUCGAAUUGUUGGUUGUCAAUCUCAUGAUCCGACAAUCCUGACCCUUCAAAUGAAGUCUCGUAGUAAUCCAUGUCAUGAUCCCCUUCUGAACUUUCAAAAGACUCUUGGUUGCAAAUGUCAUGACUCAACGCUGGAAUUUCAUUGUAAAUGCUCCGUCCAAAUGGAUGUGUCUUUAUCACAUGGAUCCCACAUCGUGCCACUUCACUGUUUUCAGACCUCAAUAUCACAUGUAGUUCCAAUUCAUCAUCUCCACAGUAUUUUUCCAUUGCUAUCUCAGGUUUGCUUAUGACUAUUACCCACCUACCACGGAAAUAGGACCUUGCAUGUGUAGCUUCGAACAAUGGAAUACCGUUUCUUUUAUUUUUUAUUAUAGCCUCGUAUUCUUGACACCCACCACCUGAACAGACAGCCCAAAUGGCCAAGCCUUCGAAAACUGGAGGUAUACGAAAUGAUAAUGAACAUCCUUCUCCACGGCAGCUGAACCAAUUUGGAAUCAUAGAAUAAUCGAAGGCUCUGUCAUGAUGAUAAUCGAAGAUUCUCUGCAUAAAUAUUGAAUUCAAGGAAUGCUAAGAUUUUAGACAUUGAUCAAUAUAUAUAUAUAUAUAUAUAUAUAUAUAUAUAUAUAUAUAUAUAAUUGUGUGUUUAUUUGUGUGCAAGAGAGACAGAAAUAGUACCUGAAAAAGCCAGUCCUCAGUAUUUUUUGAUAAAUUACUUAGACUUCGCUUGCCGUCAAUCUCAAUGAAAUUGUACACCGGAUAUUGAGACAAAUGUGGUGGUGCAGGUAUUCCUCCAUCUCUUCCAACUUCAGACUCAUGAUCCCACUCUGACCCUUCAAAUGAAUCUGUCUUUUCAACUAUCACAUGGAUCCCAAAUUCAAACACUUCAGCGUCUUCUCCCAUAUAAAGUCUCACGCACAGUUCCAAUUCCUCAUCUUCACAAUAUUCUUCCAUUGCCAUCUCCCUUGUACUUAUGUAUGUCAUCAAAUUGUGAGCGACCGAAUCGCAUACGUAAGCUUCAAACAAUUGAAUACCGUUGCUUUUAUUUUUUAUACACAAUUUGGCAGCACCAAAAAGACCUAUCAAGCCUUGACAGACAACCCCAACGACCAAGCCUUGGAAAACUGGAGGUACAUGAAAUGAUAAUGAACUUCCUUUUCCUCGAUAGCUGAACCAAUUUGGAAUCAUAGUGAACUUGUCUCUGUGGCCGAACGCAUAACAACGAUUGAAAAGAAUUUGAUACCCAUAACCACCAUAGCACAAUGCCUGUAUAUAUAUAUAUAUAUAUAUAUUUCAAGGAGUGCUUAAUAUUAGACAUUAAUUAAUGAAUAUAUAGUAUGUGCCAAUUGUGUGCUUAUUUGUGUGCAAGAGAGACAGAAAUAGUACCUCAACAAGACUUCUCUUACAAUUAUUUGAUGACUUGUAGUCGAAAAUAUAGCGAAUAAUCCAGCCAUGAUUACUUAGACCUUCUAUGCCUUCAAUCUCUACUAAAUCCGAACAACAAAACAUGUCCAGAUUUAGAUAUUUUUUUGCUUGGAUUGGUAGUCUUACCCAUUGCAUUGAUACACAACCAUAUGCAUCCAAAUGUUCUAAAUUUGAGGGAAGCUCUGGGAUUGAUACAAGAUUGCUGCAAAGCGCAAUCCUCAAAAGCCGCAACUUAGAAAGGAUGCCGAUGCCAGAAGGUAGACUAAAGAACUUGUUUCUUGAUAGAUCCAACUCUUCGAGAGAGGACAAACUUCCAAAAUCAACAGCAUUAGUUGCACGUUCAGACAAACCAUAAUUAACAAGUUUUAGCUUUCCCAAUACUCUCCAAAUAGUGGAAGUUGGAGCUAGCAAAAAAGCUGAAAUCCAAGAAGAAUUUGGUGAAGGCCGAUAUGGUAAGUUCCACUUACAGUGUCCACGCAAUGACAACUUCCUCACACACCUUAAAAGUCCAACUGACGAGAGAAAUUGCUCGUUGUUAAUUCCAUCUGCUAGAAGCUCAAUGAAGGACUCAAUAUCACCUAUGCACUCUGGCAGCUUCUUAAGUUGUGAACACCCCGAAACAUUCAAACACACAAGAGAUUUUGAAUGUCCAAUAGAUUGAUGUACAUCAACUAAACUUGAGCAACCUUCAAGAAGUAGUUUUUUUAGACUUGAACUGUGCAUGUUUGGUGUUUUAACAAGCCUCUUUGAAUAACUGAGAUCAAGAAUCUUUAGAUUGUUGAGAAUCUGUCAGAGUAGUGAGGAAAAUCAGUAACAAGUAAUCAUCAAAAGUUGUAACUUGUAAAUAUAAAUUACAUAAUAAACAACUUUUUGGGUAUUUUGGUAUAUUUCACACCUUUUUUUCCUUCCAUAGUUCUUUGAUGUUACUGAACUUCAUAUCCAUAACAACUAUGCAGUUUGGUGUAAGAUCAAAUGGCAAAAAUUCCAAAGGACAUUCAAGCCAACAAAUCCAAGUCAACAUUUUAGAAAGUCGUUUGAAAGAUCCGGUGAGAUCUACUCCAUCGAUUUGCAGUAAUUUUAAGUUUUUCAUUUUUGCAAAUGAUCCUGUGCUUAGUGAUUUUUCUUCUAAUCUUCUCACAUCCAGUGCAAGGCCCUGUACAACUUCAGUUCCCUAAGAAAGCAAAAAGAAAAAAUCAAUAGAACUUUCAAAUGAUUGUUUGUAAUAAGUUUGACAUGAAAGAUACAAAUGAAUGUGCUUUUCUAUAUGCAUUGUGUUCUUACCAUCUGCAUCUUGAGUACUUUCCACGCAUCCUCUUGACACCAAAUUCUGCUCCUUUGUGAAGGAUUUUCAGGUGACUCAUCCUUAACGAUCCCCCUUCCCAUCUCUCGUAAUAGAUCAUGCAUGCUUAUCGUUCCAGAAUCAUCAACUUUAAUCAGAGACCUUUCAAUGAGAGUUCCGAAAUCAUCUUCUGGAUUGCAACCAUAACGUCCUUCUAGCACUUCUGCUACGUAUUCUUUUGUCCACCAAUAAAGAAGCAUGCAAUAUCAAGAAAUGUAUUCUUUAGAUUAGGGGCUUUCAGUGAGUCAAAACUUAUUCUAAGCCUUUCUUGAAUAGCAUGCUCUGGAAUUCUUCUCAAUCUGUCAAUUACAGAUUCCCAUCUAGCUUGCUUUUUCCCAAUCAAACAAGAACCUAAAACCUCAAGAGCUAAAGGAAGUCCUCCACAGUAUUCAACUACAUCAUUAGAAAGCUCAACAUAAUCUUUUGCUGGCUUGGCGUCCCUAAACGCAUGCUGACAAAAUAGCUGAAGGGACUCAUAUGGGUCAAUUCUUGAACCUGGUAUCUUUGAUCAGCUUCAAGAAGUAAGCGUUCAUCUCUAGUUGUAAUUAUCACCCUGCUUCCGGGACCAAACCAGCUUCGCUCUCCCAUCAAAGCAUUUAAUUGGUCCAGAUGAUCCACAUCAUCAACAACAAUAAGAACUCUUUUGCGGCAGAGUCGUUCUUUAAUCAGAACCUUUCCUCUAUCAACAUUAUUGAUCUUCUCAGUAUUUUGUCUUAAAAUAUCAUGAAGUAGUUGUUGUUGUAGAAGAACCAAAUCAUUAGGUUCUGAUUUUUCUUUGACAUUCAAAAGAAAAGAGAUUCCCUCGAAUCCAUAUCCACAGUCAUAGCAGAGUUGAUUAAAUACAACUUUUGCUAUAGUCGUCUUUCCUAUUCCUGGCAUCCCAUGUAAGCCCACAAUGCGUACAUCAUCUGUUGCAGUACUUAGGAAGUGAAAAAUAUUGUGAGCAAGCGGAUCAAUACCUACUAGGUGCUUAGGCACAUGUAAGUACUUGGGGUCCAAUUUAGUCAGCACAUCCUUGAUAAUCUCUUGGAUAAAUUUUGCUUCACGCCUGUUCAUGGACAAAAGCAAGUCAUUAAUAGCGAGACAAUUAAGCAUGUUCAAAAAGUAUUUUAUUGUUUCACAUUGUAAAAUAGGUAAUGUAUAAUGACUCCAUAUAUAAAUGUGUGGAAGUGAAUCUUAUAGAGAAAAGGCAUACCCAUUUGCCAUAUCUUUGAGAUUCCAACCAGAUAGAUUUCCUGCCUCUUCAAGAGCUUCUCUCCACUCCUUCACCUUCUCUUCAGAACGUUCUUCAUGCUUAACAAAUGCUUCUGCAAAACUGCCGGUCUGUUUUCUCACAUCUGAAGGAUCGAUGUCAUAGAAUAUAGGAAGAGCAAUCUGACCAGUUUUCCUCUUUCUGCACUUGAGAAUCUCCACAAGUUCAUUGAGACACCAUCUAGAAGAAGCAUAUCCUUUUGAGAAGACCACUAUAGAUAUCUUUGAUUCUCGAAUUGCCUUGAGGAGAUGAUCGGAGAUUUCUUCUCCUCUAGGAAGUUCAUCAUCAUCUCGAAAAGUGUGGAUUCCUGCUUGGACUAAGGCAGUAUAUAGAUGAUCUGUAAAUGUCUUGCGAGUAUCUUCUCCACUAAAACUCAAAAAGACAUCAUAGGCCCCUUGUGGUCUAGAUCGAGAAGAAUCUGGCUCUGUCAUGGCAGCUGCAGAAAUUAAGGCACGAUUAAUUAAUUAGCAAUGAAUAGAUUGCAGGAGGUAUCUGCUAUCUUGCAAUUAUAAAUAGUAAGGGAUACAUGUGAAGUGAUCAUCAAAGACAAUACAAAUAGAUGAAUGUGCUGAGUAGGAAUUUCAACGCAAUUACUAUUAGAGAGUAAGGUAAGAAAAUCAUUCAUUCAUUGAGUUUCACCUAAUACUUCAAGUUUAACAACCAGAGAGCAUAAAACAAUAGCAUUUAAAAAGCUUACUGAGGUCAGCUUUCCUUCUCUUUCGCGAGGAUGAAUCAUUUUCUUCAUCUUUGGAUUGUUUGCGUUUUUCUGUCGGCAUUCUAAAAUAGAAUGAUCUUGUUCUAGAAGACAUGCAAGGAAUUAACUCAAUAAACUCAUCAAAGAUGUCUAUCUGAACAUAAAGCUUUCAAAUUAUUGUUAUGAGUAAAGACAUGAAAUUAAAACAAGAAAGAAGCAAAGAAGAGGUAUAAGCUAUACCUCUAUAUAACAAAGGGUUGGUUGGAUUCCACAAGCUAUGAAAUUGCAGCAAUCGGGAACGGUAAUUUAUUUCAACUACCCAAACAUAUUUUUCAAUUUGUUUUUAAUUUACAUGUAGUUUCAAAGAAGCAAAGAAGGGUUAUAUACUAGCAAAAACAUGACAGCAUAAAAUCCCAUGUAGCAAUUAUCUUGUUUCGCAAUCUUCUUAGUGUUAAUAUUGCUGUAAAACUACAUGCAUUCAUGCAAUCAGAAGCAACAAUCGCAAAGGUUACCUCAAUAUGGUGUUUGAGUUGUUCGGAUUCCACCAACCUGGCGACUUUAAAGAUCAAAUUGCAGCGCUCAGAAAGAUUAGCUGAAGAGUAAAGUAAUGAGGACUGAAGGAUAGUAGAGGCAAUAUUGUUUCGGAGAAAGAAUAUAAAUCCUUUUUGCAAAUUAUUAGCAAUAAUUAUCAAAGAUGAAGGGUAUCAUAUAUAGGAAUAGGAGCUUGGAAAUUUCUUUAGCAGCGUGUGAUCAAGGUAAUUUCUUGGUUGUUGCUGAUUGAUUAGGGUUGUUGCAAUGAUUUUUUAAAAAUAAAAAAAUAUUAUUUUAAUAUAUUUUUUUAAUAAAAAUCAUUUAAAAUACAAUUCUCUUUCCAAGUUUGAGCCAGAGAUGUACAGUGCAUCCGCUGAGGAUGAAUAAUGAGUGGUAGAAGCCUAUUUUGUGAGUUAUUAAAGACUUCUUCCUGUCAGUCAAUGCGGGUAUGAACACUAACUCUUUUUUUUUUUUUCACACACUAAUGUUUUGUUUGGAAUUUAUGGGUUUUUUGUUCUUGUAAAAUAACAGUGUUUCUAACAGUGUGCUUGAUUCAAGUUCUUGAUUGGUGUUCGUGUUCUUAAAAAAUUUUAAUUUUUUUUUGUUAAAAAUAAAGUAUUUAUAUUUUUAAAUUAUUUUGAUUUAUUAAUAUUAAAAUUAAUUUUUAAAAAAUAAAAAAAAUAUUAUUUUAAUAUAUUUCUAAACUAAAAAUAUUUUAAAUCAUAAACACUAAUAUAAUUCCAAACAGAUAUUAAACGCAACCGCUGGUCAUGAUGGACAGUUUAGUUGGGAACAGACGAAGGGCUAUAGACUUCGAGACGAUGGCUGUAUUAUCAUUGAACCUUCGCUCAAGAAGCUCAACCACUUUGCUUCCCAUAUCUACUAAUCAUGAACCUCCUUGACUCUUCAGUAUAAAUCUUUUUCCACUCAGAAGGCCCUCGCCCUCACACUCCCGUCUCCAUGUAUUUGGCUGCUUCCAUCUCUCAGCCCUGCUUUUUGGUUCGUACGUAGGUGUAAUCUGAUAUUUAUUAUUACUUUUAUUCAUAUAAAAUAUAUUUUUUAUCUUUAACAUUAUUUAAAACUUGUUAUUAAUUUUAUUAGUAUAAAAUAUAUUUAUUAUUGAAAAAAAUUAAGAUUAUUCGCUCUACCGUGUUUUUAAAAAACCCAACAAUAACAUCAUAAUCAAUUAAACUUGAGCAACCUUCAAGCAGUAAUUUCUCUAGACUUGAACUGUGCAAGUUUGGUGUUUUAACGAGAUUCUUUGAAUAACUGAGAUCAAUGAUCUUUAGAUUGUUGAGAAUCUGUCAAAGCAGUGAGGAAAAUCAUUAAGUAGUCAUCAAAAGUUGUAACUUGUAAAUAUAAAUUACAUAAUAGACAAGUUUUUGGGCAUUUUGGUGUGUUUCGCACCUUUUUUUCCUUCUAUAGUUCUUUAAUGUUACUGUACUUCAUAUCAAUAAAAACUACGUAGUCCAGUGUAAAAUCGGAUGGCAAAAAUCCCAAAGGACAUUCAAGCCAACAAAUCAACGUCAACACUUUAGAAAGCUGUUCGAAAGAUCCGGUGAGGUCUUCUCCAUUGAUUUGCAGUAAUUUUAAGUUUUUCAUUUUUGUAAAUGAUCCUGUGCUUAGUGAUUUGUCUUCUGAUCUUCUCACAUCUAGUGUAAGGCCUUUUACAACUUAUGUUCCCUAAAAAAGCAAAAAAUAAAAUAAAAAUCAAUAGAACUUUCAUAUAAUUGUUUGUAAUAAGUUUGACAAUAAAGAUGCACAAGAAUGUGCUUUUCUGUAUGCGUUGAGUUCUUACCAUCUACAUCUUGAGUACUUUCCACGCAUCCUCUUGACUCCAAAUUCUGCUCCUUUGUGCAGGAUUUUCAAGUGACUCUUCCUUAACGAUCUCCCUUCCCAUCUCUCGUAAUAGAUCAUGCAUGCUUAUUGUUCCAGAAUAAUCAACUUUAAUCAGAGACCUUUCAAUGAGAAUUCCAGAAUGAUUAACUUUAAUCAGGGACCUUUCAAUGAGAGUUCCCAAAUCAUCUUCUGGAUUGUAACCAUAACGUCCUUCUAGCACUUUUGCUAUGUAUUCUUUCUUUCUACCAAUCAAGAAGCAUGCAAUAUCAAGAAAUGUAUUCUUUAGUGUAGGUUCAUCCAGUGUGUCUAAACUUAUUCUAAGUUUUUUCUGAAUUUCACAGUUUGGAAAUUUUCUCAAUCUGGCAAUUACAGAUUCCCAUCUAGCUUGGUUUUUCCCAAACAAAGAAGAACCUAAAACCUCAAGAGCUAAAGGAAGUCCUCCACAGUAUUCAAUAACAUCAUUCGAAAUCUUAACAUAAUCUUUUGCUGGCUUGGCGUCCCUAAACGCAUGCUGACAGAAUAGCUGAAGGGACUCAUAUGGGUCCAAUUCUUGAACCUGGUAUCUUUGAUUAGCUUCAAGAAGUAAGUGUUCAUCUCUAGUUGUAAUUAUCACCCUGCUUCCAGGACCAAACCAGCUUCGCUCUCCCAUCAAAGCAUUUAAUUAGUCUAGAUGAUCCACAUCAUCAACAACAAGAAGAACUCUUUUGCGGCAGAGUCGUUCUUUAAUCAGAACCUUUCCUCUAUCAACAUUACUGAUCUUCUCAGUAUUUUGUCUUAAAAUAUCAUGAAGAAGUUGUUGUUGUAGAAGAACCAUAUCCUUAGAUUCUGAUUCUUUGACAUUCAAAAGAAAUGAGCUUCCCUCGAAUCCAUAUCCACAGUCAUAGCAGAGUUGAUUAAAUACAACUUUUGCUAAAGUCGUCUUUCCUAUUCCUGGCAUCCCAUGUAUGCCCACAAUGCGUAC